AAAAAAAAAAAAAAAAAAAAAAAAAAAAAACUGUCAGUCCAAACUCUCAUCUUCUUCCUUGUUUUCUUCCCACCUUCUUCUUAUGUUUGGAAAGCUCUACCAAAACCACACAGGCUGACUAAACCCCUAAUAACCAAGAUCCAAUAUCAUUGUUGAAAUCCACCUCUCUUCAUCAGAGUUAAUCACACUGAAAUACCCACCUGUAGAUUGAAGAAAACCACGUUGAACGGAACUACCCUUGUCGAAAAAAACCCCCUUUUUCUGCUAGACCCUCGCUGAUGAAGAAUACCCUGACAACCACACUGUAACAACUUCAAUUGCUCUUGAAAAUCUGCAUAAUUCUCAAUAUAAUUUCUUAUGCAAAUAUCCUCAUUUUGGCUUUUACGAUAAGAGCCUUACAGUGGAUGAAGGUUCACUAGUUUACAAAAUUGUCAUCGGUGCAUGUACUUAAUACUGUGACAAUAAAAAAAGUAAUGAGAAGGUAAUCAAAUAAGCAGAAGGUAAUCAAAUUUAAUGAUUAUUUUAGAAGGCUAACUAAAAUUAAAAAAAAUUUAAAUGUAGAAGGUGACGCGCAUUGAGAUAAUCUACGUUUGUUAUUUGUUAAGUAAAUGAUUUUGAAGAAAGAGUUUUUGAGAAUUUAAGUGUUUUGAUGCUUAGCAUUGAGAUAAGGUGACGUGGGGAGAAGGAGAAGGUGAGCAAGACUAAGUAGGCAGUUUGAGGAUCAAACACGAGCUGAAGUUAGGCGUUGAAAGGUAGGCAGUUUGAGGAUCAAACACGAGCUGAAGUUAGGCGUUGAAAGGUAGGAUUUUUUCUAGAAACUUUCUAAUUGUACUUAAUGGGUGAAGUGUGUAAGAGUUUAAACUAAGUAUGGUCAUGAAAAUAUUAAGCUUACGUGUGUAGUACUUUAAGCAGAAGCUGGUGAGUUAAUUAACAAGAACUUACGGAUGACUAAUCUAAUUUGGAUUAGUAUAUAAAUAGGGAAAAAGGGUCGGUUAUGAAAAAUGUAAUGCUAAAGUAUUUGAAGUCACUCUAAGUCAGUAGGCAAGAAGGUCUUUUAGAACCUAGGCGUUCUAAAGACAAAAUUUAUGUUGUGAGUGAUUUUCAAAUAUCAUUUAAAAAUUUUGAAAGCUUCCUUCUGAUUGUAAUGAUUGCUUCUUAUAAUAAUGUUCAUGAAAGAAAUGUUUUCUAAAGAAAGCUUUAAUGUUAUGCUCCAAGUAAAGUUUUAUGUAUGUUAAAUGUAUGCUAUGUUAUGUAUAAAUCAUUAGUCUUAUUUCUAUCAAUGAACUAACUAUUAAUGUGCAUAGAAGAAAUAAAGGCAUCUAUGUAUAAAAUUAUUGCAUGGUGUAAGUGAAGUUAGCUAAUGCGUAAAAGGAAAUACUGAGCUUAGCGGCUUAAGCAACAUGAAGUGAACCACGAUAUUCUCCAAGGGAUGUUGUUGAUGAAAAGGACAUCACAGUAUUCCAUAUGGGGGAAUAGUUAAUGUUCUUGAAAGAAAGGAAUAUGAAAGACUAAUGCAUGUUUUAUGUUCUACGAAACAGACAUUGAGCCUGUUUACUGAAAACCUUUUAACGCAUUGUAUGUCUGAAAAGGUUUUCCAAAACUAACAUUCGCUAAGUUUUUACUUACGCUUUAAAGAUUUUUCUCUCCCAAGUCACCAUGCGUUAAGGCCAAGGUUGGGAUAAGGAAGGUGAACUACCAAGCAGUGAAGCUAAUGCAGAAACUUUUAAGAUUAUUGUUCUAGUUGUUGUAUUUAAGAAGCAUGCAAAUUGUGUUGUUGUGUACAUUAUGUUAAGUUAAGAGAAGAGUUGGUUGAUUAUUUUCCGUUGCGUUAUGUAAACUCUAUUCGCCUAAAGCUUAAGUUCAAGAAGUUAGGUUGAGCAUUCUGGGGUUUCAUCUUGAGGCAUUAGAACUUGCUCAAGUCACAUCGCACGCUGCAUUGCAAGAUUUGGGAUGCGUGCGAGACAAGGUGUGACAAAUCAGAUCACAAUCAUAAUGGAACAAAAAAUCUUACUAAUUGACAUAAAAUGGAAAGUAAUCAUAUCACAAUGUAAUGGUAAUCAGAAACUACUUAAUAAUUGAUAAAAGCUUGAUGGUAAUGAGAUGAAUAUCAGAUUUUACUUAGUAAUUAUAAAAAAAAGAUGUAAUGUCAUUAGAUUGCAAUUAGUAUCAUUUACAAAUAAUUAAAAAUCAAUAUUAAAUUAAAUAAUAACAAGAUGGUAAACUAGUAUCAUUAACAAUCAAAUAACAAUGAACACUAAAUAACAAUAAGAGAGUAAUCAGACAACAAUCAAAUAACAAUUGAUAUCAUUGAUAAUCAAAUGAAAAUCUGAUAACAAUUAGAUGAUAAUCAAAUGUCAGAACUUGAUUCCAUGUUCUGUAUCAGCUUAGUUUUGAUAAUAGUUGACAAUUUGAACUACGGUAAACAUUAUGAGAACAUUUGAACUAUUCAUGUUGUUACUAUCUUUCAAAACUUUCAAUGAAUUCCUCCUUGAUAUAGCAUCUCUUGAAUGCAUUAGAACCUAAAGUUGAUCCUUCUUACACAAGUAAGACAUAAAUAAAUUCUAUAUUUUGGUUACAAACACUUGACACCAUUUAUGGUUAUUUCAUUUUUUCGUGUUUUAUAUGUAGGUCUUCAAUGGUAUUGACACUAACCUUAAUAUGAGUUCCAUCUAAUGCUCCCACACAAUUCUAUAAAAAAAAAAAAAACAAUUGUUUUACUUCAUUCAAACAAGUAUCACUAUUGAAAAAUGUUAAAACUUACUACUUCAAGUCAUACCUCAAACCAUCUCCACUUUUCAUUGGAUGAAUUUACCUCAAACCAUCUCCACUUUUCAUUGGAUGAAUUUGUAGAUACAUGACUUGGUUUCUUUAGGAGGAAUUCAGGAAGACACAAUAUUGAGUUAAGAACUUCAUUAAAGAACAUAUUAACUUAUGAGACCUUGAUCGCGUUUUGAAGCUACACGUUAAGACCACAUGCAACAAAACUUAUAUGUGUUAAGAUUGCAUGCAAUGAGAGCUGGUGAAUAACACAAAGAUAGUGCCAGAAAACAUGAAGAAUAUUUCAACUUUCAACAUUCACUGAUAUGGGUUAUUAGAAGUUAUCUUCUAUGUCCAACAUCUAUAAAAGGCCAAUGAAGUCUUUUUUUCAAAUCAUCAUCUAACUAGCCAAAUAAGCUACUAGAUUGAAAUUUUUGUUGGAACUUAUGGCACUCUAGUUAACAUUCUAAGAUUGAGAUUGUAUUUUAAUCAUCUUUGGUGACAAACACUUGUAUGGAUUCAAUCAACUAAGUGUGAGAGACCUUAAAAUCAAUCAAAUAACAGAUUGAGAUAUCAUAGGAGUACAAUUUAAGUAAUUUCUUUACAGAGAAAGUGAAGAGAUUUAAGAGAGUUCGAAAGAAUCCUAUCUAGUAUCAUUUCAUUGAGACUUUGUAUAAAACCUUGACUUAAAGCUAAGAGCAGGAAAUUGUUACAGCUGCAAUUCCUUCUAUCAUAUUCAUUUGUUACAAUUCCUUCUAUAAUUGUUACAACAUCAUCAUUCUUUUGUCUUUUUAUAUUUUCUUAUUAAUCACAUUCCAUAGCUAAAGUUAUUGUUUUGUUGUCGACACUGAUUUCUCACUUUGUCAUAGCAGCUUAAUUAAUUUCAUAGGAGAAUGAGAUUAGUACAUAGUAAGUUGUGAAGCAUGCGUUGGCAUUCAUAGUCAUAUGGAUGCGAUAUCCUAUUCCUAACUGUUGACCCCAAUACCAAUUCGAAUCAAGUGGUAGCAAUUAACUGCUCGAGCAAAUAAGUGAUUGCAGAAUUUAUUAAGUCGGGUAAAGAAGUUCUCUUUAUUUCUGGACUAACCUUAGCAUGCAUCAUAAAAAUAUGACACAUGUGGCUAACUCAUUGAACGGUGGAGACAAUGCAAGGCUACAAAUAUAAAUAUGACGCUAUCACAUCAUUCACUUCACUUCAUCCUUUGAUCUUAUUCAUCUCUUUUUUAGUGUUGUCACUUACUUGUCACACUCUCUUUAAAUUAGAACACAUACUUUUUUAUAGUUAAAAAUAAAACUACACCUCCUAUAUUUGAUAAACACUCAGUUGCACAGACAACAUUUUUCGAUCUUUUUAACUAUAUGUUGUUUAUUUUUCGUGUUUGACCUCGAAUCAUUUUCAAAAAACCUUUGCUUAACUUACACUUGGGGUUAUAUAUAGAAAAACUUGUGGUAGAGCAUUACCAACACUUUUAAAAAUGCAUUACUAAUAUUCACACACCUCUAUCACAUCGCAUAUUACACCAUCGAGUAUUUUAAACACCAACUACCUGCACUAUUAUUUUCCAUCCAAAUACUUUUCUUCACCUUCUCUAAAUCUUUGAGCAAUUGAAUAAAAGUUUGUGAUGCAUGCUCAAACAACUAUUCAUUUAUGCUACUGUCAAGUAAUUUGACAAUCAUCACGAUCUAGUUACAAAUUGACUCUUUGAUUUUUUCACUUGUCUCUAUUUGAUUCUCAAGUUCACUUGAAACUCUAGCCUCUUUAAAUAUACGUUAAAAGAAUUAGGUUAAUAAUUUUCUUCUCAAGCACCUUAAGUGCACGGGUAUAUAAAAUUCCAACAAAAGUAAAUUUUAUGGAACUGGACGUAAUAAUGAUAUAAAAAUUUCACCAUCCAUUAUCCCAUGUAUGAACCCUUUAUACAUUUCACUCACGUAUCUUCAUAUGAACAAUACAAUUCAUAUUGUUUGUAACAUUUACAUCUCAUGUAACAAUUACAAAGUGGGUCGUAACCAAAGACCUUUUAGAUUAUAACUUGAACACAUGAAUUAUUUGUAUGUCAUCCACGUAUUAUUUGACUAACAUUAUAUAUAACGUGGGUCUUUGUUUAUUGAAUUGAAUUAAUAUUGUCUAAAAGUAAAAUAAAAUAUUUCAGGCUUUCUUAAAUAAAUAAUUUUUGUUUAAUGAAAACUACUAACAGUGAGAUUUUAGGACACUAGUUUACAUAAAUAUCAACAGGGGAUAACAAUGAAGUGCAUGUGAGUUAAGUUCGAUAUCCAUAUACCUAUGAAAAUGGGAAGAACAGGUACAAUGUAAAAUUAAGAGUGUCUUAGUUAGAUACCCUGGAGUUACAGGGUUUUAAGUGCGCAAACCAUCGUUAUGUAAACCAAGCACAUAUAUCAAUCUAACAAAAUAAAGAUUAUAACUCCCAAUACGUACUAGAAUCAUAAAUUGCAUGUUACUUCAUGGGCUCCAACUUGUGAGUGAGAGGUCAGUGUUGUGGGUAAUUUUUUUAAGAAGUUUCGUGGCCAUUAAAUUAGUCGAGGAAAGAUAGCUAGAGCCUAAGCAAUACAUUAUAAGACGAAAAGGAGGUUUAGGAAAGAGAAAGAAAUGGGUAGAAAAAGCUUAUCUGAGAUUCUCAGCUUAGCUUCCACCAAAGUCGGGCCUAGUGAAUUAGCUUGGGAACUUUUCCAUUCAUUCCACCUAGAACAAUAAUGAAAGAGAAAAUGGCCAUGGAACUAUUUCAUUUGCCCUAUCUGGUCUAAUGAGCAUUCAAAAGCCUCCCAGAUGCAUAGUUUUUAAACAGAAUCGUGAGAGGAUUACAGCAUAUGAUAACGCCUGCCAUGACAACUCCUUGGAGAAGGAGGUGAAUUCUUCUAUCCUAAUAUUUUCUUUUUCUUUUUUGGUUCGUUUAUUGAUUUAAGCAUUAGAGUGUGGGUUGGCAUCCAUCACACCAAUGUCUAAAACUCACAUUUUUUUUUCCAAGGAUUUUGAUUUCUUUCCAUCAAUUCACCGUUGCUAUCUUGUUCAAAUUUCAACAUCAAUAACAUAAAAACAUGGUUAAAUUUAUGAAUAGUGUAAUUUAAUAAACAAAUGACAAAUUUGUGGUAGUUUUGAAAUAAAUAUUGAAAAUAAAUAAAUUGAAUUUGGGGGAGAUGCAAAAUAUUGACAGAAAAACAACAACCAUGAAUUGAUAAUGAAAUAAGGUUAAUUUUGAUUACAUCACCUUCUUAAAUUGAUUAUUAAUUAACAAACUUUUUAAUUAAUUAAUUAUAUCACAACUGUAAAGAAAUAUAUUAUAAUGUUAAGAUAAAUAUCUUUGUAAUUGUUUAAAGCCCUUUCUGCAGAUUCAUUUCUAGUGCUUUUUUUUUUCCACGAAGAAAGCGAAGGCACUACAACUACACUUCAAUUAUAUCGUGAACCAUUGAAUAUUAUUCAAACUUCUAUUCUUAUCAUUGGCUUUUUUUUUUUUUUUUUUAUUGCUUCUAAAUUACAAAAUUCUCCAUUAUAAAAAUGACUGAAACUCAAUUACUUUAAUUCACUGGCUCAAAUCUAAAGCAAAAAUUAAAUAAUUAAAAAAAGAAUAGCAAAUAUUUUAUCACCAAGUUGAUAUAUUUUAAUCCUGGCUUAAAACAAAAAAGAGAGUUUGAGAAAUGUAAUACCAUCCUUCAGUUGACAGCAAAAAAAAAUGUCAACUAUAGUAAUAAUUGUAUCGUUCUAUUCUUAAAAAGGUUAUUCGUGGACAUUAAGUAAUACGAAAAUAUAAGAUGUAAUAAACAUAGAUAUGCAUUUACUCCAAAAUAUACUCUUAUAGUAUUAUAUUUAUUUCUACCGUACAAAUUGAUUAAGGGUAAAAUAUAUUUUCUAUAAAAGUAGAGAAUUCGUUCGUUUGAUCUUCAACCAUAAACCUAACGAAAAACUGGAAGAAAAGAUACAUACAAGAUAUAUGCGUUUGUGUGUGUGUAUUCUAAGUCUUCAUUAAAGAGAAAGCUAAGGUUUGUCAAUCUGAGAAACACCAGGAAGAUGAGAAUGGGAAAUAUCUGAUAUAUUUUCAUUUAUGUCCACAUAUUAAUGUAAAGUAAAGUUGUCCUGAAAUUAAAAACUGUCUCAAAUGAACAUGUAUUGGAAAAGCUUUGUCCAAUGGCAACGUUGAUUUGAAAUGAAGUUCCAAAAAGGACGAGUAAUGAAUGUAAAUUAAUUAGGAGAGAUUAUGAAUGUGAUGGGGAGUUCAAAUAAUUAUAUAUGGAAGUCCUUGUGAUAUUUUUGCAAACUGUGUGGAGGGCCAUGCAUUCUUUUAGCCUCCUUUUCUUUGAUUUGACACUUCACUCACGUUUUGGCCCAACAACACGACACCCUAACUUCCAAUUUACAAAAAAGAACUGAUUUACUUUAUUAUUUACUCUUUCAAUGUGAUUGAUGCCCAAUUUUAAACUCUUUACUUUCUCCAGGAUAUGAGAUCUCUCACAUUAGGCAUAAUCACAAUUUUUGUAAUAUUCACCUCUAGUUUUUAGAUAUUGUAAUUUCCUUCCUACUUAAGUCAAGUCGUUGUGAUUUGGCUUAAUUUCGUGUUUAUAUCAAACCUUUGAGGAGAGAAUUAUUAGUAAACCAACAUAGGAUGAAAGUAAAAAGUUAAUUCUUCUAUCCUAACUCUUCUUCUUUUUUUAAUUAAAGUUGAAAAGGAAGAGAUGUAUCUUAGAUUUUGGUGUUUGCCUACCCAAACAAUAAAAUAAACAUUCCUCUCUCACUUUUUCAAAAUACUUUUUUAAUAAAUAUUUAAGAAAAGAACACAAAUUGGCUAUAUAUAUAUAUAUAUAUAUAGUUAUAGUUAUAUAUAUUGUGAACUGCCCCUUAUGACAAGAGGUAUCUUCACCUUUAUUAAUAUUAUAAAUGUAUAUUGAAAGGCAGACAAUGAAUAGGCCAAAUUUGUUCCACCCAAUGUCUUUGGAGUCAUUUUCCACGUUGUAGGGUGAUCAAGUCCAAAGGUAAUAUAAUAUGGUUCCUAUUUUCAUAAGAAGCAGUACAAUUAUCAAAUUGGGUGCAAUUAUAAUAUUAUUAUUAAUUCCUUAAAAUAGUGUGUGAAUAAAGUUUUCUUUCCUUAAAUUAAUUAAUAUAUGGCUGUCACUUGUUAAAAUGUCCAUUAGUCAAGCCAAACACCCUAAUUAGCUGCCUUCCACAAUGUCUUCCUGUUCAACAUGGGACUAAUCUCAAUUAGACUUAACUAAACUAUUCUAUACCUAAAUAUCAUUCUACCAUAGAAAAUUCAACUCCACCUUCCCUUUUUUUUUUCUUCUUAAUCUUUCCCUUUCUUUCUUAGUUAGUUAGUGGGUGAGUCAAAUUAAAGUUUUAACUUCUAAAAAUAAAUAUUAAUACAAUAAAUUUUUAAAAAAUAUAAAUUUUACAAAAUAUUUUCAAUCUAUAGUAAAUUCUAUAACAAAUAGUCAUUGACAUGCUAGAAUAAUCAAAGACUAUUAGUGAUAGAAUCUAAAAUUUUGCUAUAGUUUGUAAAUAUUUUAAUUUAUUUUGCUAUUUUUAAAAAUACCCUUAUUAAUAUAAACAUACUACAUCACAUCAUUUGUAGGGAAAAAAAAAUGAAGAAAAACAGACCAACAAAAAAAAAAGAAAUCAUCCAUGGAUUUAACAAAGUCUAAAAUAGCUACUUUUAUUUUUAUUAAGAUUUAAGAAGUAAAAUAAAUAUGUUUUUAAAAAUAUUAAAAAAAUUUGGAAAUAAAAACUAAAUUUAAACUCAAAAAAUUUAUCGAACUUGUGGUGUAAUAUAAACAUCUAGACACACUAACAUGAUUCACCAAAUAAGAUGAGAUGGAACCCUGGGAGUCUUUUCAAGGAGAAAAGAAAGUAAUGGUAUUUGGAUGGAUUGAGUUAUAUGAAACUAUUUUAAAUGGAAAGAUAAUGGAAAAUAAUUAUAAAAUAUAGUAAAAUAUUAUAUAUCACAAUAAAUAAAUUGUACAUGUAUGUAUUUAAAAUUGGUUCAUCUUAAAAUUGGUUAACUUAAACAGUAAUUUAAGGUAGAAAGAUUGAGAUACAAAAUAAUUUAGAAAUAUUUAUUUGGGUAGAAGGAGUUGGGGUUAGGUAUGUAGAAUAGAAGAAAAAGGGUGGGAAAAUGUAGUAGUGGAUUGUGGUGGCGGUGGGUAAAUAAAAGGAGGAGUAAAGUGGAAUCUAAAAAUGAGGAUGAUUCCAUGCGUGUGGCGGCCAUAAAAAAGAAGAAGGAGAAAGAGAGAGAGUAGGGUCCGGAGAUUGUGGAAAAGAUGGAAGCCAGGGAAAGGAAACUAAACUAGGUUUUAAAUUGGCCUUUGAGUUCCCCAAAUAACAAUGGGCCCAUUUUCAUUUUCCCAUUACUCGCCCCUUCGCUUGCUACGCGGCUAACAUUCCUUCUUCCUUCUUUCAUUAAUCACAUGCCCCAUUUUUAUCAUCCUUUAAUUUCAUCUUCCCAAUUCAUUCUACCCUUCCCUUUUUACAAUUAUUACAUUCAUGCAUCUUUCCUUAUACCUUCCCAAUUCAUUCUACCUUCUUCAUUCUUUAAAUACCCUACCCUCCUCCUUUUUCCUUCUCAUUACUUAUUUCUAAAAUACCUCUCUAUAUGCAUCUUCCCUUAAUACACGUUCCACCAAAAUUCUCACAUCUCUAUAAACUCCGCAUCUACAUUACUGUACUUGUUUUAUGGAUAUUGUGCACCCUUUACAAGUUUGCGGUGUAUUCUUUGAAUUCAAAUAUUGGUUUUCUCUAUUCCUCUGUUUAGGACAACUCCUAUAUAUUACAUUUUUUUUUCAUUUUAUAUGGUUAAAAAUAGAUACUAUCAAGUAUGUAUUAAACUCACCCGCAAAUUUAGUAUAGGCUAAGGAGACUUGUCUUUAUAUAAUAUGUAUAAACAAAAUCAAUUAAUACUUAAUAUUAAUUGAUAGUUUAGUGGUAAUAAUGCGUUCAAGUCUUAUUUGUAUAGUUUUUUUUCAAAUUUUUAUUUUUUUUUUAAGUUACAACUUCAAACCCACUGUCAAUAAAUUUUCUGGACAUAAACUAAGUAUAUUGGAUAACUUAAUUUUAGGCAUUUCAAGAUUUUGUUCAUCUACAAUUCUAGAAAAAAUAUUGUACUUGAGGGUGAUUGAAACAUUAUAUUGUCCAGUGUAACUAGUAGCUUUUAUAGUAGGUGAGUUUAUUGGAUCAAUCCAUAUUAUUUUAGUGUAAGUUAUUUAUAAAAUAUACCAAAAUUUUAUAAUCUACCAUAUUUUGUGAAUAUUUGUUAUAAUGUGUCAUUUCCAAUAAUUUCCUUUUUUCAUAGUAUUUUUUUUUUCUACUAGGAUGAGUCAUAGUUUUUUCUAGUUUUCUUACCUAAAUUCAUGUGUUUAUUAGGUACUAUUAUUUGUUAUUUUCUUUUCAUUCCUCACUUAUGUUUGUUUAAUAAUUUGUGGUGGAAUUAAGAUUGCUUUGAGUACAUGAGGGCAAAUUAUUCAAUGCAUAAAAUCUUAAUUUAAAAAUUAUAUCUUAAUUAUUAGUGUCACAAAUUUGUGUUGCCGUGUUAGGUUGUUUUCAAGUUUUUCAUUCAGAUACUCCAUCACCUACAUAUAUAUAUAGUUAUACCAACAUUUUAGAUAUAUGAUAUCAAAUAUUGACAUAAACGCCAAAGAAUCCUGAAAAUUUUUAAUAUUAAGAAUUCAUAUAUUCAACAACUCGAGUUUAACAAAACCAUGUUUGAAUGCAGAAUUUUCUUUGCUAUGGUUUUCUAUGUUUUUUCUUUUAAUUUUCUAUCUCUUGUUAUCUUGAAGCUGAUCAUCUCCCCUAGUGGACAAUUUGGUAUUUGAAUUGACAUUUUUGUCAUUUCCCUGUUCCCCCACGAAUAAGUUCCCUUCAAAAUUCUCCACAUAUUUUCCUACACAAAUGAACCAAUUAAUUUCUUCUUCGUUAAUUUCAAAUAUAUACCAAAAUGAAAAUAAUGAAAAUAAUGAAAUAAUAGGUGAGAAAUGUUAAUGAAUUAAUUAUCGUCCCUUAAUUGCAUGUAGACAUCCAAACAAUAAUAGGAGAAAAAGAAGGGUAUUUACAACUUAAUAUUCACAUAUACUAAUUAUUUUACAAAACGAAUCCAACGUCCUUUUCUUCAAUUUUCGAUUUCCAUUGAAGAAAGAAAAAACAAAGAAAAAAAAAACAUUUUAUUAAAAUUAAAAUUUUAUUAUUUUCGUCUGUCUCUGUCUACUCAAAACACCAACAUGGAAUUCUUGGUGUCGUAAUUCAUCUUCUCCAGAUUGGGCUGCACUGCAAAUUGAAUCAUCGGCGGCGGCCCACAAACCAAAGCCAAAGUAUCCUCCGCCGCUGCCGGUAGAUGCUCUCUCGUUAUUUCCUCCGUAAUAAACCCAAUGCUAUAUUCCCACCCUUCUCUAAUACUCUCCUGCACCACGUACCAUACUUUUCAAACGCUCGUUCUUCUUCGCCCACGUGUCCAAUUCCUCCCUCAGCAAAAUAUCAUCCUCCGUCCGAUUCGCAUACACAACAAACAUCUCCGUCUCGUCCUCCGGGUCCUUCAAAAUCGCCUGCACAAUUUGAUAUAUCGGAGUUAUUCCGGUCCCACCUGCCAGCAUUGCAAGCCGCUUCGCGAACCGGGGUUUCCCAUGGACCGUAAAGUUUCCACGUCCGGUGUAUUCGAUGUGGCCCAACGGACCCUUAACCUCCACUGUCGAACCCACUUCCAUGUUGUCCAAGAACUGUGACAUGAUCCCCCCGUUGGGGAACUUGGGGUGCACGUUUUUGAAGUACACCUUGACGACCAAUUCGAAGUAGCCCAUCUGGUCUACGGUGCUAGAGGGCGUAUAGGCUCUCAUGCAAAGCUUGCCGUCCACUUUUGCGCAUAUAAAAAUGUGCUUGCCCACGGGCAGCCCAAGUACCUGAUCCUGACCGCCGGGCAGUUCGAAUCUGAAUACACGCACAUCGUGCGAGAUUUCGGUUUUGGAAAUCAGCUUGCAGGGGAUCUUUUCGUUAGGGGCCAGUGCCGCGCGUCUUGUCACCAUUGGGGCUUCUCGGAUGGGCGCUAAAUGGGAGAAGUUGGAGGCCCCGUGAGUGGAGUUGUUAGGGGAGUUGGAGGAGGAGUCGGAAGCGUAGCCGGUGGUGAUCAACUCUCCUAUUCGGUAAUCCUCGAGCAUUUUCUUCGCUUUGUCCGAGUGAAUGGCGUCGAACUCUUCGGUGCAGUCGGUGCCGGCGUUGAUUAAGAUACUGUCGGAGCGCGCCGGGGUGGUCUUUGAGGAAGCGUGUGCAAUCGUAGACAUGGCCGUGGACAAUGAUCCAGGCGGAUUGAGGGGAGUUGUGUUUUUUGACUUCGGAUAAGGAGUAAGUGUUGGAGGCAGUGUUCAUGAAUGGAGUGGAGAUACUCUUCUUUAGGGUUUGGUUUGAUUCGGUGGAUAUUUCUAGAUGUCUCUCUCUGUCCAUCCAUCCACCGGAUUGGUUGCCGGGAACCGUUGGGUGUUCGAAGAUGAUUCCGAUUUCUCCCUUGUGAGGUUUGCAUACGUUGGUUUUCACGGUGAACCAACAGUUAUUCAUCAUUCCCAUAAGGUUCCAUAUGAGUUUCUCAGGUUGAGUGUUGAGAGUUUCAUCCCAAGCACGUACUGCAAUUUCUUUAGCGCCAAGCAGGUCUAGAACCUCCACCUCUAAGGACCAGAAACACCAGCACCAGUAUUUUCCAUAUUUGUUUGGCUUCUCUGGAUGGUCUAACGUGCACACUUGCCAUGUCUCUCCACCGUCCAUUGUCACCUCCACACGUGUCACCUUCUUUCCGCCACCUACACGUUUUUUCAAAACUAGACACGUUAAAAUAGUUGUGUGUUUUUUUUUUUUGAACUUUAAUUCUCCGGAUCUACAUCUACCUUUCCUAGAUAACAACCAAGUAAAUAUAAAAAAAGAAAUACAAAAAACGGCGGCGGCUCACCGGAAUAAGAAUAGCCUCUCAAGGUGUAGGGCCUCUGAGUGGUCCAGGAGUUGAUAGGCAGAAUCUCCUCAUGGCAUGGAGUUGUUAUGACUGAGUUGAUGUUCAACUCGUUGAUUAUGUACUCCGGCUUGUACCACCAUGCUGCAUAUUUUAAAUUAAAUUAAACAUUUAAUUAUAAUUAAGGUUGACAUAAAAUUCAAUCAUAUAGUAACUAUUUUAUACCUUCGGCGUUAGCCAGCUCAGCGUCUACAUGGGAUGGCAAGACUCUAUUGUCCUUGAAAUGGUAAUAGUUCUCUGAUUCUUUGGUUGUAACGAUGAUGCGUUUAAGCCACUUGACCAUUCUACCCCGAUGAAUCCCGGUAUUAUCAUCCUCACAGGAAACCCGUGGUCCGGUGCCAACUGCUCUCCGUUUUGCAUAUACGCUAAAAUGAUGUCCCUAGCCGGAUCCAUAGCCAGCUCUUUCUUGAUACUAGUUCCGUACUUGGACCCUCCCCCACCUGGCAGAUCCUCAGCCCCUUCAAAGCACACAUUCAGCGCCCCCUUCUUCCUGCUCAUAAUCCCACACCGUUUCAACACCUCUCGCAGUGGGACCCCCCUCCAUACUGACGUUGAAACUCCCGCCGCUCCCCAGUUGAACCCGAUGCUCUUUUUCACCAUGUUCUGCUCCUUUCGCCGGUUUCCUGCGCACGACUAGCGUGGCUGGAAACUCUCGGAACCGGUCGUUCACAGUUGGUCCAUGCUGAAACUUAGUGGGGCCGUUUGACCAGACCACAGACCUCGAUUGUCCAGUCGCUCCACUUGGCCUUAGGGACUGCUCCGUGGUUACGCACGUAGUGUAGUGGGACUGGGGUUAUGAACCCAUGGUGCAUCAGAACGAUUGAGAGGUGGCUCCGAGUUGAAGGGGUGGCUUCCCUGUGAGACGGACCAUGGAAGAGUUCCGCUCGAAUCCAAUUAUCAGCCGUCCCUUCAUCUCUAGGGUCCACAGUCGACGGUUCCAGUUCACGGUUCCCCUUCUUGAUCAAUUCACGAAGCUCGUUGUUAUCGUUCUCGUCUCACUACACGAAUCAUCAUCUUCUUCCUCCUGUUCCAUCUUCACGGAGCUCUUGAGAAGGCGAUUGUUAAUGUUGGAAUUGGGGAAGUUGCAUCCACGAACGGGGGAGUCGGACCGGUGUUGGGACCGUGGAUUUGAAGGAGCGAACGACGCCAUUAAGCGGUGGCUGGAGAGAGCCAAAUUGGCGGUUGUCGACAGAAGCCGCCAUGGGAGAUUAUUUGUUUAGAAAAGAAAUGAAAUAAUUCUCCUGAUUUUGCCUCCACCACCUUUGUUGUGAUAUGAUGUUGUAGUUUGAAUUGAAGUUUUGGUGGUGGGAAAAGUAGGGAGGAGAAGGUGUGAUUAUAUAGGAAAUGUAUGUGAAGAAAAAGCCGAAAGUGAGGGCCCAACCUAUUGGACAGGAAAUUUCGAUGGGCUGGGGGAGCUGUUAGUUCAAAAUGACGCCGUUUCGGGAGUGGGGGGCGUGCCAAUAGGGCGAGCCUGACGAAGUACUUACAAAUCAGAACUAUGAAUCUGUGGUGGGUGUGAGCCCUUGGGUUCAUACCGGUCUCAGCCACACGAUGAAUUCAAACAUUUCUCUUCAAAUCAACAAGAUAUCCUCCACAUCUUUUAUUUCCAUAGCUUUUUCUUCUUACUUAUUUUAAUUGCCUUUCUUCUCCCCCACUUCUUAAUUGCACUAUUAAUUUUCUCAAAAUACACACAAAACAAUAAUAAUAAUAAUAAAUAAAUCUCUGCCCACAACCCUUACUUUCAAUUUUCUUUUAAAUUAUUGUCCUUCAAACUACUAUUAAUAACCAUGGCUCUAUGAUUCAAAUUUCUGUUCAAAUCACUCAUUCUAUUUACUUUAAAUAUAGUUUGUUAAACUUUCAAAAACAUGUGAUUAUAAAUCUUUCUAAAAUGUGCAUUUAUAAUUUCUUUUGUUUAACUCGAACAUAGCUUAAAUAGUAAGAGAUUCAAAAUCUUCAUAAAAACAAAAGAGAAAAAAAAUAAAUACUUGAUCUAUAUUUUUGGAGACAAGCUUUUGCUAACUUCUGUGUUUUCUUUAUACAAAAAUUGUGUUCUUAGAGGAGUUAAUUUAAUCUUAGGAGAUUCCAUGCAUGUAUGAGUUUUUAUUUAUUAGUUUUGAAAUUUUGCUUUGACAAAAAUGUACCUGUGUACUAAAUGUUUGAAAAUAAAAAUGUAUUAAAUCAAAUAUGAAGGAGAAAGCAAAUAUUUCCACACAUAAUGAAUAGAAAAAAAGACGAUCUUACCUUACCUUACGCAUGCAAAGACAAACAAGUGUAUGUAUAUAUAUUAUUGAUAGAGAUUUGUUGAAUUAAUUAAAAUUUAACAAUAUAUCUUCUUAUCUUAUAAACUAUAUAUAUAAUUAAUUUGUAAAAAUAUCUUCUUCAAAUAGUCACCAAGAUAUUUUUGCUGACAUACCAAAUUAAGACGAUAAUAUUACUUUCUUCCAUUCUUUUUAUAAGACGUCUCACUCUCAAUGAAAAAAAAAGUGUAAAGUUUCUAUAAAAAAGGAAAAAGAGAAAAAAAGCGUAAAGCCAAGCAUUUAAAAAGUGAAAUGAUUCUUUAAAAUACUAAUGAAAUAUUUGUGUUUUUGAAAAUUACUUUUUUGGCCAUUACUAUGUGCCAAAUAGUUUUUCUACCAACAAUAAAAUAAAGGGGCAGUUUUUCGUAACGAAUAUUUUAUAUAAUUGAGCUGUUUUAUAAAUAUUGAUUACUUAGGUAUGUAUAUCUUUGCCAAAAUAUAUUUAAUGGGAUUUUAAGUAUGUAUUCAACUAUCAACCUAGAUUAUUAUUAUUAUUGUUAUUAUUUUACCAUAUAUAAGGUAGGAGUAGAACCUUUGAGUGUGAAAUAAUUGAAUAGAAAAUAAAUAACUAUGAUAUAGAAUAACUUUAAACUAUAUAUAUAUGUGUAUGUAUGUACAUUUGCAUAUAUGUAUGUAUUGAAAUAAAAUCUCUAAUUUGGAGUUGAUAACGAUAUGCAAAAUCCAAACCCGAAAAGGAGAAGGGCUGGUUAUGGACAUUUGGGGAAGUUCAAGUGAGGAGGCAGAAGAAGGACGAGAGGAUGGGAGGAAGAAGUUUUUCAAAAAAUUAGUUAAAUGAGGCCAAUUAAAAAAGAAAAAUAAAAUCUAACGUACUUAGGAUGACUCAAUUAAUAGGAUACACAUCUCUAUCUCCGAUCAUGGGCUCUAAACCCUUAAUUGAUACACAAGAGUUUAGGGUUUAAAUUAAUCUAAAUAUUACUUUAUAGUUUAGAUUGAAUAUGAUCCCUAGUUGAGAAGAUGAUUGAUGUCAACCUAGUUUAAAUUGAAUAUGAUGGAGUGCUAAGUUUGUGCUAACCUAGUUAGGAUGAUUUGAUGUCCUUUGUGACCCAUAACUUCAUCUAAGAAAAGAAAAUUGAACAUGUCUCUAAAUUUAGAGAUAUAAAUAGAUAUUUUUCCUAAAGUUAUAAAUUAUUAAAGCGUUAUUUUUAACUAAUUGAAAAGUUUAAAUACUAAGUUGGGUUGCAUUGAUACCAUACUAAAUUAUCACUCAACCUAACUCAAAAGUAGAAUGUAUUGAUAGGUUACGGUAAAUAUAGAAAUUUUCGAGAAGUAGAAAUGGAAUUCUCUCAUCCCAAAAUGGUUGAAACUAGUUUUAGAAAAUUUCUUUUAAGCAAUGAAUAUUUGAUGUUUUUAAUUAAUAUAUAAUAUGAACAAUUAGGGAUUGAUUCCCAUGAAAAGUUAAAUUUAUUUUCAAAUUUAAAAUGGAAAUAGAGUUUUUGAUGUUAUGGUUGAAACAUAUGUUGGAGUAUUCAACAUGACAAAUGAUUCAUUAACUUGGCAACUAGCUAAAAAUAGAAUCCUCACUUUUACAAUAAUAAUCAUGUAAUAUAAUUAAAAAAAAGAAAAAUUAACUCAUUCCUCUCUCUUUCUCAUUUUCCUAAACUUAACAUAUAAAUGGUAUUGCACUAUUACUUCAAACACUUUUAUUAGAAAAGAAAUGGAUUUAUAAUUUUAUAGAAUUAAUCAUCCAUUUAGAAUGUCUUUUUAAAUGUUUCAUUUCAACAUGGCCAAAAAAUUGAUUUUGUUAUAAAUAUUAGUAAAAUAGUUAGAUGGUCCAUUAUAUUAUGGGUUAAUUGUCAUGUGUCACUUUCUCUCCAUUUCACUAUAUUGUCAUGUGUCAUUUUCUUCAACAUCUAACACAUUUGUCAUGUAUUGAAGAUAUCAGACCCUUGGAGGCCAUGUAAUUAAUUCGUCUCAUGCUUACCAAAUUGCCUAUAAAUAAUGUCAUUUGGACAUGGAUCUUGUAGGACACACAUGUUGGUAAAAUUUUCAAAUAAAUAGGAGAAAGUUGAAUUUUUUGAAAUUUUUAAAUUUAAUUUAAUUUAAUUUAUUUUAAUAUUAUAUUUUCUUGAUUUUCGUAUUUUCGUUGUGUCUCAUUUUUACGCUGGAGCUCCAAUUGCCUCCUUCGUCCAAGCAUGAGCUCCAACCAUCUUCUAUACUAAAGGUUGGUUGAUUUUUCACCCACUUUAUUAUAAUUAAUAAAAUGAAUGUUAUUUUGCAUAUUGAAUGUAUAUUAAAUUUCUAAUAUAAUUACAAUAUUUUGUAUAUUAUCUUGAAGAUAUUACAAAAUUACAAUUUCUAGUAUUUGAUAUUAAUAGUAAUAAUUAUUUAUCAUGAAUGUUUGAUACAAAAAUACACCUAGAUGUAAUUAAAAAUAUGAUCGUCAGAAAGCAAUUAUUCUUCCUAAAGCUCGUUAUAAAUGAAUACAGUUGAGGCUCCAAAUUUCUAAAUAAAUAUGUUAGAGAAGAAUUUUUCUACGUUUUGGAUAUGCUUCAUGCAAUAGCUUUUGCAUAAUAUCUUCUCAUGAAUGAAAUAACGAGUUAUUGAUUGAAAGACCAUGAAUAUCAAUCAACUAUAGAACCAACAUUUGCUAAAGUGAAUGUUGUAAAUUUUAAUAAUGGUGGAUUAAAAAUUAUGAUUCUUAAUCUUAUUAUCUAAAAUGAAUGUUGUGAGUUUAACAAUUUUAAUGGAGGUUAUAACUACAAUAAAUGAAGAUAAUUAUUCAUUGCGGCUGAUUGUUAUAAUUAUCCAAAUUUUAAAAGAACCACAUGAAAUGAUGGUCAUAAUAAAUGGAAAGCACCUCGAAAAAAAUAGAAAAAUGUGAAAUGACAUUUUGCAUAUAUGAUUAAUAAUAUAUAUAUUUGACCUAUCCAAUAUGACAAAUUUGGAUACGGUAGAGUUUUGAAUCUCUAGAAAAUUGACAUAUUCGAAAAAACAAGUAUUUCUUUUGUGAUUAUAUAAUAGUUAAUGUUUUUUUAUCUCUCAUAUUAUAUAUAUAUAUAUUCCAAGUUUUGUUUUUUUUUUUUCAAGUUUAAAUUAAUUUGUUUAACGAGGAAGCACAAAAAAUUUUCUUAUAUUUAAAUAACUAAAAAUGUUUUGAGUUUUUUAUCUUUUUGAUUAUAUUAUAUUCAUAUAAGAGUAAUUAAAACAUAUACAACUAUUAACCUAGAUUUCAUGAAUCUAGACAUAUUUACAAUUGAAAUAAUCGAUUGGAUCAUCCAGGAUCUAUAAUGAUGAGAAAAAUUAUUGAAAAUUCACAUAUGGACAUCCAUUGAAGAGCCAGAAAAGAUUCUUCAAUCUAAUGAACUAUUAUAUGAUGCUUACUCUCAAAGCAAAUUAAUAAUUAGAACAUUACUAGCUAAAUUGGGAAUUGAAUCAUCUGUAUUUUAAGAAUGAAUUCAUGGUGAUAUAUGUGGAUCUAUUAGCUCACCACGUGGACUAUUUAAGUAUUUCAUGGUAUUAAUAGAUGAAUCUAGUAGAUGGUCACAUGUGUGCUUAUUAUCAAGUUGAANNNNNNNNNNNNNNNNNNNNNNNNNNNNNNNNNNNNNNNNNNNNNNNNNNNNNNNNNNNNNNNNNNNNNNNNNNNNNNNNNNNNNNNNNNNNNNNNNNNNNNNNNNNNNNNNNNNNNNNNNNNNNNNNNNNNNNNNNNNNNNNNNNNNNNNNNNNNNNNNNNNNNNNNNNNNNNNNNNNNNNNNNNNNNNNNNNNNNNNNNNNNNNNNNNNNNNNNNNNNNNNNNNNNNNNNNNNNNNNNNNNNNNNNNNNNNNNNNNNNNNNNNNNNNNNNNNNNNNNNNNNNNNNNNNNNNNNNNNNNNNNNNNNNNNNNNNNNNNNNNNNNNNNNNNNNNNNNNNNNNNNNNNNNNNNNNNNNNNNNNNNNNNNNNNNNNNNNNNNNNNNNNNNNNNNNNNNNNNNNNNNNNNNNNNNNNNNNNNNNNNNNNNNNNNNNNNNNNNNNNNNNNNNNNNNNNNNNNNNNNNNNNNNNNNNNNNNNNNNNNNNNNNNNNNNNNNNNNNNNAACUACGUUAUGACUUGAUCCCUAUAUUAUAAAGGGUACGUUAGGCAGCUUUAGGAAAACCUUAAGCCCAGUCCAGCAAAAAAAAAAAGUUGAACUACGUUAUGACUUGAUCCCUAUAUUAUAAAGGGUACGUAGGCAGCUUAAGGAAAACCUUUAAGCCCAGUCCAGCAAAAAAAGUUGAACUACGUUUAUGACUUGAUCCCUAUAUUAUAAAGGGUACGUAGGCAGCUUAAGGAAAACCUUAAGCCCAGUCCAGCAAAAAAAGUUGAACUACGUUAUGACUUGAUCCCUAUAUUAUAAAGGGUACGUAGGCAGCUUAAGGAAAACCUUAAGCCCAGUCCAGCAAAAAAAAAGUUAAACUACGUUAUGACUUGAUCCCUACAUUAUAAAGGGUACGUAGGCAACUUAAAGAAAACUUUAAGUUCAGUCCACCAUUAUAAAAAAAAAAAACCUUGAACUACGUCGUGAGUUAAUUCUUUUCUUCAAAGGGUGUUCAUCUCUACUAAGGAAUCAUAACAAAAUUGGGGGCAAAUCCCUAAAUUCACAAGAUGAUCUCUAGUAACAAUGAGAUGAAAUAAAUUGAAGAUGUUACAAACUUCGUGCAAAGACUAUGUACAAGUUGAGUGCAUGUAAAAAAAAAAAAAAAAAAAUCUCAAAAUCAAGCUCAAAGGCCGUCAUUAAUGAUCCCUCAUAUUCAAGCAUAAAGGUUUCAUUGAUGAUUCCUUAUAUUCAAGUUUCAAGGCUUCAUCGAUGCUGCAGCUCCAGCUCUUUGAGAGGAUAACGAUGGUACAACUUCGAUAGGACGACGAUCGGGCAGCUCUGCCUUCGCGUCUCCAAGAUGAAAACGAUAGUGUAACAUCGUUCUCUGCCUCUUGAAGAAGAUGCAUACAAUGCCUAAAGCUUUAACCUCUGCUUCAUCUUCAACUUAUUGCAACCGAGGAGGAUUCAUCUUCAUCUUCUCCUAGGAACGCGCAACGAGAAGAUUCAUUUUUAUCUUCUCUCAGGUGUGUAGCAACUGAAGAGGAUUCAUCUUCAUCUUCUCCCAAGUGCUACAACCGAAAGAGGAUUCAUCUUCAUUUGCUCUAAGGUGUGGCAAGUGAGAGGAUUCAUCUUUUUCUUCUCCUAUGUGUUGCAACGAGAGAGGAUUCAUCUUCAUCUUCUCCUAAGAAUUGCAACUGAGAAGAUUCAUCGUCAUCUUCUCCUAAGAGUUGCAACCGAGAAGAUUCACCUUCAUCUUCUUUCAGGUGUCGCAACCAAAGAAGAUUCAUCUUUAUCUUCUUCCAGGUGCUGCAACCAAAGAGGAUUCAUCUUCAUCUUCUUUCAUAUGACGUAGCCGGAAGGCUUCACCUUCAUCUUCUUCUAGGUGCUACAACCGAGAGGAUUCAUCUUCAUCUUCUCCUAGGAAUUGCAACUGAGAAGAUUCAUCUUCAUCUUCUCCUAAGAGUCGCAACCAAGAAUAUUCACCUUCAUCUUCUUUCAGGUGUCGCAACCAAAGAAGAUUCAUCUUCAUCUUCUUUUAGGAGUUGCAACCAAAGAGGAUUCAUCUUUAUCUUCUUUCAUUAUGUCGUAGCCGGAAGGAUUCACCUUCAUCUUCUUCUAGGUGCUACAAUCAAAGAGGAUUCAUCUUCAUCUUCUCUUAUAUGUCAUAGCUGAGAAGAUUCAUUCUUCAUCUUUCUCCCAGGUGCUGCAAUCGAAAAUGAUUCAUCUUCUCUCAUAUGUCAUAGCCGAGAGGAUUCAUCUUCAUCUUCUCCCAUAUGUCAUAGCCGAGAGGAUUUAUCUUCAUCUUCUCCCAGGUGCUGCAAUUGAAUAGGAUUCAUCUUCAUCUCCUCCCAUAUGUCAAUAGUCGAGAGGAGUCAUCUCCUUCCAUAUGCCAUAGCCGAGAGGAUUCAUCUUCAUCUUCUCUCAUAUGUCAUAGCUGAGAGGAUUCUAUCUUCAUCUUCUUCCAAGUGCUGCAACUGAAGAGAAUUCAUCUUCAUCUCCUCCCAUAUGUCAUAGCCGAGAGGAUUCAUCUUCAUCUUUUCCUAUAUGUCGUAGCUUGAGAGUAUUCAUCUUUAUCAUCUAACAGGUGUCGCAACCCGGCCGAUGGAAUUCAUUUUCAUCAGCUCUAAGGUGUAGCAAGCUAGAUGAUUCAUCUUCAUCUUCUCCCUGGUACCACAACCAAGAAAGAAAAAAAAAGAGGAGCAAAGAAGCAAGAAGAAAAGAAGAAGAAAGAUGAAAAUGAAGAAAGAAAGAAGGAAGAAAAAAAAAAAAACAAAAGAAAGAAGAAAAAGAAAAAAAAAAAACAAAAACAAAAAGAAAGAAAAACAAAAAAACAAAAAGAAAGAAGAAAGAAAAACAGAAAAACAAAAAGAAAGAAGAACAAGAAGAAGAAGAAAACAAAAAAGAAAGAAGCAAGAGAAGAAAAACAAAAAGAAAGAAGAAGAAGAAGAAAAAAAUAAAGAAGCUCAAUUGGUGAUAACGAAGAUCGAAGCCCGACGAUGACAGAGUCGAUCUCUCCUACUAGGGCGAUAGAUCUGACGGCAAAAGCCCGAUCGUCCCUAGAAGAAGCUCAACAAAGUCAUUUCUGAUAACGAAGAUCGAAGCCCGACGAUGACAGAGUCGAUCUCUCCUACUAGGGCGAUAGAUCUGACGGCAAAAGCCCGAUCGUCCCUAGAAGAAGCUCAACAAAGUCAUUUCUGCAAACGAAGAUUGAAGCCCGACGAUGACAGAGUCGAUCUCUCCUACUAGGGCGAUAGAUCUGACGGCAAAAGCCCGAUCGUCCCUAGAAGAAGCUCAACAAAGUCAUUUUCUGCAAACGAAGAUUGAAGCCCAACGAUGACAGAGUCGAUCUCUCCUACUAGGGCGAUAGAUCUGACGGCAAAAGCCCGAUCGUCCCUAGAAGAAGCUCAACAAAGUCAUUUCUGCAAACGAAGAUCGAAGCCCGACGAUGACAGAGUCGAUCUCUCCUACUAGGGCGAUAGAUCUGACGGCAAAAGCCCGAUCGUCCCUAGAAGAAGCUCAACAAAGUCAUUUCUGCAAACGAAGAUUGAAGCCCGACGAUGACAGAGUCGAUCUCUCCAACUAGGGCGAUAGAUCUGACGGCAAAAGCCCGAUCGUCCCUAGAAGAAGCUCAACAAAGUCAUUUCUGCAAACGAAGAUUGAAGCCCGACGAUGACAGAGUCGAUCUCUCCUACUAGGGCGAUAGAUCUGACGGCAAAAGCCCGAUCGUCCCUAGAAGAAGCUCAACAAAGUCAUUUCUGCAAACGAAGAUUGAAGCCCGACGAUGACAGAGUCGAUCUCUCCUACUAGGGCGAUAGAUCUGACGGCAAAAGCCCGAUCGUCCCUAGAAGAAGCUCAACAAAGUCAUUUCUGCAAACGAAGAUUGAAGCCCGACGAUGACAGAGUCGAUCUCUCCUACUAGGGCGAUAGAUCUGACGGCAAAAGCCCGAUCGUCCCUAGAAGAAGCUCAACAAAGUCAUUUCUGCAAACGAAGAUCGAAGCCCGACGAUGACAGAGUCGAUCUCUCCUACUAGGGCGAUAGAUCUGACGGCAAAAGCCCGAUCGUCCCUAGAAGAAGCUCAACAAAGUCAUUUCUGCAAACGAAGAUUGAAGCCCGACGAUGACAGAGUCGAUCUCUCCAACUAGGGCGAUAGAUCUGACGGCAAAAGCCCGAUCGUCCCUAGAAGAAGCUCAACAAAGUCAUUUCUGCAAACGAAGAUCAAAGCCCGACGAUGACAGAGUCGAUCUCUCCUACUAGGGCGAUAGAUCUGACGGCAGAAGCCCGAUCGUCCCUAGAAGAAGCUCGACAAAGUCAUUCCUGCAAAAAAAAAAAAAAAAACACAAACAAAAACAAAAAAAACAACAACAAAAAAAACAAAACAAAACAAAACAGAAUAAAAAAAAAAAACACACGCAAAAAAAAGAGAAAAAAAAAGAGAAAGGGAGAAGAAAAGUUUUCUAUACCUUUCUGCUAAUUGGAUGAGGAAUAAGCGUUGGAUGAGAUAUAAGUGAGUAGGGUAUGAGUCUAUUUAUAAGCCCAACAAAUCCAAUUCCUAAAAGGAUUAGGAAUGAUAUUUAAUUAUUUUUUUUAAAACAAAUCCAAUUCCUAAAGGGAAUAGGAAUGAUUUUUAAAAAUAUAUAUAUAUAUAUAUAAAAAGAAAAGAUAAUCCAAUUAUCUUAUUUUAUUUUAAAUUAUUUCUUUUUUUUUGGAUAAAUCUCAAGUUUAACUUUUAUUGAGAUAUUUAAAAUAUUUAAAAAUUUCAACAUUUUUUAAAAAAUAUAUAUAUAUAUAUAUAUAAAUAUUCUCAAUUUCAAAAUUUAAGUUAAAUUAACUUGCAUAUAUGACCUCCUUUUUAUCAUGAAUUUAAAUGGGAGUCAUAAAUCCAACUUUACCUAAGAUUCCAUAUAUAGAGGAUUUUCCUUGAUGACAAUUCCAGCUUUAGGAGAUUCCAUCAAUUGCUUCAGGAUGCUCUGCGCGAUAGCGGAACCUUGGUCUUGCCCAUGGAUGAUCCCCUUGGAACGACUACGGGUGAUAGGUCCCGUGUAGGUGUCGCUUGCAGCUGAAGAUUUGGAUGCAGCUUUCUUUGAUGCCAUUGAUUUGCUUGUAGAUGUAGAUGAUGAGAGAGAGAUGAGAGGUAGAGAUGAUCCCACUGGGCGUGCCAAUUUGUUGGUGAACCCAACGUGAUUAUUAUCAUAGCAUCUUCUUCUAGGUGCUACAAUCAAUUAUUUUAUGUUUUUCUUAGAAUCUCAGUUCUUUUUUUUAUUAUUAUUAAAAAAAGGCAAGAAAAAGGCUGGAAGAGAUCAUAAGCUGUAUAAUAUCAGAGAAAAAGGAGAAGAGAUCAGAGGUGGUAUUAGGGGAGAAGAAUCUAUUGUCAUGUUUGGUAAAAUGGAGAGAUGAAAAAGGAGAAAGUUUAAGUGAUGAACAGAUCGCAGACAACAUAAUCGGAGUUCUGUUUGCGGCUCAGGACACAACAGCUAGUGUUCUCACUUGGGUUGUUAAAUAUCUACAUGAUAACCCCAAAAUUCUAGAAGCUGUCAAGGUAAACUCACUGAUCACUGCACUCCACCUCUCUAUUCAUUCAUUCAAAUAUAUGUUUUGAGAUUUGAUUUUUGGCUCUAUAUCAACAUAAUGUGAUUAUUGUGUUUAUAGGUGGAACAAAAGGUAAUUGAAGAAGACAUCAAUGAGGGGAGCGGACCAAUGAGAUGGGCUCACACACGAACUAUGCCCUUUACCAACAAGGUAGGGAGAGGAUUCAACCAAAUGUUUCUAAAAUAUUCAUAUAGUUAAAAAAAUUCAUAUUAGGGUUUCUUGUUUUAUUUUAAUUUUAAUUUACAUUUGACUUUAUGGGUAAUAUUAUUUGUUUAUGUUUGGAAAACAAAAGGUGGUGUUGGAGAGCUUGAGACUGGCUAGUAUUAUAUCAUUCACUUUUAGAGAAGCUGUGGCUGAUGUUGAAUAUAAAGGUAACAUAUUAAUCUUUCUAAUUUUUAUAUUUCUGUUUAAAAUAUUAUAAAUAACUUGGAAGAAAAAGUGUAUGAUAAUUAAGUAAUUUAUAAUGUAGUUCUAAGUCAUAUCAUUCAAAUUUAUGUCUAUUUUGGAUGUGUUAUUAAUAAGGUUCAUUUAAGUCAUUAAGUAUUCAAAUUAAUUUUGCAUUUAAUAUUUGUAAUACAAUUUUAUAUAAUCAAUAUUGUUCUUUUUUCUCAUUAAAAACAUGUUUUAUAUAUUAAAUUACUAAGGUUGAAAAGAUAAGAUUAAAUGUAUUGUAUAAUGUAUGGAAUUUUAUGUCCAACUUUAUUUGAAAGGUAGAAAUUAAAAUGAAAAAGGAACUUUAUUGGCAAGUUUGGUUUCAAAUAAGUUAUAUUCCUCACCUUUUUAUUAUGGUAUAUAUUGAACAGGUUAUUUAAUACCAAAGGGUUGGAAAGUAAUGCCUUUGUUCAGGAAUAUUCAUCACAAUCCUGACUACUUUGUUGACCCUCAUAAAUUUGAUCCUUCAAGAUUUGAGGUAUAUUUGAAUUUAGUAUUUACCCCCACCCAAAUAUACUUUCUUUUCCUUUUUCCUUGUCUUUUCAUACACAAAGAAAAAUUCUCUUCUUUUCUCUAACUUUAAUGUUAAUGUUACCUACAACAUAAUGAAUUCAUAUGCAUCAGGUUGCUCCAAGACCCAAUACAUUCAUGCCAUUUGGCAGUGGCGUCCAUGCCUGCCCUGGGAAUGAGCUUGCCAAGCUUGAAAUCUUGAUCAUGAUCCACCAUCUAGUCACCAAUUUCAGGUCCUUCAUUUCUCUUUUUAAAUCAAAUAAGUCUAGUUCAAAAACUGAAGAAGAAAACCACAUAAUUGAAUUGAACUAUGUUUAUGUUUAGAUUUAGACUGAAUGUUUGUUUGGUGCAGGUGGGAAUUGGCAGGACAGAGAGAUGGAAUUGAGCAUGGGCCAUUUCCAGUGCCUAUAAAUGGACUUCCCAUCAGAGUUUGGAGAUUAUCCACUUUAAAUUAAAAGCCCAAAACUGUUCUUUUUGUUUCUCUUUGUUGUCUUUUUGGUUCUUGGCCAUUUUGGGGAGGGUGAAGUUAGAGAUCAACCCACCCCCAAGCAAAUAUUAUGCCUUUCAUCAUAUACUUUCUUUUUGUCCACUGAUUAAGCAAAAAAAACCAUGUAAUUUUCUCGAAGCUCUUCACCAAAAGUAUUGACAGAGCAUAGGUUCUCCCAAAGGAGUUUUUUUUUUUUUUUCUUUUCUUUUUCCCUUAAUAACAUAAUAAAAUUUUUCAAUGUGUUUCUGUCCCCUACUUUUAGUGUUUUUAUGUUAUUGUAUCAAUGAAAUUAAUACAAAAAAGAGUAUAUAAAUACCAAUAUUGAACUUUGAGAUCAACUUCCAAUAGUAACUCUUUAUCUUGUGUAUAUAAAUUUUUCUCUACACAAAAACAUUUCCUACAAUUAUUUAAUAGAUAGGAAAAGCAAAGAAAAAAGAGAGAGAGAAAUAAGAAACACAUAAAGAGAGGAUAACAAGAAGAAUAACGGCAGCCACUGCAAGAGGAGAACAAAGAUCCAUGGCGGUUUCAUUUUCAGCAGCCACUGCCUUACAUCUCCACCCUUCUUCUUCAUCUUACACUCCCUUAUUCAACCCUAGCCAGUUCCUCCGCCUCCGAUCCCCUUCCCGCCGCACACUAUUAAUAGCUCAUGCCCAAUCGGAGCACCGUCAAACAUGGCUUCCCGGCCUCGACCCGCCACCGCAUCUCGACGGAACCCUUGCUGGGGAUUUUGGAUUCGACCCACUUGGGCUUGGCGAGGACCCACAAAGCUUGAAGUGGUACGUUCAAGCAGAGCUUGUUCAUUGCCGCUUUGCCAUGCUCGGCGUUUCUGGAGUUCUUCUCACUGAUGUCUGUAACCAAUUAGUCUUACAUUACCACUCGAUAAUUGCACAAAACUGGAAACCUUAAUUUAAAGAUUGAUGUUCUUUGUGUUGUGGCAGUUGCUUCGUGUUACAGGGAUCAGUGAAUUGCCAGUUUGGUAUAAUGCCGGUGCCGUUGAAUAUGGUUUUGCCAACAAACGAACUCUUUUCAUUGUUCAGCUGCUUUUGAUGGGGUUCUAAUUCUUCCUUAUCCUCCAUUUCCUUUCUUUAGGUGUGGCUGUAUUCAUCACCUUAUCUGGUUUUACUUGGCUUUGAAGGUUUGUGGAAACUAAAAGGUAUAUGGAUUUCAAAAGCCCUGGAUCUCAAGCACAAGAAGGAACUUUCUUUGGAUUAGAAGCUGCCUUUAAAGGUCUCGAGCCCGGGUAAUUUACAUUUCUCUUGAAAUUCUUAGAAUGUUAGAUAAAAUAUUGCAACGAAACAGAGUUCCGAAGCUACCUGUAAAUUCUAUACGAAGGCACCGUCUUACUAUUCUGAGUCUCAAUUUUUGUGUAACAUUCAAUUAAAACUCAUACUUCAAAGGUAGUUUUGAAAUGGUCAUAAAAAGUGGAAGGAAGGAGUAUGAUUUUUUUUUAAAAUUAAAGGAUCUGAAGUUUAUAGGAUGCUCUCUUGAUCAUUUUACCAACUAGAAUGCCCUAGAAUAUGAACAGUUUUGACUUUGAGGGAUGAUUACCUUGCAGAUACCCUGGGGGUCCUCUGUUGAAUCCUCUUGGCAUUGCUAAAGAUAUCAAGAAUGCUCAUGACUGGAAACUCAAGGAGAUUAAGAAUGGUUAAAUUUUCCACUCACAUUCUCAUCAAAUUUUUCGUCUAUCGUUUUCCCGGAUUAAUCUUUGUUCAUUCAAAUUACAGGACGGCUUGCAAUGGUAGCCAUGCUUGGGAUCUUUGUGCAAGCUUAUGUUACUCAUACAGGGCCAAUAGAUAACCUUGUGGAGCACCUUUCUAAUCCAUGGCACAAGACUAUUAUCCAGACACUUUCAAGCUCAAGUCCUUAAAGAACAAGACGUUGAAACUUGAUAGUCUCUUUACUCAAUGAGCAAAAUAUAACAUGACAUUGGAGAUUUAUCAGCUAAAAAAGAAUACAGAUGAAAGAACAAAUGACCUUUGUAUUUUGAUUUGAUCAAUACAACAGAUCAAAAAUUUGUUUCGAUUAUUAUAUUUGUCCUUUCUGCUGCUACCUAUUUCAAACAAGAGAUUAAACAAAAGCACAAACUACAAGAGGCUCAUCUUCUAAUUUAUGAUCUUACAGAGCACAAAAUAUGAUAAUCAAGCAUAUGAUUCCUCCCAAGAUCUUACAUUGUCACAUAAAGGGCUGGAUGGGGUUUGUAUCAGAUUCGUGGUUUUGUUUGGUAUUAUUAUUUUACAAAAGGUGCAAGGCCACAAGAAUAAUGAUCAAAUUAAAUUUGAAGUGGAGAAGAUGAAUAUUUGGUUAUGGCUGUGAGGAUCCUCUCUUUAUCUCUUGUAGGAAAUGCUUCUAAUAAGACCCCAUCUUUGUAGAAGUGGAACAGUGGCACAGUCUGCAAUGCCAUCAUCAAAUUUCAACAUUAGUGAACUAAAAUACAAAAACAAAACUUGUUUAUCAUAAACAUUAACAUUUUAGGAACUUAAUUAACUCAAUCACAAACAAACACUAAUUUUAAUGGUUUUCUACCUCUAAAUCAAAUUAUAAUGAAUAUUCAUGAGGUAUUGUUAAGGACUAAACAUAACUUUUCAAACUAAAUACUAAUUUUCUUCAAAUGACAAAAUUUGUAAUUUAACCAUUUCUUAAUACUUUCUUGAUGAUGUUUGAAACAACAAUAAAUAUUAUAUUAGUUAUGUUUUUUAAUGCAGCAAAAAUCUAAUAAUAAUAAAAAUUACUGAAAUCAUUAAAAAUUAAAAAUUAAAAUUAAAAUCGGACCUUACAAUAAUUAGAAUAAGAAGAUUUUAAUAUCUCAAAGCAAACAGAAAGUUUCCGAAGAGACCAAGAACAGUUUGUCAAAACUUCAGUCUAAUUCAACACAAACCCAACUUGGCAAUCAAGAAGAGAAAACAAGCUUACCUUGAUCCUUAGCCGUUCAGCAACCUCAGAUUGUUCAUCAUAUUCAUCCAUGACCUAAAACACACAAUCAAAUUCAAAGCAUAAUAACCAGUCAGUGAUUGUAAUGGAAGUCAAUUUCCCGAGAAAACAUGGCUAAUAUGAAACACUCACAUUAUGCUUCAAGAAGAUAACCGGUGCCUGUUGAUCGCCAGACCCCUUGCACAAUUUUGCAAACCCUUGUUCUAUAUAUUUGCAACUUCCACAAGAUGUUCGAUAAAAGUCCACAACUACCAAACCACCGUUUUCCUUCGCCUUGUCUAGAAUUUUAAUGAACUCUUCAUCCGUCUUGAAUUCCCGCACACAGUCUACAGGGCAAAGAUCAUCAUCCUCAUCACUCAACUCCCCCUGAUUUCCAGCAUUAACUCUCAUUUUACUCUUGUAUAACAAUUGGUUUCUUGGAACUUCGGGUCUUGUAAUCGACAAUCGAACGGGCUCUUUCUCCGAAGAAAGCCAGCGGGGAAUCAAAAUGGGGAUUCUCGGCUCCAUUUUCUCAUUUGGGUUUAAUCCAAAACUGAUUAAAGUUUUACAUUGCAGUACAUUCUGGUUCUGCCUUUGCAUUGCAACAUAUAUAUAUAUAUAUAUAUAUAUAUACCCAAAACUCCGAUUUGGGAGUUCUUUAGUGAAUGAACUUCAGUCAGAAAGCUCUAAUAAAACUGAGCAAUAUAUCAGAUUCAGAUGUAGCAUUCAAGACAAUGUUUCAAACUCAUGAUAAAUCUUAUUUAACAUUAAUCAUGUUAAAGGAGGAGAAAAUUUCGAUUAUCGAUUCAGAAAGAGGAUGAAAAGUAACUGUUAAGAGAAUGAAAGGUGAAAAAUUGAAGGGGUAAAGCAACAAAUGAAGGACCAGUUGAUUACCUCCGAGCGGGAAGAAGAACAGAGGAGCAGCUGCGAACGAGAAAAUGACACGACUCGAUCAUUAUCUUCUUUCUUCCUUUGCCAUUGAUUUUCUUUCACGUGGGUUGUUGUGUUGACAUGGCUUCCUCGAUGAGUUCCUCUUCCUAUUUGAAAAAGCCCAGAUUUUGAAGCCCAACACAUUGAGUGGAUAACAAUUUUUCUUUUAAAUUUCAAAAUUUUCUUUUCGAGGAAUAUUAUCUCAGACUUUUCCUAAACAUUCGAUAACUAACACCGAAGUAGAAAGUUGCUAAAAUACUUAAAGACGAAAAUUGAAAUCCAAACAUUUCCAUCAAACUCAGUUUAUGGCCAAAUUUUCAUCCAAAACUCUUGACAAAAUUUUUUUUUUCUUUCAAGUUAGUUUUGAGACAUUGAUGACAGGUAAAAGGUAAUAUUUUUUUAAAAGUGAACUAUUGCCUCUAUUAUCUCAAUUGAUAGAACUUUGGUUUUUAGAUGAUGAGGACUGUAUUUACCUUUCUGGAAGCUGAGAAAAGAAUACAUACAGGCUUAUAAUUAUUUCAAAUACAUUAGCAUUGUGAUCUUGAAAUAUAAAGUUUUUUCUUACAAUUUUACAUUUGAUUGUACAUACUAGCUAACCUUGUGAUAUCGAGUUUAUGUUCCAAUGUAAUCAAACCAGUCACCUUCUAGAGAAGAUCAAUCGAUAUAUCAUUGAGAAAGUUCAGAGGGUGAAAUAUUAUCAAUACAGAAGGUGAGGAGCUAAGCUAGUUGAAUAAAGAGAUUCAGAUUGUAUAAAUGUAUUAAAAAUAGAUUGUCUGCUUGUCAAUGAGACUAACAUGUUAUGUUGUUUUAUGUCGACUCGACUUUUGUUUGCCUAACAAUGUUAGCAUUUUAGGGAAGAACGACUUCUUCUUUUUCUUUCCAUCCUUAGUUUCUGACAAUGUUUCAGAUCUACCCAAGCCUUUUUGUUUCCGUUCCUUUGCACUUGGCUCUUGGGGAGCUGGAGAAUCUGCUUGCUCAUCAGUUGUUGAUUCUUUUACCUCAAUGUUUGUCCUUGGACUUGUUGGACUUGCUACCUCUGGGUUAGAUUUCUCCUCCUUCCUUAGUUGCUCUUGUUCUGUCCUCAACAAUCUCAACUCUUGUUCUACUGCUAACUUUCCUUCCUCGGUCUCGCUCUCCUUAUCAAUUGCAGCUUUCAGCGCUUCCUGUCUAGCCACUAGUUCACGACUAACUUCUUCAAGCAUUUCCUGAUAUUUUGCUUCGGAUUCCUUAGCGGCCUCAAUUUGUGAAAUUGCUUCUGUCAUCUUGAUUCUGGCCUGCUCCUCGGCCUCACGAGCACGUUCGCUGAGUUCAUUGUAUUCCUCUAGUGAAAUAGUUACUGUGGUUGGUGAAUCUUCUUUUGUGGUUUCAGAUGAAUCGCUACUCUCUUGUAGUGCUUGGAUUGCUGAUAAUGCUAACACUUUUGAGGCAUUUGAAGCUUCAAUCUCCUUCUGAGCUGCAAGUAAUCUACUUUCAACUGCUUUUGAUUCUGCCUUUGCUUGUUCUGCUUCUAUCUUUAUCUUCUGGAGCUCUUCAAGAGCUAUCUGAGCAAUUGACUUAGCCUUAUCAACCUCCUCUUCUGCUUGUUUCAAUUGAUUAGUCAAGUCUACACUACUUUCUUUAGCUUCUUUUACGUUUCCCUGAACAACAUCUAUUUCAGACAUGUUCUUAUCUAAUUCAACUUCAAGUGACACAGCUGUGUCGGAAGGCCUGACUUCCCUCUUCUUAGCGGUGGUCAAAUUAGAUUUCUCCACUUCAAGCUCUGAUUUUAGUGAAGUAGCAGCCAUCUUCAAGCAUUCUACCUCAGCAAUUGCUUUCUCUAUGUUGAGCUUUACUUCUUCCAAUUCCUUCUUCGUUGAAUCAACCGCCAAAAGUGUAGCUGUAUCUAUUUUCUUCACAAUUUCAGAAACGUCACCUUCCAAGACCCGUUCAUCACUUAUCUCCUCUCUCAUUACCGAUUCCAUAUAGGCCAUCAUUUCGGCUUUCAGAUCCGAUAACAACGUCGAGGCAGUAUCUACUUUCAAUUUAAGAUCUUCAAUCGACAGAACUUGCAAAUUUAGUCUACAAAACUCCUCUUCUGCAUCAUCAAGCUCCUUCCGCCAUUUAAAACAAUCCUGCUCUUUCGCCAAGGCAGCACUCAUCCUUUGCUCUUCUGCUUCUAAAUGGGAAGCUUGUGCAGACUGCAAUGAUUGCUUUAAAGCAACCAGCUCCAUAGUCAGCUCCUCAAGUGCCUUCUCACCUUCCACAGACGCAGCAAGAACAUUCUCGGCAUUUUUCACAGCAGCGUCUCUCUCGCACACUAACGAAGCAAACUCGUUACGUAGUAUUUCCAGUUCUUCUUUAAUAGAUUUCUGCUCUGAAACAGCAGCAGCAUGCCCCGCCGUGGCCAUCUCAAGCUGUGCCUUUGCAAGAGCAUCAUCAUUCUCCUGAUCAGUGGUUCCUUGCUUCAUUUCCUCUAGUCUUAGCUUAGCAAGUUCUGAAUCUUGUUUUGCCUGUUGCUCUUCCAUUUGAGCAACCUCCAAUGCAUGCUUUAAUUCUUCUAUGCGUUGUUUCGUGUUUUCGAGCUCAUUCGACACUUGGAAUUCUUCCACCCCAAAUUCAUCCGACUUUUUCCUACAAUGAAGAAUCUCCUCCUGCACAUCCUCAAGUCUUUCCUCUACUGUCCUACUUCUCUGUAGAAGCAGAAAACAGAAUAAUAAAUACCUAUCAAUCACCUUGGAACUAUUGAAAGAUUUUUAUGUUAAGAAAGAAGCCUAAAUUAUGUGCAAUGUGAUAGUCGGUCAACAACCAACAAGAACAAAUUCAAUUAUCUUCCCUCAUACACAUUGGACAGAAAUUCUCUGAAUUCUGUGGUAACUUUGCAGUCAGAUAAAUAACUACACUACAACACACUCAAUCAUUUUUCUUCAUCUAUACUCAAAAGGGAAACGAAGAACAUGAAAAAGUUAGCCAAAAAGCAUAAAUACCUCCACCAUAGAAUGGACACGACGAGCUUUCCAAUCAACAAUCCCUCCAAAUUUAGAGACAGCAGCUUUAACAGAUUCAAUAGGUGCCUUAGUUUCAAUAAACCCUUUAUUCAAACCACCUUGCUUGAGAUCUUUAGAAGAACGAACUUCCAUUGCAACGUGAUUCCCCUUUUCCUACAGCAGAACACACUCAUCAACAAGAAUUAUUUCCAAAAACUAAAACACAAUUAGAAAAAAGAAGACAGAAGAAAGAGUGAUGUUGUUGUGACGACAGAAAAUUACUUGAGAAAUAACAGAAGGAGAAUCCUUGGUAACAAAGAAUUUGGGGGUUUCAGAAUAGAUUACGCCAUUAGCAACAGGAGCUGAAUAUAUAACUCCAUUAGCAACAGGACCUGUUGGACCUCCACCUUCAAAAUUUAUGUUUGCAUUACAAGCAAUGAUAGUAGGAGCUUCAGUUUCAGAUCCUGUCAUCUUUUAAAAAAAUCCUGCGUCUCUGUUUUGAAGUUACAUGUUGAGUUGAAUUGCCUUCAUUCAACGUUACAGCUACAUCCCCCAAUUAAAAAAGAAAGUAGCAAAAUGACAAUCCAUAAACACAAAUCCCAACAAAAAAAAAAAGAAAAAAAUCAGAACCCAAAUGAAUCAAUUUAUCAACAAACUCUUAAAACCAGAAACCCAAAUUGUAAAUUGAAGAAGACAACACAUUUUGAACGAGAAUUCAAAAAGUCAAUAGAAGGGAAAAUCAGGGAGAAACGUACCAGAGAGGGAAAACGGAAAUGAAAAUGAAACAGAGGAGGAAUGGGAAAUGGAAAUUUAAGGAUAGAAUUAUUUGAUAGAAGAAGAAAAGAAAAUGAGGUGGAAAAUUGAAGCCGAGAAUAGAAAGAAUGAAAAUGGGAGGUGGAGGGGCGCGUGGAGUUUCCACCUCUUCCUCUUCCCAUGGACAUCAUCCAUUGCAUUCUCUCAGCCCUUCUCUAUUUCUUUUCUUUUUCUUAUCUUGUUUGUCAAUCGUGUAUGGAUUAACUGAAAUAAUUUGGAGUUAAACAACUCAUGAUUUUGAGGUAUCAAAACCGUAAAUCAAAAUAUGAGUUAAUAUAGUGUGCAAACUCAAACCCACUCAUCAUAAUAAUCUUUUAGUUUCUUACUUCUCUUGUAAUACCAACUUCUUCCUAUUUUUGUUAUUACAUGGACAUAUGUUUUAUUGGAAAAAUUAAAUAAAAAUCAAUCCUUUUAAAAGUUUUCAAAAUCUUUCAUUUGUUUGUUCUACAUUCACUACUACAAGAUUUUUUUUUUUUUUUUUUGAAGAUUAUUAACUCUCCAACGUUUAAUUAUUAACCUUUGAAGAUUAGUAAUUAUCCAAGGUUUUACUAACCUGGUUAAAUUAUUCACUGAAGAAUGUUUAUUAUCAAAUUAUUUUUUCUGAAGGUUUCAUAGAAGAACUUUUUCAAUAAAUGUGUAAAAUUUUCAAAAUUCUCUCGCAAAACCUUUUAACACAUUUAUACAAAUUUCAAAAUGUUUUUACUAAUCCAUCUACCUAAUGGUGGAAUAUUGAAUUACAAUGUUAAAAAAUGACAAUCUACUACAUCAAAAUUACAAUUUCAAAAUGUUCUAUAACAUCAAACUACAACACUUCAUCAACUAGAGAAAUGUUUGCGCAUCUCUGCCAUCAUAGUUUGGAAUCAAUUCUCAAAACGGUUUUCUAGUUCGCUAAUUCUAUUCUGGAGUGUUUGUACCUCAACUUUUCUUUGUCGUUCAGAUUCGUGAAGACGUUUUUAGACUCAUUAAGGUGACGCUCAAGAUCGUGUACCUUAGACGAUUACUCAAACAACUUAGAAGUGGUAACACCUACCCCAUAACGACCACGAACACGUCCAUGUUUCUCCGGUCCAAAUACUUGAGAAGCAUACAAUUUAAGUUCCGACUACAAAACACAAAUUCACAUUUAAUAAUUUUGUUGAAGAAAAUAAUGGUUCAAAUACGACAAAGAGGAGCCAUGAAAACAAACUCAAUUCAAAGUUGGUUGAUUUUCCUAAAUUCACAACAAUUUUUCAAAUUAUAUCUUUUAACUUAACUAGUUUAUGUAGUGAAGAUGGACAAGUUUUGGUUUCAUUUAUACUAAAGAAACAUAGAUUUUUUUUCUUGUGGAACCUAGCUAAGAUCCACAAAACCAGCUUGAAAAGCCACAAUACCAAAGAAAUUUUCUCAUGGAAUCUAGCUUAUAGCAAGUUGAACAUACACAUUAUAUGACAAGAAAGUUAGAGUUAUGUUGUCGUUCCUGUUUUAAUGUUUUAUGGAUUUUCCCUCUUCGUUUUUAACAUUCAGGUUGUCUUCGGCUUUUCCUAUAUGUUCGUAUAACAAAAACCUGGGGUAGUUUUGCAAAUACUUCUCCUAUGAAUGAAAGUGCUAGGUAGAUCUUAUGGACAACACUAUAGUGGAAUGCCUCCUGAUUCUUGUGGCUUUAAUCAGAACCAUCAUGAGACUUGUAGACAAACCUUUCAAAAUACUCACCAUGUCAACCCAGUGGCUUCAAACGGAAAUUCUAAAACAGAAGAAGCCAACAAAAAAAAUGUCAAAUUCCAAAAUCCAAACUCAACAAUUAAAAAAAUGAAACAUGUGCGUAAAAGAGACAACAUGUCUGAGUUCCAAGUCUCAUUAACAAUCAACAAAAAUGGGUCUUAAACAAAGGUAAGAUACAUAAUCAGAAUCCAACCCUGAGAAUAGCCCAAAAGCAGAAGAAAAUAGUGAAAAACAAUAUGGUAAUGUGAUACAGGUUAAAGAAGAUCAACCUAAGACUUAAGACUCAAAAAGAGGUAAAAAAAAGUAAAUAGGUGAUGUAAAGUUAAUACGUAGCAUAUGUUUUAGUGAAUGAGACUUUUUAAGCUCAUAUUAACUUUUCGGGUGAAAAUGUAAAGUAAAUACGUAGCAUAUCCAUCUCACAUUGGAGACUUUGAGCUUCUACAGUUAAAUAAGAUCUCAAGUUAUGAUGAGAAACGUACCCAAAUUCUUGCAAGGAAAGUAAAAGUUUUGUGCAAUCGGAUGAUAGAAUCCAUAAUAGAAUUAAUGAAGGUCGUUUGGUAGAUGAGAUGAGAAAAAAGUACUCCGUACACACGCUCAGAAUUAAAACUUUAAGAGACAAAAGUCCUUACGGAUGAAGAAUAAUCUAACAUCCAAAUUUUGAAGUAAUUUCAAACUAUCUUGAAUUAAUUGUUAUUGUCAAUUCGAGUGAGUUUUUCAUUUUCUUUUACAAAAAAGGAAAAAACACUUAACAUCGAUCCCUUUUAGUUUUUUUUCUUUUAAAUUCUACCCCAAACUACCUCAUAAACACCUCUAUAACUUGGAGCCAUAAAAUUUCAAAAUAAAGUUCAAAUUUUCAUAAAAUUGGUUAGAAUUGCACAUAGACUAAGUCAGAAACAAAUCACAAAAGGAAAAGGGAAAGAGAAAAAGGAAGACCAAUAUGAAAGCCAACAUUUGAUCAACCAUCACAACUCAUCUUUAAAGAUUGGUAAAAGCAGAUGAACAUCGUGUUAGAUUUAUACCCAAAAUCAAAAUGUGCAUCUUAUUGAUAACACACACUGCGCUAGCUACCGAUCUAUCUACACAAGUAAGAUAAUUUUUCUCUACAUAUUUUCUGCAAUCCUCAUCUCAUCUCCUCGAUCCCCACCUUACACUUCAAUGGUGCAAAAGGAAUCCGAGCACAACGAAAAUCCUAUCAACCAAUAAGCCCAUUGACACCUCCAUAAUUUACCAAUCAAAGAAAAGCUUAUGGGUUCAAGAAAUAAAGACUUAAGCUUUGGAGUUUUGGGCUCCAUAUCCUAACAUUUCCUAUCUCUCAAAAUGGCCCCUCUUGUUCAACCUUUGUUCUAAUAACCAACCACAUCCUCCGCAUCAACUCCCAACCUACAAAGAAAUAUUUCUUUGUGUGUUUAAAUUUGAAGACGAUGUAGCUAGAAGGAGAGAGGAGUAUCAAAUGUCAUUAAUUGGAAAAUACAUUUACUAUACUAUAUUUGAAAACUAUACUUAAAAGAAAGUGAUAAAAUAUGGUUGAAUUGAAACCCAAUUGAGAAGUAUUCACACAUAAAUUAUAUUAAAAGCAAGUAUACAUAUAUGUAUGUAUGUAUCAAAAAUCAUCACAAGUAAGAAAAAUAAAAGGACGAAAAAAUAAAAAUAGAAAUGAACAAACUUUGAUUUGAUUUCUAAACCAAAUGAAUCCGUCUAGGAUCAGUGAUAUUAAUGCUCCAAUGCUGAUCCUCAUAGCCAAUAUUCUUAGCCAUUUUCCUAUCCCAAUCCAACUCAAUCCUCCUUCUCUCUGUAAGCUUACAAAAUGAUUGCAACUUCUCAUCCAUCGCGUCAUGUAGCUUCCACCAUCUUUGGUGAGCCACAUCGCUAGCGUAAACCCGUUGGUCGUCUAUGUUCCAAUUGCAAUCGUAGUCCCUAUAGCAUAACCAUGGCUUCAAACCUAAGUAAUGUAUCGCAUAAAGCUUCGGUGGAUCCGCUCCGAACAUCUCGUUCUUCACACUCCUCUCUAGUGUUGUGUUCGACCAAAAGUUCUUUAGGAAGUUUGUUCGUCGUGGUAGCCUGUGCCACCACACGAACACUUCGUUCAGAAAUCCUGUUAACAUUAUAUCAAUAAUACAAGAUAUUAAACUUCUAGUUAUAAAUUAAACACAACUAUUAUUCCGGCCGGUCGAAAAAAAGAAAACUGUAAUCUGAAAGCAUUCGAGUUAAAAAGUGAUCUAACCUUGAUCACCUCCGUUGUAGGAGACGAUCUCGUCACGCCGCUCCAUGAAAACACGAAACGUACAAUUGGAGGGCUCGAUGACCAUGAUACCAGAGUUGAAGAUGGAGUUGUCAUUGCCGACCGCGGACAUCUGAGGGAAAUGAAAGAGUAGGUCGAGAUUGCGAAGAACGAUGAUGUCAGCGUCAAUGAAGAUGAUCUUGUCGUAGUCAGUUAGCUGCCAUAGCCGAAACUUGCUGUAGUUGUAUUCAUUGUAAGAGUCUUUCUCGGCUCGCGGGUUUCGGAUCCGGGUUAUGAUCCGGAUCUUCCACCCGGCUGAGACCAAGGCAGCGCGUUUGGGCAUGGAGAUAGAUUCGUCCAUUAGGAGAAUAAGAUCGCGCUUUGUUCGGGUUUGGAGUAGGCUUUGAGCCAGGGUAAUGGCGCCGCACACGUAAGCUUCUGAAGAGUGGAUUACCGUGGCGUAUGCUUCUCGUUUUACCGUCUUUGUUAAACUUUGGAUUUUGGAAAGAUCGUACACUUUCUCCACUCCUAUAAUUACAUGGACAUCCACGUCAGCAUGAAUAUAACACCAUGGAAAUUUGUAGGAAGAAAAUCAAUAAUUUAACACAUCAAAAGAGUAUGUUCGUAACUAAGUUAGUUGCGAAUUUAACGUAAACACAAAUCAUUCCCACGUGGGACCCCGAUGAUAAAAAGAAAAGAAAAAGGCCAAUUUCAAUUCUCAACCAAAACUCAACCAACUCUUAACUUAGUAAUCAAGCAACCAUCUUCUUCCUCUCCAAUCCCCCAUUUGAAAAACAUUCAGAUUUUGAAAGUUCUAAAUCGAAAUCAUCAUAUAUUCAUAUUCAAUAUAACUCAAAUACACUUAACAUCUUACUUGCAUGUUAUGUACAUAUGAGUAACGUACCUCGAUCCCAAAUGGGCAUUGCCAAUUGACAAGACCCAAUCGGCAAUGAAACCUUUUGCUCCAACCUACUCAUCUCCGGCUCAUAAAACCACCAAUCUCCCUCUCGCCCGAUCAAGUCGUUGCAUCGAAAAAGCUCCAUCAUCGGUCGACAUUUGCUCAAAAACGCCACCUUCGUUCGGGAAAACCAGUCCCUCUUACCUUUCUUUGCAGCCAUGUUCGCCGCAAUCAAAUGUAUUUGAAGUCGGAAUACGUCCCUCCCCCAACUCUCCUCCGGGUAUUGACAUGGCAGCUUCGCCACUAUCAUGUCGACUUUUUUAUAUCUUCGAUAAUCCGGUAAUGGUAUCUCUGGACAUGAUGCACCAUCAAGGUCUUCCUCUUCGUCAACCCACUCCGGAAACAAAUGCUUCCACUCGAAAAAUUUGGACACCUGUUGACGAAGAAUGUGAAUAAGUGAUGAUGCUUGACAUGACUUUUCAAGUACUUACAAAUCAAACAUUUAUACGAAGACCACCUUCUCGAAACCGACAUGUAUGAUAUCAAAACUCGACUCCCAUUCACUGACAUCUUCUUCAUCCAAAUUCACCAUCCCAAUUUUUGUUGAUUUCCCCAUUUUCUUCCAAAGCUUCAUUGGUAUUUCCAACUUUGUCAUAUUCCUCCUCAAAUGUAAAGGCAAUCUUGGUUCAGUCUCCUCCAAAACUGCCUUCAUCUACCAAAUUAAAACCAAUUUUUCAAUACAGAGAGUUCAAAAAAAUAUACAGUAAUUAAGUUUAAGUAAUAUAUAUAACAUUAUUUCAACCAUCAAUUAAAGCAGUACACACAAAAAAAAAACAACACUAAGUUUAGCUCACCUAACCUUGGGAUGACACUCGUGUAAAGAACACGAGACGAAGGAAGCAGCAUUGAGAGAAUACGGGGCGAAAGACGAAGAAGGACGGGGAAGGAGGAGGGCAGCAUAAAUGAGCAAGAAGAAAGCCAGAAAGAACAAGUUGACUCUGAUUAUCAAAGCUUUAGCCUUCAACAUUCUUUGAAGACCCAAUCCUUCAACCAUGUUUGAAUUAAUUGCUUUUUGGGAGAGUGAAGAAAAUUGGAGAUGGUUUUUUAUAUAACAAACAGGCUUUUGUAUAUAAUAUUGGAAAUGGUUAAGAAUGAUUAGAGAGGAGGAAUGUAAUAAUAUAGUAUUUGAUUAUGAGAGAAUUAGGAAGAGAUUAAUUGGGAUUUAAUUAAAAGAGCAAAAGUAGAGUAGAGAUUAAUUAAAAGAAAGUUGAACCAUUGUGAUGCCUCCAAGUGUCACUUUAUUUGGAAUUUAGAUUUCCUUUUCUUCUGAACAAACACAAACAUCAAGGAAAAUAAAAAAAAUUAGCUAAGGUUGGAGCAAUUUAGGGUUUUCUUUGCCAUGUUGGGUAGUGUUGGAUAGUUGUUAUAUGUAUUUGGUAAUAUUUGGCAUACCCAUAGAACUCAAUCUUUAUUUCGUAUUUCCCAAUAUGUCCUUUCCCUUAAUUAGUUAUGUACCUCUCCAUCAAACUAGGAAACAAUUACUAUAACAUAUCCAUAUUUUCUUAAUUUUUAUUUUGAAAUCAAAUUCUUCUAAAUUUAUAUAUAUAUAUAUAUAUAUAUGACCAAUUAAAAAUAAAAUGAAUAUAAAGUGAAAGUGUACGAGUAAUCUAGAAGGUGAGUGAUGGGUAUAAUUGUAAAAUGGGGGUUCCAGGUGGAGAGGCGAGGGAAAGAAAGAGGAAAGUUUGUUGGGGAGUCGGCUUCGUGCAUGCAGUGAAAUGUCGCUUUUAUCCGUUAGCAAAUCGCAAGUCUCCACCAAUUCCAAAAUUUCCCUCAUUUUCUUUUUUAUUUCUUUUACAUAAUUUCCACUUCGUUCAUUCGUCGUCGUUUAGUGUCACAAGUAAGUUUGCUUUCACUUUAGGUUGGAAUAGCAAUAGGGAAAACGACACCGUAAAGUAACCACCAACUUUCUUCUAUUUUUCCACAAAGGCUCAUUAAUUAGGAUCAAAUGGCAAUAGCUAGCGUUUUAGUUAUGGUGAACCAUCCCAUUUCAUUUCACAAUUAUUGCCAUAAAACUUACCCUCUUUUGUUUUUUUUAAUCUAAUAAAUAUUCGUCUCAACAUCAUAGUUUUCGAUCGAAAAAAGAAAAAAUAAUAACACCAUCAUCACAUCUACAUGUACUUUAAUGAAUUCAGCAACAUUUGAGGUAUAUAUUGAUGUUGAGGAUAUUAGUUUCACCAUAAUAUUGUUUACUGCAACCAUAUAUAACAAUAUAUCAAUAUCUUUACUUAGCUUAGUAGUAAUUUUAGGUUUUUAAUACACUCUAGACGUCCUUACAUCUAAUCCUAAUGUGUUUAGAUUUUUUAUUUUUCAAAAAAGUGUACUAAAUUAUAACGUCUUUUAGAUCUUUCUAACGAUAUGAUGUUUUUAUUGAAUAAUAAACAUAUCUUUAUAAAAAUAAUAAUGACACUAAAAAUACAAGAAAUUAAAGAAAAAUACUAAUUUGGAGAAUUCAAAUUAACUUAUAUGUUAAUACCAAUGGAGUUCAUCACUUAACUCUUAACGAAAAAAAAUUUAUUUUUAUCAAGAAAUUAUUUCAGCCUCUAUACGGUUUCUAUGCCCUCUACCAUUAUUAUUACUCUGAUAAACACACAUGAAGAAAAACCCUACUUUAUAUUCUCAAAAUUGUUAUCAUUCUCAUCAAGGUAAAAGGUAAAGAAAAAAAAGCGUGCAAAUAUAAUUUGUACAUGAAAAACACACUUUUUAAACAUAUUAUUCUAUUUUUUUUAUUAAAUUAACGAAAGACUAAUUAUGUCAUUUUCAAGUAUAGCAUCAAAAUGAAAUAUAUAUAUAUAUAUAUAUAUAUAUAUAUAUAUAUAUAUAUAUAUAUAUAUAUAUAUAUAUAUAUAUUUUUUUUUUUUUUUUUUUUGCAAAAGACUACUUAUCAAAUUUCCGUUCUAUCCCAAUAAACAUAAAUAAAAUUUUGUUGUGUUUUGUAAAUAUUUUUUUAAAUUUUGUUCUUUACCAUAAUACUCUUAAUUAAUUAUCCUUCCCAACAACUAUGAUCUUAAAAAUUUUAUUUUUUCAUUAUUUCAAAUGUAUGACUCUAGUUAAAUUUAUGGAUAUAUAACUUUAAAUUUAAUAAAAGUAAAACUAUUAAACUCUUUUCCUAUCCCUUACAUUCAAAUUUUUAACACUUUUAAAAAGUGAAAAAAGAAAAAUGAAUUUAUGGUUGUGCAACUUGUGGGUGAGACUUUAGGGUAUGCCCAACAAAAGGAAUUUAUGGUUGUCGAUUAUGAGCGAGUCUAAAUUGGAUGCGGCCCAUGCUACACCAUCUCCAUACCUUUCCUUCCAUCAUAAUACACACACACAUAUGUAGAGAAUUUUGUGAUGUGACAAUCUACAAUUGAACAUUGGUAUUGGUAUAAAAUGCCAAAGAUGAGUACAACUAAGAAUAUACCUAAAUAUAUAUAUAUAUAUAUAUUGUUAAAAAAAAUAAGAGAAUAAACUUUAAAUGAUAAAUGAAUGGUAAAAAAGGACCAUUUAAAUAUAUUUUAAAAUAAAAUAGGUAAAAUAGGAAAUGUUCUUAUAGCACUCUUAUUAAUUUAAAUUUUUUAUUUGUAAAUUUAGCAUGAGCAUGAAGGUCGGUUGGAUUUUUAUAAAAUUUUCAAACUAUAUAUAUAUUAGCACGAUCCAUAGUCACACUUCCAACUCUAUAUUAGAAAAAUUCCAUCAAAUGAUAAAAACAUUUAGAAAGAAUAGUUUAAGAUAUAUUUUUUUUUUCAUAUUACAAAUAUAGCAAAUUAGUGAUAUCGAACACCUACUUCUUUUAAAUUUGUUAUUUUUAUAUAUUUAGAAAAUAUUGUUAUAUCGACUCUUCUAUUAUAAUUUUUUUUUGUUGCUAUGGAAAGCUCUUAUAUUUUAAUCAAGGUCUAAAGUUUGACAUUCUAAUGGAAUUUUUAGACUACAUUUUCCUCACCGCGUGGUAUAAAGUUAAAUUUUAGACUAUGAAUUGGUCCAUAGUUGGUUUUAAACCACAUAGUAAAGAAUAACUUUGUUGUCAUCUAAAAUUAAAAUAUUUUUAUAAGUCGUAUAUAUCUAUAAACAAAUCUUUUUCACGGUUUUUUUAAAUUUUAACCGUGGUACGUAGUAUUGAAUAUUUUGUAACAAUUUUUUUUUGUUAAUAUGUAAGGUAGAUGAAUCAAACCUCUAAUUUUGAAGUUAAUACCAUAAAUAUUAUGACAAUUGUUGAGUAUUAAACAACUAUUUUUGUUACUAUGAUUAAAGUUUGACUUUUGGACCAUCAUUUAAAUAAAACUAGUUUGAUUUUUUAUUUAUUUAUAACUUGUUUCUUAAAAGCCAUAGAAAGUAGAAGGAUUUUGAAGAUGAUGGUUAAGAAAAAAAACUACAGCAUAUCAACUCUUGUUCAUUUAUUGUGUAGUUUAAUGAGUUUAUUUGAACAAAAUUAUUCAAUGAGAACCUACUUGACCCUACAACAUUUAGGUGUAAAAGAAAUUUGUAGAAAAUUAAUGGUAUAAAAUUAAUUCUAGGUAUGUGUGGCCAUCAUGGAUCGACUUUAUGAUCUCUUAGUUAUUGACCCUUUUACCACUAGACCAAUCCAAGAUGGGUACCGUUGUAAUUAAAACUUAGCUUUGUUUUAUAUAUAUAUAUAUAUUUAAAUUCAACUGAGUAAUAUUUCCUACCUCUCAUCUCAUUAAUUAUUCAUAUUUUUGUUGUUAGUGAUCAAGAAGAUAGUGACUUUUCCUUGCAUCCUACUUGUAUUAAAAAAAAUUAUUUUAACAUUUAAAUUUCUGGAUUUCAAUAUAGCAUAUAUUUUUUUAUAUAAAAAAAAAACAUAAACAUACACAUUAAGAUAUAGAUGGGUUAUAGGUAUACUAGAACAUCUAUUAGAUAUGUGAACACUUUGUAGCAUUCGUAUUGUUGCUUUUAAAUUUGAAUUUUGCUUAACUCUACUCUUUCCUUUUCGCUUUGCUUUAUAGACUUACCUUUUAGCCUUUUUUCUCUUUUCUCAUCUCUUUUAGCAUCUAAUAAUUUUGAAUUAGAUGGAAGAUCAAAAGAUUAACACAGAUAAUUAAGUUGUGACGCUAUUUAAGUUUCUGAUAGAUUCUUUUUGACAAGGAAUUAAAGAAAUGAAAGAAUAUUAAAGAUGGUAAGAACUGCAUCAUCUAUGGGACUGGGAGAAUAUGUAUAUUAAAUUUUAUCAUCUCAUCUGGGUGUUCUAAGUCAUAGCUAUUUUGUAAUUAUAUAUGAAUUAUUCUUUAACACACUACAAUCAGAAGGCUUUCCUACGGCUCCUCUCUUUCUUGUAUUACAUUAUUCUCUUUCAAGUUUCUCUCCUACCUCGUUUUUGUACCACAUCUUUAUGUGAUCUCCAUUGUGUCUUGUGAAUAAUAUUAUAAUAAAAAAUCCAAAACAGAUACUUUGUAUGGAUGAACAAGAAAUUUCCAGAUAUAAGGAAGACAACAAGAAUGAAACAUGAAUGAAUUCUGACUUAACCCAAAUAAUAAGAAGAAGAAAAAAGAAGAAAUUCUAUCCUGUGAAUCCAACUGAUAUAUGUACUAAAUAUAUAUAUAUGUAGUGGGGGAAUAUAAAAGUGUGAAUUUUGAAGAGACCAAAGAUGCUAUACCAAAUGUAUGGAGGAGGACGUACCGUACUCUAAAUGCUUUAACAUGGAGAAGUACUAUACAAAGAAGAACAUAUUCUCCAUAAUCUAAUUAAGGUUUCGGAUAUGUGUAAUUACCAAAAAUGAAAGCUUACCACACACACACUCACACACUUAAGGAUAUGCAUUAUAUUAUUGAUCCUUAGCUAAGGCAAAAAAAAAUUUCUCUCAAUCCUUCAUUCAUUUAUUUAUUUUAUUAUUGUUGUUGUUGUUUUUCAUUAAUAUAUUGUUGGAUAAGAGAUGAAACUCUGCCUCAAUAAAUUCAUAAUCUUCAAUUGGUUAAAUUAUAACAAAUAUCCUCAAACUUUGUAUUUUAUUUCAAAAUUUCACAAACCUCGCUUUUGAAUUCAUCUUUGAUUUUUUUUUUUAGAAUUUAUAUGGCAAUUUAUAUUUUCUUUCUAAUUUUGUUUCGAAAAUUUUUAAAGGAAAUUCUAUCUUCUUGAGAUUAUUUUCUUUUACAAAAAGUUAACGUUAUGCUUGCUAUUAUGGCUACUUUUGAAAGUAAAACGUAUUUUUUAAACAAAAUAACAAAAUUUAAGGACUUUUUUUUUCCCUUUACUUCAAUAUUUUCAAUCCCAUCCUUUUUUUUUUCUUUUUUUUUGAAUUUUUGAAUUUUACAUUCUAGUAUUUUCAUGCACACAACAUUUUUCACAAACUAAUAAUAAUAAGAAAAUUGUUAAUAAAAAGUGAAUGAUUAUUAAAUUAUUUUUUCCAAGUUCUAAAUGUACUUGGACAUAUGAAUAUGCACUGAAAUAAUUUAAUUUUGACAUUUUAAACUCAAAACUUAGCUCAUCCAUUAACAAAAUCAUUGUUUUUCAAGUAGCAUAUGUUGAGUAUCAAUGAUGACACAUCUAAAUAUAUAUAUAUAAAUAAAUAAAUAAAUAAAUAAAUAAAUAAAUAUAUAUAUUAGUUUAAAAUAAUUAAGAAAAUACAAGUUUGUAUUUAAUUAAACCAAAAAAAGGACAUAUAAGCUUAGCUUUUUUUUUUUUACCAACUUUAAUUAAAACAUUUUAUUUCACAGAUAUCCUUCAUUAAAAUAAUCAAGGACAAAUCAUAGGUUACUUUUAAAAGAUUUAGAAAAUUAGUUGAUUUUGGGUUGUAAUUUGGAUUUCAUAAUCAAAAAAUUUUUUAGAAGUAAUUAUGUUCUUAACAUGAGAUUAUAUAUCAUUAAUGUUUUGUUCACUCCAAACAAAAAUGUUUUGUUCACUCCAAAGAAAAGAGAAGGAUCAAAAUUUUCAAUUUUUUUUUUUAUGAAAGUUUGCUAGCUGUAAAUAGAUAUGUAUGAACAUAACUAAUCAAUUACACUAUCAUUUUUGUGAAGAGUAAUGACUUUGCGGAUGCUAAAAGUCAAAAGAAGUUACUCGUAUUUACUUAAUAAAGAUUCUAGAAGCGCGUUCUUUUGAAGAAACAAGUAUGGCAUCAAACACAUCGGUUGACAUGGAUGGAGGAAGAAAUAAAGAAAAGGAAAGGAAAAGGAAGGGAGAAAACAAAGUAAUUUUAAUUCUUGUAUAUAUAAUUCAAUAAUAAACAUUACCCCAUCAACUUUUGCUAAGACAUUAAAAAUAAUUGACUAUAAGGACCAUAGACAAUUUUUAAAAAAAAUAUAUGUUUCUAUAUUUGAUGAUAAAAUGGUCUUUGAAUAUCACACCCCCAUUUCAUUAAUGCAUCUUUUACCACUUUUGGAUAGUAAGAAAUUGCAUGAGAAAAAAAAAGAGAAACACAUAAAAGAUCAAAUUUAAAAUUUAAAAAGAUUUGACAGAAAAUUUAUUUUCUAUGGAUUGAUUGCACCCGAUGAUUUUAAAAGGGAUAAAGAAAUAUUUUUAAAUAAUGAUAAAUAUAACAAAAUUUAUGAACGAUAAACUUAUAUUUUUAUAUAUUUACUUUUAAAUUUGAAUAAGUUAAGUAAAAAAAAUUGACAAUAAAAAAAAAUCACUUUUGACUCCGUUUGGACGUGGAAUCAAAUUCCUUUUACUUUAUAACUAAAUAUUCAUAUAACACGUUAAUUUAUUCUUAUACCAUGGUUAAUUGUUCCAUUAUUUUUAAUAUUUGGGUGAAUUUAUAAUCAUUUUAAAUAAUUUUAAUUUUACACCAUUUAAAAUGUUGGAAUAACAAGAGACAUAAGACUUAUCUUAAUAGUCUCCUAAAAUAUUAAGACCAAAACACAUAUCAUUAUUAUCCUUUGUUAAAAGAUAAAAGUUAUUGGAAUCUAAAAUUCGCCACGCUAACUUGAGAUAGUUCAACUAAUAUCAAAAUACUUAUCAUUUAUCAAUUGAUUAGAGAAGACUAGCACAUUCAAUAUUAGUUAACAGGGAUGCUUUCCCUCACUAUAAAAGCACAUUAAAAAGCCUAGUUUUCAAGCCCAACAAAAAACAAAUUAAAAGAUAUAUGUGUAUAUAUAUACAUCAAAUCUUAUUUCCUUUCCUCGUCAUCUAUUACGGCUUCUUCUUUCUUCUCUUGGAUGGGGAACUCCAAAAGCAAAACGUACAAACGAGUUCUAGUUCCAUUCUCAGAGGAGCAACUGGCCAACGUUUUCAAGAACCAUGACCGAGACGGGGAUGGGCAUCUGACGAAGGAGGAGUUGAAGCAAGCCUUCGAAUAUCUCGGCUCACGCUUCUGCAACUUCCGGGUAGAAGAAGCCCUACGUGCCGCCGAUACCAACGGGGACGGUGUCAUCAGCAUGGAUGAGAUGGGGAAGCUAAUUAAGUAUGCCAAAACUCGUAAAUACACUAUUAGUUAAAAAGUAAAUGUAUGUUAGCUAUAUCAACUUCAGUUGUUCUUGUUCACCUAUAUAUAUAUAUAUAUAUUAUAUAUAUGUCUUCAUAUAUUUAUCUGUAUUUGAAUGAGUGGAUUCGAAUUAAUACCCCUCUUUGUCCAACGAUAUAUAAAUAAUAAUAAAAAAAAUUGUUAAAUGGUUUUGUUGAUUGUGUAUUGAUUCGAUCUCACUCUCUGCUUGUCUCUAAUAUAAAGAAUGGACCUAAUUUAAUUUGCAGGGAGAUGGAACAAUAAUAUUAUGAUAUGAUUUGAACUCAUGAUUCGAUGUACGUCGUGUUUGGAAUCAUUUUUAAUUUUUUUUUCUCUGGAAAUAUUAAUAAUUUAGAGUGUAUUUAACAUAGUCUUCAAUUAUUUGAGAUGAUACUAAAAUUUUCUUUAAAAAAUUCUUAAUAAAUGAAAAGUAGAUUAAAGAAUUUGGAUUCAUUUAAAAUCAUCUUUCAAUGAUCUAGCUGAUGCCUUAUCUAUAAUAUAGUUUUUUUUUUUUUAACUCAAUUACCAUUUUUUUCUUAAAAUUAAUUUUGUUAAAAUAUAUCACAGUUCAAGUAUUGGCAACCUACGAUAUUAAUCCAUUCUAUUCUCUCUCAUGUAUAAUAACAAGAUUGCAUCUUGUAUAUAUACAAACACUUCUAUAAAUUUUCAAGGUCUUUUUAGCACAAUAAAGCUAGGAGAAAUUUUGGUCUUCACAUGCAUCAUUUUAAACUUAAAAAUAAAAUAAUAUUACCAAUAGUCUAAAAAUUCUUCCAUAGAUUCAAUUCUUUUACUAAAUAGAGUUUUCGGUCUCAUAUUUUGUCACCAAGUUUUAGACUAGAAUGUUUCCUUUAAUAGAACAUUUAGAGUUAAAUGACUUUCCACUUCUAGUUAAGAUAGAAGAUCACACCAAUUAUUACAAAUGUACUAAACUUGUUUGGACUAAUCGUUUUUUUCGAAUAAAACGCAAAACCAUAGUCAUGGAUUUGUUUAUACCCUAACAUGAAAGAAUAUUGAUUGUUUAUUUAUUUUUAAUUCUUUUUUGUUAAGCUUCUCAUUAGGUGUUUUUAAUAUUACAAUAAUAAAAAUAAAAAUAAAAAUAAAGGGAAGUUGGUCAAAUUUUGGAAUGAAAUUCGUGAAAAUCUGAUUAGUACGGUCUCCCUAUCUUAGGGGCAAUUCCAAUUUCUAAAUACACCAAAUAAAGUAUUAACAUAUAUAUAAUACUCCAAAAUCAUUUAUAACUAUAACAAAAAAUUUAAAUACAAACCUAUCACUAUUUAGAAUUUAACGACCUAUAAUAAAAUUUAUGAAUAACAAAUUUUACUAUAUUUUAACACAUAUUCAAAAAAAUUUCUUCAUCUUGUAACUUAUAUCUAUAUAUAUAUUAAUAAUUUUAAUCGUCAUCACCAAAUAUAUUUAUAUGUGAUCGACUUGAAUAUAGUUCAACUCAUUAAAACAUUAUACUUAUAUUUUUGCUUGAGAUGUCAAAUAUUCUAUUUUCUCUCUUUACAACUGUGUCCAUGUAAGCAAUGGAAUCCAAUUACAUCUAAUACCCAUCUGUAUUUACUUCUCAAUUUAGAAUUACUUUCCUUUCCCAUUCAAUAUACCUAAUAAAUUACUUAUUGAUAUUAGAAUGCAAACUAUACCCAUAUACCCCAAUUGUGAGCAUCUCAACAAGAAAAAUUCUUUCAACGAUGAAUUGUUUUUUUAAUUAAAUAUUUUGAAGAUACAGUGGUAUUUUAUAAAAAGAAACAAAAUUUUGAGCAUUUUUUAUUGGUAAGAUUAGGUAGAUAUAUAUAAAGAUAUUUAUUUAUCAAUUCCUAUUAAUCAAUUUUAAUUAAUAAUCAGAAAGUUGGUAACAACUUUUUCUGUGGGUUUCUCUCGUAAUGUUUUAGAGAUAGAUAGGGUUUAGAGAAAGAAUAUGGAGAUUUGUAUUAGAGUUUACAAUCAUGAUUACAACAAAGAUAUGACUAAGCUUAAAUAUUAAAGUCUAAGGUCCAAUGGACUUGUGUACAUGUAAAAUAAUAAACUAAUACUGAUUGUUAAUUAACAUCAAUUAGCAUAUAUAAUAUAAACCUUAUUAAUACACAUCAAAACUACAUACUUUUAACCCUUUCAAGUAUGCAUUACUGUGAUUCUUUUUGUAACUUAAUUUAGCCUCCACUUUAAUAUUAUUUUGUUUCUAUAAACUAAAUUUAUAAACACUACUUGUCCAUAGGUUUUUAUAUUUUCUAAUUAUCUGUCUUCUAUAAACAAAUACAAAAACCAAGUUUUAGAAACUAAUUGAAAAACUAGUUUUUUUUAAAAAAUAUUUAUUUUCGUUUUUAGAAUUGAACAUUGAAAAUUUACCAUAAAAAAAGAGAGAAAACGAACUCAUUUUUCUUCUUUUUUUUUUUCUUUUUAAGAUAAAAUAAAAUAUUUAUAAAAUGAAGCACAUUACUUUUGUUGUUGUGUGUUCUUUUAAUGUCAUUUCUUGAAUAUAUUUUAGAAUUUUGAUUGAUUUUGAGUUAAUCUUGACCAUCUAUCUCACACGAGAACAAUAGAAAAUAUAAAUCUACUGUACAUAUCAAUUUGUAAAUACAAGCUAUUAAGGUUAAACAUGUUAACCACAGACGAUUAUUUUUAUGUAUCUCUAUAAUACUAUGAUACAUAUUUUUGAGUUUACACCUUUGUUUUUUAUUUCAUAAAAAAAUUAUACCAAUAAAUUAAAAAUAAUUGCCCCAUUUCAAUUUUCGAAGACAUUGUAUUUUCUCUACUGCGCCAUUGACACUACCCAGACCAUUUGUAUUAUGUUUGGUGUGUACUCAACCUAACAACUUUCCCUAUUAAGUCACACCCUACUUUUAAAAAGAAUAUGCUUUCCAUCAAAUGUUGAAAUUAAUCUUCGUAUAAAAUGGAUCUUUGGGAAUUAAAUUUGUUAGCUACCAACUUUCUGAUACAGAGAAAAAUAAAACUUAUUAUUUACAAAAGUAAUCUCUCGUAAUGAUCUAGGGCAUGAAAACUUGAGUAUUAUGUAUUUUCAAGAAAGACAAAUGAUAAAAACUACAUUGAUGAUAUAGUUGUAAAUGUAUACCUUCAAAUUUUUAAUUGGAAAAUCAAAGGUUAAAAUUGAACCCUUAAACUAAUUACAUAAUUGUAGGAAUGGUAACAAUUGUUUGCUAUGUCUAAAGAAUCAAUUUUUAUCAUUCAAGGUCCUACUCUUAAUAGAAGAAACAAAACACCUUUGAAGAUGAUGAGUCCACCUGUGCAUUAUUUUACAUGUUUAUAGAUAGUUCUUAAUAUAAAAAGAAAAGUUGAAAUGUAAGAACUAAAUUUAUAUAUAUAAAGAAAAAAAAAAACACAUGUUUCUAAAAAGUUUUAAAUUAAUAGAAAUUAGGUGGCCUAAAAAUUCCACUCCUUUUAUCUUCCUUCAUAGGUCAAGAAAAAGGGAAACCAACAAUUCUCCCUCUCUCCUUCGUAACAGAAGAAACACAUGUUCAAAAAAAUUGAGAUUUGGUAGGCUGCUUGCUUCAUGAAGAUGGUGAGUCCAAACGUGUGAGAAAGAAACACCGCACGUUCAUUUUACAUGUUUAUAGAUAUAAAUCUCUCCCAUUGUAAAUUAAACCAACACAAAAGUCUUUCCCUCCUCUUACCUGUUCUUCUUUUAGAGCAAAACCCUUAUACACGUAUUAUAACCCAUCCAUGGGGACCUCCAACGGCUUGAUUUUUAAGUGUUUUCCAGCGUCGUUGACGGAGUUUGAGGUGGCCAAAGUUUUCAAGAACCACGACAAGGAUGGAGAUGGAAGGUUGACCAAGGAAGAGCUGAAGAGCGCCUUCAAGUAUUUGGGCUACAAGUUCACCACCUUUAGAGUCCACCAAGCCCUCCACGCCGCUGACGACAACUGCGACGAUGUCAUCAGCUUUGAGGAGAUGAGUAAACUUAUUAUGUAUACCGCAGGUUCAUAGCUAUAUGUACUCUCUUGGUGCAAGACCGCAGUUUGUUUCCAGUCGUCAUAUAUUUCAAGUCCGUGUGACAAAUCUCUAGUCAGAGACAUAAGUUUAACCUUGUAAUUUAGCUUGAAAAACCAUUAUAUAAGUUGUUCCUAUAAGAUAUAACUAUUCACCUAAAUAUAUAAAAGCAACAAAAUGAAAUUCUGUGUAUAUGACACACAUGUACCUGUGCAGGUGCGUAAAAGUUCAUUUUGUUUGCUUAUAUAUGUAGCAGCAAGCACACAUGGCCAUGGAAUUUUGGGACUAGUGUCUAGAUUUAUAUCUCUUAAGACUAUUUUCUGCCCCAGUGAAGCAACCACAUGUUACAAAAACAAAUAAUAUCAGAACAAUGAAUAUCCUUUUUUUUAAUUUAUGGUAUAAAUACUGUCUACAUUGUCGCGACGUGAUCGCUACGCGGAGCGGCCGACCUCUCCGUUUAUUUAAUUUUAAUAAAUGAAUAGUUUUAGAGUCGCCACCAAUCAUAUUAAGGUGUGAUUGGUCACCCAAAAAAGAAAAAAAAUGGUCUACGUAAAUUAAAAAAUUUAAGUUCGGAAGUGAGUUGUGUAGGGAAGUUGUUACACCCUACAACACCCACAAAAUGGUUAGCCAAUUUUAUCUUUUAAAUUAAAUAUAGAGGUUCACAAAACAAAGUUUUUAUUUAGGUUUUGUUUAAAUGUCUCAUGUUUAUCGAUUCAUAUCGAAGAAGAAAGUAAAACCUAAGCAUGAAUUGAUAAUUAUUGGUGGCAUAAGAGCCAUUAGAAAAUGAAGGUUAUUUUUAUUUUAGAAGAUUUUUUUAUUCAAUAUUAAGAUAUUAAAACUUGAUAUUUUAAUCUCUAUCAUAGGUGUUUAAUGAGAAAUUUCAUGUAUUAAUAAAUUCAUAGAAAACACUACUCAAUCUCAUUUAAAAUAUGAAAUGUGUUUAUUUAAAAACAAUCUAUUAAUUAAAAUUUCAAACGGAAAAAUUUCAUGUAUUUAUGGAAUUUAAAUUAUAAAAUCCAUAAAAAAACAAUAUUUUUCUCCAAUUUACAUUUUUAUAUUUCAAUUGGAAAAUGAAUAAUAACAAUCACAAAACAUUAUUAAAUUUGAAAAAUAGUUGAAGGAUAAUAUGGUGAGAUAAAAUAAAUACAUAAAACAAAUACAAGAUAAUGUAAGUAAUAUGCAAAAUGUACAAGAUGAUUAAUUAAUGUAGGAUGCAAGAUAAUUAAUUAAUACAGAAUGAUGCAAAAUAAUUAAUUAAUUCAAAAUGAUGCAAAAUAAUUAAUUAAUGCAGAAAGAUACAAAAAUAAUUAAUUAAUGCAGAAACAGAAAUAAGCAAAAUAAUUAAUUAAUUCAAAAAUAGGCAAAAUAAUUAAUUAAUUCAGAAAUAUAAAAAACAAUUAAUUAAUUCAAAAAUAUAAAAAAAAUAAUUGAUUAAUUCAGAAAUAUGCAAAAUAAUUGAUUAAUUCACAAAUAUACAAAAUAAUUAAUUAAUUCAGCAAUAUGAAAAAUAAUUAAUUAGGCCAAACCAGAUUAAUGAAUAAUUAAACGAGGAUGUCAAAUGGAUAAAAUAAUAAUUAACUGCAAGAGUGCCAUAAUAGGUUUAAUGCAAUAUGACCAUAAAUAAUCACAGUAGCCAAAUGAAUGUCAAAUAAUUUAAUAUAUAAUGCAAAUAAUUCGAACGAGUAAUUUACAUAAGAGGCCAAAUGAGUGCCAAAAUAAUUAACGAUGUGCAAAUAAUUAGCCUCCAAAAAUUAAAACUGUCAAAUACAUGAUACUAAUUAAUUAACCAUGUAUAAUUAAGAGUGUAUGUCAAAUGAAUAAUUAUUUUCAAAUGCAUAAUUAACACAUAUGUCAAAUUGAUAAUUAUUAACGCAAGAUACCAAAUGGAUACACCCAAUUAACGAAAAAUGUAAAAUGGGUGGCUAGAUAAUUGAAAAGAUAGCAAAUAAUUAAAUCAGUAUGCCAAAUUGGUGUCAAAUGGGUGCUAAAUAAUUAAGACAGCAAUCAAUUAAUUAACACAUCAUUUAAUUAAUUAACCAAAUGAAGUAAUUAACAUAGCACCCAAAUGGAUGUCAAAUAAUUAAUCCAUAACAGAUUAAUUAAGGUAGUAGCCAAAUGGAUGCCAAAUAAUUAAACAGAUGCAAAACAACUAAUUAAUCAACCCAACAAUCAAAUAGUCAAAUGAGUAUCAAAUUAAUUAACUAUAUGCAUGCAAUCAAAAUAGUCAAAUGGCCAAAUGAAUGUCAAAUAAUUAACUCAAGAUGCAACAAAUUAAAAAUGUCAAAUAUGACAAGUGCUAAUUAAUUAAUAGGUCAAAUGAAAUAUGUGUAUUGUCAAAUAUAGGAGGCUAAUUAAUUAAUCAUGCAUAAUUAUUAAUGCAGAAAUAGGUGUAAGUAAUUUACACAUAAUGAAUAUGAGAUGGGUGUCAAAUAAUUAAAAGAUAUCAAAUGAGUGUCAAAUGAUUAAAAGGAUGCAAAUAAUUAAAAGAUGUCAAAUGAUUAACACAGCAGCUACGAGUGAUUUAAAUGAAUAAUUAAGACAACACCCAAAUGAGUGCCAAAUAAUUAAGGCAGUAUCAUCAAGCAUGAAUAAAAGAAAUUAACUUAUAGAUCUGCCUUAAAUGCAAAAAGUUAUAUAUUCAUCAUCUUCACCUCUUUCUAAAAAAAUUUCUUUUACGUGUCUCUCUUCUCUAUCAAAUAAUCCUCCCAACAAAAAAAUUCUCCUAGCACCAAAAAAAUUCCAGCAAAAAAUUCUCUCAUUCUCUCUUUAUAAGGCAAUGUCUCAUUUUUUAGAUAGAAGUGGAGUAGUUUUAGAUAGUGAAGUGAAGUACGGAAAGGUGGAAGAGUGAGAGAACGUGAUAGAUUGAGAGAAAGUGGGAACGUAGUGAUCAAGAAAAACAAGAUGGUUGAGAAAAACAAGAAGAGAACAAAAACUUUUACUUUUACUUUUAAAUUUUAAAUAAGUUUUAUUUUUGUUUUUGUUUUAAAACAUAAAUUUAACUUAAGAUUUAAAAUUUAAAAUUUAAAUUUAAAUUCUUUUAAAAAAUAAUAAAAACAAAAAAACAAAACAAAAUACGAUAUCUACACACAUAUGUAAAAUGGCACCCUACAAAGGGUCUCGUACCCUUCAAAAAUUUACCCAUAUUUCAAAUUGAAAUGGGAGGAAAACUUAAGCCAGGGUAUAUAACUCAAAAGGAUACAAAAUCUCAAAAAUAGUUUUUCAUUGCAAUGAUAAUAUCUUGAGUUUCUUUUUAGGAAAAUUGCAAUGGAAGACUAUUUUAGAAAUAAUAAUUAAGAAUAUAGCAACAUUUUAAAAAAAUUACAAAUAUAGCAAAACUAUCACUGAUAGACUUGUAUCGCUGAUAGACUUCUGAUAGAACUAAGUCAUGCACAGCGGAAAAAGAAUCGAAUUUCUACCCUAAUUGCCAUAAUUAACAUGUAACCAUAAACUAAUCAAAUUAGAGUUUUAAGAAGUAUUACCUUUGAAGCUUUCAAAAGGUUUGAUGUCUUCUUACCAAUUCUACCCGAGACCACCACUAGUACUCAACUGCUAUCCUCUAGACAAAGAACCGGGUUGUGGGACCCAAUUUUGGUGUAGAAAGUAAUGGAGAUAAAAUGAGAUUGGAAGCUUUCUUUUUUCUUUUGUUGAGAUGAUGAAAAUGAUAAAAGAGGCAAAAGUCUUUCAACAUUUGAAAACAUCUCUAUUUAUAGCCUAAUUACAUGCAAAAAUGCAUGCAAUUCAAUUGCCAAAUCUCAACACCUAAUAUUCCACUAACAAUUAGUGGAACUUAGUGGGCUAGGUGUCUAUAUCUCAUAUAGCCACAUAUCCCACUAAGAGUUAGUGGGAUUAUCCAACAAAAUGUUGGAUUUUCCCACUAACUUAGUCCAAGGGUAAAAUGGUCAUUAGAUUUUUCUAGUCAAAAGUCAAACUUUGACUUUUCUAAGUCAAAAGUCAAUAUUUUGACUUUUUACCAUUUUGUCCGUCUUGACUAAUUCCAACCUCCCGAGCAUGAAUCCGCAUUCAUUUUUCCAAAAUUCAAAUCACAUUUGAAUAUAAGGCCGGUCAAAGUUUGACUUUUCAAAGUCAAAAGUCAACAUUUUGACUUUUUACUAUUUUUGACCAAUUCCGAGCUUCUUAGUAUGAAUCCGCAUUCAUACUUAUAGUAUGUAAAACAUAAAGCUCUAUUUCUAAUUAGAAGACCGACGAUUAUAUCACUGUAUAUGUCGGUUUUCCUUUCUUCUCCCUAUUCGAACAAUUCGACUUAUUUCAUCACACUGUUCUAAGUUUAAUCCAUAUGAGCUAGCAGAGGAACCUAAUGGACCUAUAGAUCAUGGGCUCCAACGAUUCAAGAUUAACUAGCUAAACUCUUUUAAACCGAGUUAAUCAACAUUCGUUAACUAACGGGUCAUUCCACUAAAGUCCCGUAGUUGCACUCCCCUCACUAUAGAUAUAUUUGUGUCCAUUUGAUAAAACCAUAAUCAGUAAGUUAAUCCUUCACAGGUUGCUCGUAACCUUGGCUGGGUCAAAAUACCGUUUUACCCCCAAGAUUACAUCUUGCUCCUUAAGUCCCACUAAUCCACUAUUGAACAAUUGGUUUAAGGUUCAACCUAUAAACUUAAUCCCUCUCGGGCCAAUGAGAGGGUGGGGCCCCUUGUUCAAGACUUGGAUUCAGUGCUUAAGAGAGCAACCUAUCUACUAACCCUAAAGCGGGUAGGAGUGAAUUCCAUCUUGUACCCUAUGUUCCCAGCUAUCCACCCGAUCUUACCCCUGAAAUGGGAGGCUUAUUGGGCCAACGCUGAUGAGCUGCCCUCACCUAUGCAGAUCUAAGGAUAAUCUCGUAUGAACAGGAGUUCAUAGUUAACUCAGGAUUAAGACUAAGUUACCUAGGUCAUCAAUAAUUGAGAUAGUCAGUUUUAAACAGUAAACGGUGUUAUAACGUAAAAAUGACUAAUUCAUGGUUCAGUCUUAUGUAAACAUUUUACAUAGGAUGCCCCCACUUUCAUGUCUCUACAUGAACGAUUAGGAUCACAUCGUUUGUACUACAAAGUGGGCCGCAUCCAUAGUCUCUCAAAAUAAGGCGCCCAACCUUUAUUUCAUAUACUAUAGACUAUUUAGGCUAUAUACUCGAACUUGAUCCACGUUUAUGUUUACACAUAAAGUUCAAGUUUAUUCAAAAAAUAGCCUUGGAACUUUGAUUUAUUGGAUUUAAGAUUAUAAUAUUUAAUUUCUCAAUAACAACUUUAUUGAAUAGAAUAUGAUUUACAAACUACGAGUUUUAGGACAAAAAAUUCCAACAACUUCAUAUGAUAUAUCAGUGAUAGACCAAUAUUUGCAACAUGAUCUAUCAGUGAUAGACUUAUAUAAUUGAUAGAAUUUAACGAAUUUUGCUAUAUUUACAAAUCUUUUAAAAUUAUACUAUAUACUUAAUUAAUUUAAAUUUAAUUGUUAAAUUUACAACUCCAGUAGUUUUCUAACAUGAAGAUUUAAAAAAAAGAUGAUAUGACAAUAAUAAUUGCGUGAAUUGGGUUGCUCAAAUUUUUACAAUCCAAAACCCAAAACAAACACAGGGUUGUCACGUUGCCCAAUUAUGAUUGGGCCUGAAAGAUAUAGGUGCAACCAAUUUGGACCCAUAAAGGUAAAUUCAAUAUUUAUAGUUAGUAAUUUUAUAAAUAAUAAUUAAGUAUAUGAUAAUAUUUUAAAAAAUUAUAAAUAUAGGCAAAACUAUUCUUAUAUUUGUUUUUAAUUAUAUAUUGUUAAAUCACCUUAACUAAAUUAUUGUUAAAUCACCAAAACUAAUUUUUUUAAGGUGCUAUAUCAGGGUAAAUUUAAAUAUUAUAGUAAUACUCCAACAAUCAUGACUAUUUUUAAUAGGUUUGGCUAACUAUGUCCUGUUAAAAAUAUGUGAUUUUGAUAUAAUACAUUUUUAUUUUAGAGAUGUUUGUUUUUUUGUUUUUUUGUUUUUAAUUUCUAUCUGCAAAUUAUUGUAUCUCAAUGAAGAGUUUUAUUGCUGUCAUAAAAUAAAAAAUGACAAAGGGGCUAAAUAACAUAACAUAUCUGAAUAAUAAACUAUAAAAUUAAUAAACACAUUAACAAGACUGAUAUUUUUGGUUAAAAAAGGCAAAGGAACGUAACAUCAAAUCAUAGGGGGGCUUAAUUAAUUGAUAUCAUAAAGUGUAUUUACAUGAUAUUGACGACAUAAAAUAAUCAAUAACAACAAAUUUAAUUAUCAAUUAUGUUAGGAAGGAAUUAAAUUCUUUUACUUUAGAGUUAACAUAUAUAUAUAUAUAUAUAUAUAUAUAUAUAUUUCCGAAUAUAUUAAAUUAUUCUUAAUCGAUAAUCAUUGAGUUAAUUUUUAAUCUAGAGGAUAAGAACAUGAAACUUAUCUUGGAAAAGAAAGGCAGAGAGAUGCUUACCCCACGAAUCUUUGUCAAAUUGGAAAAAAAUCGAAUAAAUACCAUAUGUUGAAGCUUGGGAUAUCUUUUUUAAUAUCUACUAUUCUUUACCAAAUAAUAAAUAUACAUAUAUAUUAUACCUACCUAUUUUUAUUUACGUAUAUAUCUUUUUUUAAAUAUUAAUAUUAGUAAUAAUAUUUUAAAUUAUUUAUUUAUUUUAAAAAUGUAAAAAAAUUAGUAAUCAAUUUAUUUUUAAAAAAAUCUUUUAAUAUCAUAUUUAUACUAUUUUAGGUAAAACAAUGGAUUCGUUUUAAAAUAAAAUAUUAUAAUAUCACUUUUAUUCUUUUAAGUAAAAAGAAAUCUAAUUUUAAAUUAAAAAUCUUUUCAUUUUCAUUUGAUUUAUUAAUUUAUUUUUAAGAGAAUCUCAAAAUAUCUAAUUCAAUUUAUUCAAGAAAAAUAAAAAUUUGUUUUAAUAUUAAAUUUUGAUUUUUAUUCUUAUUAUUUUUUUUCUAAUUUACCGUACACCCCAGUGUAUAAAAUCUUAUUUAUUUUUUUCUUAUUUUUAUCUUGAUCUUUAUUUUCUUUACUCUAAUAAUAUAAAGAGAAUAAGAUUAUGUCAUUAUUAUUAAAAAAUAUAUAUUAUUGUUAUUGUACUUAUAUUUAUAUUUUCUACUGUUUUUUAUUAUUAUCACUAUACUUUUAUUAAUAUUUUUUUUAUAUUACUAGUUAUUCUCUUUUAAUUUCUUCUUAUUAUUACUAUUACUUAUAUAUAUUUAUAUAUAUAACUUAUUAUUGUUAUGUGUAUUAUUACUUUUUUUCUUUUAUUAUUAUUAUGGGUGGCGACCCCUCUAUUUAAAAAAAAAUCUUUUUCUUUCUCUUUUAUUUCUUCUUUCCCUUUUUAUAUUAUUAUUUAUUUAUAUAAUUUUGUUUUUUAUUUAUUUUAACUUAUUUUCAUUGCACGUUAACAUUGUAUUUUAUAUCAAUUUUUUAUAUCAUAACAUUUUAUCAUUCUAAAAAAAUCCGACGAUCAAAUUAGAAAUAUCUGGAGGUCAGUUAUUUGGGAGGGCAAGAUUCGAUUUCCAAUAUUAUUUUAAAAUUAAAAUCUUAUUUUACUUGCUUAAUUCGUUGUAUAAUAUAUUUGAUUCCAUUAUGCAUUAUUUACUAUUGACCUAAUUUUCAAGACCUUUCUUAAAUUUCAUUUUUUAACCGUUUAUAAAUUUUUACUUUAAAACUAUCCUUUUUAAUCUUUUUUAAAAAAGGUUUAAAAUAUAAAUCUAUAUUUGAUAAGUUUUCCCUAAUCAACUUUUUUAAUAACCCACUUUUAUUUUGCUAAAAAUUUCCUAUGAUGAAAUCUAAGAAAUUUGAAAGUUCGAUUUUCUAGAAUUUUUAAUGUGAUGGAUCACAUUUUUAGAAGUCCAAGAUGUGAUCACAAGAAAAAAAAAAAAGAAUUUAAUCGAUAUUGUUUUUAUAAAAAAAAAAAUUAUUCCAAGACUAGUCUAUAAUAAAUUUUGAGAAAUUGUAAUAUUUUCUCAUUUUCUUAAGGUGAGAAAUUUUUCUCAAUAUAUAGUUUAAUUAAUGGAAUAUUAUUUUACUUAUUUUAUGAAAUCAUUGCUUCAAAUAUUGGAGCAAUGAGGUGUGACCUUAAUUUUAAAAUAAAUAAAAAAUAUUUUCAAUUCAAGAUUUAAAAUUUGGCCACCGUUUUUUCUAAAUGAGUGUUGUGAGAUGCUAAUACUUUUCCCCACACAAAUGAUUCACGAACUCAACUCACUUUUUCGCAGACCAUGUUUUUUAAAAUUGUUUACUUUAUUUCGAUGUCCAAUCACACCGUAAAAAAGAUUGGUGAUGGCUCCUAUUUUAUUUUAAAACUAGCUUUUUUGAGAACGUCGGCCGCUCCGCGUCGUCUCAGACACAUGCUGACAUAUAUAUAUAUAUAUAUAUAUAUAUAUAUAUAUAUAUAUAUAUAUAUAUAUUAUAUAUUAAUAUAUAUAUAUAUAUACUCCUCAUAGAGUAAUAUUAAUUAAGGAAAAUUGCAAAACCAUCCUAAAAUAAGGUGGUAGUUGCAAUUAUACUCUUCAAACUUUCAAAUUUUAAAAUUAAAUCCUAAAACUUACAUAAAUAUAUAAAUUGUAUAAAUUUGAUUGAUUAUAUACCUUCGAGGAUUCAACCAUUUUUCAUUUUUUCAUUUUUAAAAUUUUAAUUUAGACAUCUAAUUGUUAUUGUUGAAAGUUUGAAGGGGUGCAAAUUGCAAUACUCCUCUAUAUACUUUAGAGUUGGUUUUUGCUUCUCCUUUUAAGGUGAAAGAAGAUUAAUGGAGUUUUUUUUUUUUUUUUUUUGGCCAUUUUAGGUUCACAAAUGAGUCGUUUUUAUAUAUGUGUAUAUGUAUAUGAAAAGAGAAAGAAUUACAAAUAUUUGAGUGUGGAUCAAUGAAGUUGAUGACUAUAUAGUAAUGGCAGUUGAUGUUGGUACCAUACAUUACAUCUCAUCCCUUGCUCUUGGAAUGGCAUACAUGGAAAAGGAAAAGGAAAAGAAUAACGUUGAUUCAAAAUGGUUCAAACUUAUAUUGCUGAUUUAAGGUUAGAUUAAUUAGACACAAAAAAUAAAGAUAAAAUGAUAAACGACUAAAUUUUUUAGCCUAAUUAAUAGUAAAAGAAAAAAAGAAAACAAUAAUAGUAACAGCAACAACCAUAAGAUAUUGGCUAAUUUAGAAGUUGGAUUUCAAAAUAUGAUAAAGAAAAACAGUGAUAUAAUUGAAAAAAAUUCAACAUAUUCAAUUUGUUCCUAAUUUUUACUUUUUAUAUUUUAUAAAAAUAUUAGGUUGUAGAUCGUUUUAAUUGAUAACAAUGAUUUAAAUUUAAAUUUUUAGUUAUUUGUUUUAAUUUAAUGUCAAAAUUUAACAUCAAGGAGACUUACCUUUAAGAACAAAAAGAAAUAUAUCCUCAUUCUUAAUUUUUUUCCAAUAAUAAAGAAAAAGUCUACAAUUGCCUUCCAUGUUGAUGCACAUAAGUUCAAUGAGAGUAAUUAAAUAGAAAAUUCUAUAGUAUUGUAACAAGUGUAAUGACUGAUUCAAUACUUGACAUAUUUGAUGAUUGAUGUUAUAAUCGGAUGGAUUGCAAGGAGGAGCAUUCUCAUUGUUGGUUAUGUUGGAUUGGAGUUAAAGUUGAUAUGAUUUUAUUAUCUUUGAAAUAGUUUGAUAUAUACUUAUUAAUUUUUUUAAAAAAUACAAAUAAUGGGAUAUUAAAACAUUAUUUAUGUUCUGCACUUGUUGUGUGUAUAUAUAUAUAUGUAUAUGUACGUAUAUGCAUUGGGAUAAAAUUAUAUUGGCUCCACAAAAGAAAAUUAACUUUUUAAUUGAUGAAAACACCAAAUUCUCGUCAAAUAAAUUUAAUAACACAUACCAUUUAUUCUUUAUGAUCCACAUCUAUAAAAGUAUUAUUAUUUUACAUAUAUAUUAGACUAUUUUAAAAUAGCCGUUGAUCAAAUAGAUGUGAAGAUUCCAACAUAUUUGAGAACACAACUAGUGGAAGAAUAGAACCAUCAAAUCUUAUAUAGAUUUGAUCAAAAUAAAUGGUAUCUCUCUUUUGAUGUUUUUCAUUCAUAAACUUUAACAUUUUUGUUAUGGUAAAAAAAUCAAUGUAAAAUUCAAAAUUUGAAAGAUUUGAUAACAAUAAAAACAUAGUUACUUAUCUCAAUUAUCACUUAGUUGGAGAGGUUAAAAUUUGAGUCUAAAUUUAAUAUUUGUUAAAAAAAAAGUUUAACAAUUUUAAAAUUUUAACCAACGUACUUUGAUGUUUUUAGUUAACAUUAUUCACAAAAAUGUGAAAUUCUUCUUCUCCUGUGCAUUGAACAAAAAGUUUAAUUGAAUAUUUAGUCAAAAAGGAAUAAGGAGACUACCAAAUUAGUUGGUAGGAACUUGAAGUGCUUUUCAUAUAUUAAUAAGCAACAAAAAUAUUCUUAAACUCUUGGUUUAUAUAUUUCUUUUGAGUAUUAGAACAGUUGUUAGAAUAAAUAUUUACAAGUUGAUAAACAAGCAAAGAGGGGAAUUGUAUUCUUUCUACUUUUUAGCAAUAUCUUCCUAAAUAAGUUAAACUAUUCUUUAAUUACAAAAAAAAAUACUUAAUUAGUGUAGGUAAAUCUGCACAAUUUCAUUGAUAUAAAACUUAUAUUAUUGACUUUGACAUUGGUGGUUUAAUUUUUUCUCAACAACUAAAAUGAAAAGUUCAAUUUUCUCUAUGCCACAUAUUGUGAUCUAGGAAAAGAAUAGAUUAAAGAAAUAAAACUCAGGUAUACUCUUCAACUAUCUUAUAACCCAAUUGUCCAAUUAUAUAUAUAGCUUGCUACAUGUCAAUUAUAUAUAUGCAAAAAUAUUUAACUUAGGAAAGGGUUAAAUAUGUCAAAAAUAAUUUUAAAAAAUUGUUUUAAAUAAUAAAACAGUUAAAAAAUAUUUACAAACACACAGUAAAGUUUUAUUUUCUAUUUGUCAUAAAACUCUUAAAUUAAUAUAGCAAGAAACCAAUCUUUAGGAAUUAAGCACAAAAAAAAAAUCAUAAUCAAUACUUAGCUUGUGAAGAUAAAAUUAAGAUAGAAAAGAGAUGGGCACUUUAAUUAAAGAGUACCUUUUUGUUGUCUUGCAACACACAAUUUAGGAAGAAUUGUAGUUGAUAAUAUUCUUGCCACUAGAAAAUCUUUGAUAAAUUAGAAAAAUUGUAUUAAAUAAAGAAGACAGUGUGAUGAUUAGAAGAUAUACUAUACUUUGACUGCCUAUUAUUUAUUAAUUGUUAAAGUACUCCCAAAAGUUACUCUCUCUUUUCCAUCUUUAAGUGGAAAAUUUUAAUUUAGUGAACCAAUGAGCUUUUAGAUUGGCUAUAGUAAUUACUAAUUAGUAAUGAUAAAAUGACUAUUGUUUUAGGUAGGGCUAUAGUAAUGACAGGAAAAAAGAAAAGAAUAUAUAUUGAUAUAAUCUUCACUAGAAUGCUUGAACUCUUGGCUAAAUGGAAAAAGGAGUCGAUUUGGAUAUAGUUACGUAUUAAAUUUUAAUUAUAAUUAAACAUAUAAUUCUUUUAAUGUAUCAGAAUAAGAGUUUAUACUAAUUUAAUGAUAUAUAUUUUAUUUUGUGUUGUGUUUUCAAAUACAACAAAAUGGAACUAUUUUAAAUUUUUGCAUCAAUUUUUUAGAUUUUCUUAUAAAUUCUUCCAAAUUUUCCUGCUAUUUUAAACGUGAAAAACUUGAAGGAUUUAAGGAAAACAAAAUGUAGUUUGCUUUUCCAGAAUAACAAAUAAAAUUGUUUUUUUGAUUGUAAGUUUAUAUAUAUUCCAUUUGUAACAGGACUGUAUGAAUAGUUAGGCAUAUAUAUUUUCUUUUAAGAUCACUAAUUAUAAUACAUUAUAAUUCUAAAACCUUGUACUUUCUAUAGAAAAUAUAUCCUCAGAAUGCACAAAAGUGGAGAAGGGUUGGCGUAAAGACUCUUUCUCCAAUUGCACAGUGACAGCUCGUACACAUCUUUAACGCUGAAACAAAAACUAUACCAAACAUUGUGUGUAGUUUUCCAAAAAUAAAAAUCUAAAAUCGUUUAGUCUAUGUUUAAUUAUAUUAAUCUAAACGUAAAGUAAUAAAUAUAAUCUAAUUAAACAUAUCAAAACUCAUUGUUUAUAUAGCAUGCAUUUGCUAUACAAAAUGAUAAUUUCUUUCAUAUAGAAACUCUAAAAGAAAACGUUCAGAAUAUAAGAAUAAUAUAUAAAUCCCAUGUGAGAGUGUGAACAACAACAUGCACACUUUUACACAGUAUAUAAAUCUCCAUUUCAAAGAGCAAACCCUAACCACUAACAUCCCAAACAAAAUCUCUUCUAAUUUCUUCUUGUUCUUCGUGUGCAUGGGAAACAAGUACAGUUCUUUGAGUGAAGAACAGCUCGCCUGGAUUUUCAAGAAACAUGACAUCGACAGAGACAGGAAGCUGACCAAAGAAGAGUUGACACGAGCCUUCAACUAUUUGGGUUCAAGGUGGACCGCCUUGAGAGUCAAGGAAGCCAUUCGCGCUGUCGAUGCAAACCACGAUGGCGUCAUCAGUUUGGAUGAGAUGAGUAAGCUCAUUGUGUAUGUCAAAGGUUGUCGCACCUAAACAAUUAAUAAUACUUAACUGCAACCAUCUUUUACAUGUCAACCUAAGUGGAACUUACUUGAUGUCACCAUGUAGUUGUGCCUCUCAGUUGAGUCGUAAAAUACAAAUGCAGCUUAGUUAGCAGUCGAACACUUUACGUCGCAGAGUUAUAAAUAUUAGCAAAAAGAAAAAAAAAAUCCUUUUUAUUGGAUAAAAAUGUAAAGUGUGAUAUCCACUCUCUGUCAUAGGUCGGAAAUCUACAUUUGCUAACGAUGUUUAAGGGGAAAAAAGUGUAUAAUGUAAUUACUUGUCUGUUUUCUUUUUAAUAAAUCGUUAACUGUGUUGGUAAAUUACUAUUGGUGUAGUUAAUUAUAUAAGAAGCAAGUGGUUUUUUUUUCUUUAAUUUUAUUUUAUGCAUGGUUGUGCAAAUGAUUACUAAAUACAAAUAUGUCAAAUAAAAUUUGAAGAGGAAUUGAAUUCUUUCUAUUUGUGAACAAAAUAUCCUCCGAUAUGUCAUAUAAUUAUUCUUACACUCACUACCAAAAUUAAAAAAAAAAAAAAAAAUCAGCUUGUAUAUCUAUUCUAUGAUUAAAAUAAAUUUUCCUAAAUUAAAAAAUAAUCUUCUAAAUUCUUAUUAUGGGGUAGGUAAAUUUAACUAUAUUACUAACAAUGGACUUGACUGCAUAAGCGCGUUUUAAAAAUAAAUCUCAUUAAGAACAACCAUCUUGUCCUGCUAAUUAAGAUGAGAUUUAAGAGAGUAAUUUUUUUUUUAAAAAAAGACAAGGAAUAUUAGAAAAGUGAAAUCGCAAAGAUAUGAACCCAAUUUUCCAAGUACUAAUUAUGUUUUUUUUUUAAUGAAGUAAUUUUUCUUUGUCCAAUGUUAAGGUUGCUAUAAAUUAAAUUUAUCUUCAUAUAUAUAUAUAUAUAUAUAUAUCAUCAGAACAUGUAAUCUAUAAACAACUUUAGACGUGAGGAAAAUGUUAAAUAAUAUAUAAAUUAAAUUUACGUUUCAUCUAUAUCUUAUGUUUUUACGUCGUUAACCAAAAAAAUAUAUAGAGAGUAAAAAAAAUAGUUAGAGUGGUUGGCCACUAAAACUUAUGUGAAAUAGGAUAAGGAUGGGGAUAAACAAGAUAGGGUUGGAAUAUAUAAGUUGGAAUAAAGUACUAAUCUUCAAAUAUUCAUUUCUCUUAUUUUAGGUAACUAAUAAAGCCAUUCCCUUGAACUAAUGAACAUGGUAGGCAGAGAGAUACACAAUAAUAUAACAAAUGGAUAUUAUGUUCCCUCACACCAUUGCUAGCUUCCUAUCCAAAAAGAAAAAGAAAAAAGAAUGUUCUGAUCUAUUAUUUCUUUGAUUAUGGAAACUUUUUAAAUAUAUAAUUAUCAUCAUCACACUUGUGGAUGCAUGCUUGGCUAAGAUUUAGUAUUAAUAUGGUUGAAACGAUCUAGUUGAAAGACGGAUAUAAGUGUUAAACAUUAUGCAUAUACACACUUAAGUUUGUAAAUUUGAUAGAAUUACUGGGAAGUUUUACUAAACUAUAAGAUUUAAUUUUGUUAGACUUUCACCGAGUGUUGAGGAUAAUAUAUUGAUUUAAAUUUAACAAGCUAAUUUAGAAGUAUAUUUUACUAAUAAUCUUAGUUUAAGUUCGAGUUUUCAAAUAACUUAUAAUAAAUAAUUUGUGACGCACCCAAUAUAGACUACAUACAAAUCUAUGAUAUGGAUGUGAAGUUGCAUUACAUAAAAUAGUUGAUGAGAAAAAUACAAGAGCUUUUGACCAAUUUUUUACUUUCUUUUAACCACUCGUGCAAUGCUUUAAUGGUUUGAUUUUUUACUUUUCAUACCAUGGAGAUGAAUGAUAAUCUAUGGGAAAGUUAGUUUCAAUCUCUCAAUAGGGAGCUGGUGGAAAGUGAAAUGAAUGAGACUUUUAAUUGUAUAUUCGAGUAGAGAAUUUCUAACCGUUCGAAGUGUACACGGCUCAAUAAAUUUCUAAAUUAACGAGUUAGGGAUGUAGGGUUACAGUCAACUAUAUAAUUAAGCCAUCAAAGUCAUUCAUUCUAAACAUGUCGAAACACACCACUACUAAGUAUUCAAUUCCAACUUGUUUUGUAACUUGAGUGUCAAAGCGUUGGUAGUUUGACGUUGCACCAGUGUUGAAUUUCUCCAUUCUGCCAAGCACUUGAACUAUUUUCUCCCAAAAUAAAAUUUUAUAUACGUUUAUUCAUUACUCUUCCAUGGGAAAAAAAGAAAUGGUGUUGCAGAAACCCCGCCUUGAAAAAAGUCUCUCAAACUCUGUCACUGUUUUUAUUUUAAUCGUAUAUCACACUUCCAUAAAGAAACUUGCUGAGUAAAUUGGACUUUGUAAUGGGCCAUAAACACAAAACAGGCUUUAAAUGUUUCGGCCUCUAAUUUUCUUAACACCAUGCUUUGAUUUCACUUUUUUCUCUUAAUUCCCAGACUAUUAGUAAAACUUUUUUGGACAAAACUUGGGAAAUAAUGAAACAAAACUUAGAUGAUAUAGUUUUCCUUUGAAUAACGUAGUUCAAGAAACUUACUGAUUCUUAUGUAAUCUUACAGCAGUUAAGAUUCUCAAGUGUAGAUUCAUUAUUUAAUUCUCGAAUUAGUAUAUGUUCAUUCCCUUAGUUUAUCUGCUCAAACCCCAAGAAAAGUUACUAUUUUCCUUUUGAGAGGCACACUUCCCAAUAUGCCUCCCAUAAGAUAUUUAUGGGCUUCAACCCAUCAUGCAAAAAACGGGAAUCGUAUGGUUCGUGAAGAUAUAAACUAGAGUGAGGGUAUAACUCUCCACCGAUGUAUGUCAAAGAUGAUGGGUCUUUUUUUUAAAAUAUAAGAUAAAGUAUAGAUAGAAAAGGAUUAGUAAUUAGGAUCUGAAGUAAAGGGAAGGUUAAGAACAUGAAAGUUUGAUCAAAUCAUAAUAGAAUCUAUUGUAAAUGGAAUGAAAUUCCUUUAAUAGCCUUUAAAGAACAAAACACAGUCGUCCAUAAAGAAAUUGAGAUGAUUAUUAUGGGAAUCCCUUUUUCAUUUUUCAAAUUUAUUAAAUUACAAUUACGACUAAAGAAUAUAUUAUAAGAAUUAAAAUAUCGUUUUUUAUUUUAUUUAAUUAUUAAUUCUUUUCAAAUGUUUAUUCUUGAAAAAAAGUAAAAACUUUAAAUUAAAAUAAAAAAUAGAUUACCCAUCAAAUUUCAGUAUUUUUACACUUUCAACUUUCAAAACAAAAUCCAAGACAAUUGCUAAUUUCAUAAAAAAAUUAGUCAUUUAUACUCUUUUUGUAAUGAGUAAUAAAGAUAGAAUGAUCAACAAACACACUUAGAUUAACACACCCUUAAUGACUUCAUUAUAUGAUGCUGCACUAUUCGGUGAACUAAUAAAUGAGUAUAAAUGGAUUUCUAAGUUAAAUGUUGGGAUAGUUUAACGAGAUCGUUUUUUGGUGCAUAUAUUUAUCGACCUGUUUAAUGAAACAGAUGUAUUUUGUUAAAAAAAGAGUUUAUUGGAUUUUUAAAAUCUUUUUUUCUUCAAGCUAUUUUGAUUAGAAAAUUGAGGGAGGUUAAAUUUUAAGUUGUUGUUUCUUUUUCUAUAAUAUUAUAUUUAAUUUAUCGAUUAUGACUGCAUGUUCCGAAAAAACGAUCUCCCAAGUAUCAAUCAAUGUUUUAGCCCAUUUUUUCUUUUAUAAUUAACUAUUAACAUUGCCUAUAUUAUGCCUCAAAUUCUUUGCCAUGUUAUUAGUGUUUUUCAAAAUAACUCAUUUCUAAAAUUAAACACUUGAAAAUUUUAAUGGAACAUUUAUUUUAAUAACUUUUGGAUAUUCAAAAUAUCGUCAGUCGAUGCUAGGUUGACACGUACAUAACCACUCUGUUUAUGCCGACAUCCAAAAGAAAAUUAUAUACAUAUGCUUAUAUUCUGAGAUUAAUUCCUUAUGUUUAUAUUCUCCAUCCUCCCAAGUGGUAUUAGGAAAAGUUUGAUGCCAUCUACUUUAGGUUCUGGUGCUACAUAUAGUAUUUUCCUUUGAAUGAAAUAUGUGAACACAAGAAAAUAAAAGAAGGUAUUAUUAGAUUUUCGUUGACAUCAUACAAAAGAAAAUUAUAAUAGAAUGUGUUGACAUUUCAUGAUCACUAUAUAUUGUGUUGACACGUAAAUGUGAGAUUCACCGAUAUUUUUAUUUACAUCGAUAUAUUUUACACCUAUAUCGCAAGAGAACCUUGCAGACACUCGAAUUUUCAUUGUUGAUCCAAAUUGUAAACCUUGCAAAAGGUAUUUUGGAUACUUUAUUCCGAGUUGAUAGAGAUGCUCACAAAAAGACACAUUAUUUCUUCUACGGCAGAAAUGCAUGAAGUAAACUUUGGUAAAUAAAAACUCCCUCAAAGCAUCAAUUCCAUUUGAGAUGAUGUGUAAUAGAUAUCAUCUCAAAGAGCAAAAAGAAAAAAGAAAAAAAAAAAAAACCAUCUCCUUGUGUUAGGGUUUUUGUCUUUUACAUACCAACUCUAUAUAAAGACUCCUUCCCCAUAGAGAAAAAUCUAAGGCAAACAAAAACUAUAUUAUCAUCAACACAAAGAUAUAUUAUUAGAGCUUACGUUCUUGAAUAUCAUUGAAAUGGCAAUGUCAAGGUCUCAACUGAAGUUGACUAGGGAUGAGGUUAGGGAGAUCUUAGAAGAGCAUGACGUGGACGGUGAUGGUAGCCUGACGAAGCAAGAGGUGAUGCAAGCCCUGAACUCCAUGGGUUCUAUGAUGUCCUUUCAGAAAGCUCACUAUGGUGUUUCUCAUGCUGACAAAGAUGGGGAUGGUAAAGUCGAUCUAGGAGAAGCAGAGAUGGAGAAUCUUAUUGACUAUGUCAUGAGGUUUCAGACCCCAAGGGCCCCAAAGACCCCAAAGGUCCCUAAGGUGCCAGCCCAAAAGCCUUGCCAUGAUGGUAAAUCAAUUGUGUAAUAAUCUUAGCUUAUUUCUAUUUAUUAUGUGUCCGUCUUCAGUCUUCGUCUACGUCUUCAUCUUGUUUUUCAGUCCAUAUAGUUUAUGUUACAAAUUGAGCCAUGGCUGUGCUCAAAUUGGCAAUUAUCCACGUAUGUUCGUUAUCUGCAGUAUUGUGUGUCACUGGUAAUAAAAUUAUCUUCUUGUUGUAUCCAUAAAUUAUUAUAUAAUAAACAUUCCUAAACUAUUAAAAAUGUCAGAUUUUCAAUUUCAUUUCAUGCCAUCGUGUGAUUUAUUAUUUAACUUUGCACUAUGUAAAUAUAAACUAAGAUCUUUUAUAAAUAUUUACAAGUAACAUAAAGUUUAAUACAUAGUAGAAUGUUUUGAAUGUAUUAUUUAGCAUUUCUAACACCCAAAAUCUAAGUGGUAUUCAAUAUUUAUUCUAUCUAUGUGAUUUAUGAUUGACUCUUAACCUUAGAAGUACUUUUAUAGUUUAACAGCUUUUAUCUGAUAAGAAAACUUGCUCUCUCCAUCGAUUAGUGUACAUCUAACUCAUGAUUAAUCAAGUAUUUAAUUGUAUCAAUGUUUACUGGUUUUUUGUUGCCCAUUUUUUCUUAACACUGUAGCUAUAAAAUUGUAUUUGCUAACUGACAAAAUUACAUGACCCAAAUAUACUAGAAAUGUUGUAAAUAAUUAACGCCAUAAUGAACCAAAUAAAAGUGUAAAGAGAGUAUACAAAAGGCAAAACACACCAUAUGAACAUUCUCAUGUAAGGAUACAAAUGUAUAUAUAAAAUGGGGCCAUUCGUUUUAUAAUAGCAGAAAGCAGUAAUUAGAAUCGAUGAUAUAUAAAAGGAAAAAGAGAUUCAUUGGACGACAUUUAAUUAAGACAAAUCAAAUAAGCCUACCAUCAUAAUUUUCUUAAAAAAUCUGUUACAUUUUUUUGAAUGGAAUACUAGUAGACCAGGGUCAUUAAUGCACCCAACGACUCAUCCAAGAUCGUUUGCCAUAGCAGCUGCAUCAGUCAUCACACUCCAGCCCAGCCCCCAUGUUGUUUACUUUUGUAUAAAAUGGUAAUCAAAUAUAGAUGUUUAUUGAAAUGUCAAUCUGUUUAAUUAAAAUACAGUAACUAAUGAAUAUGUAAUAAAGAUACUAUCCAGCCCUGCCUGUACUACUUUUCUUGGUAAUAAAAUUCUGGCGUUAGGGCUUUGCCCACUCACCUUGUUUCCUCUUAAAAAAUGAAUAUCUAAUAAGAAUUAAAAUAACCUUUUCUAAUUUUAUUCUUUAUUAACUGUCAUUUACAGCUUGUUCAAACAUUAACACUUAAAAGAUUUAAAAUUAAAAUAUGGUUUGACUUAAACUCACCCAUCUAAAUUCCAAAACAUCUUAAAGUGAAAACAUUAAUAAACUUAAAUUAAUAUCUCAUCUUCUUUUAUUUUUUGUAACCAAAGGAUGAUAUAUGCAUACAGAAAUAUGUAUUAUUGUACGUGAUAGACCACCAAAUAUUUGCUGAAUAUCUUUAUCCCCAUCGACUGGACAUUUCUAUAACUUUUGAAAAACGAUUCUUCUGUUUUGGUAGGGUUUUGUUUUUCUUUUCUUUUCUUUUCCUUUUGACAAAAAUGAUAAUAACUUGGAUUUUUGACAUUUUAUGGUUGAGUUUCAGUUUUCUUUUACAAGUCUAAAUCGUGGCUAGCUUAAGAAAUAUUUCUACAAUUCAAUUUACACUUAUAUCAUACAUUUUAAUUUUGAAUAUUUUGCUACAUCAAAUUUGAGUAAUUACAUUUUAUUUGAAUAAAUACAUCAAUUAGAGAGAGGUUAGAAAUUGCAUCCAAAAGUCUCAAAUAUGACCUUAUUUUGUUCUUCUAAAAAGAAAGAAAAAAUAUUCGUGAAUAAAGUAUAAAAUUCCAAAAAGCUGAGAUUUAAUUUAGGAUUCUUUUCAAAAAUAGGAAAAAAAAUCACAAAUUUGUUCACUCCAUAUAAAAAAAUAUUAAAAAAAAUUCAUUACAUAAAUAAUAUUUAAAAAAUUGCAUAGGACAAUAUUUUGAGAAUAUGAUAUAGCAAUUAUAGAACACUGUUUUAGAAUUUUGCAAAUAUGACAAAUGUUUUACUUCUUCAUCUUAAAUUUGUUAUUAUUCUUAAACUAUCAUUUAAUAAUUUAUUUCUCUUCCUCUUUUUAAUGCCCUAUUCAUUAUAUAUUUAUUCUCUCACUUUUUAAGGCCCUAAUUAUUUGUUUAUUCUUAUACUAGAAAAAUUAUUUAUUCAUUAUUCUCUCACUUUUUAAGGUUCUAAUUAUUUGUUUAUUCUUAUACUAUAAAAAUUAUUUAUUCUUCAUGUGUUAAUCUUAAUUUUAAAAUAUCAAUAGUAUAAUAAUUGCAAUAUGAAAUAUAAUAUAAUGGUUGGUGAUCGGAGUAAUUAACUUCAUUUGUGAUUUCUUUUUUUACUUUCUUCGAUGUGUAUUUUAAGCUGAAUCUAAUUUCAAAUGAUUUUGUUUUAUUUUUUUACAUUAAUUUUUUGAUUUUACUUUGUCUCAGUUUCAUAUAUCAGUGUUAUGAUAUACUUAUAUUAUAUAUAUUAGUUAGUUAAUAUACUUACUAUGUAAUUUUUGUUUUCUGAAAAUUUUAUAUAGAUCAUUAGAGUAUUAUUAAGUAUAUGAAUUAUUUAACUUAGUGUAUCAUUAUCAAGUAUAUCAACAAUAUAUUGUUAAAACAUAUCAAUAAAGUGAAUCAUUAUCAAGCAUAUGAAUCAAAUUUACAAGUGUAUAUCAAUAGUAUAUCAAGUGUAUAAGUAUGACUUCAAGCAUAUCGAGUGCAUUUAAUCAAUCAAUUGUGUAGAUACCGUAUUUUGUCCUGCCUUUUUAUUUUUUUCAUUAAUUUAUUUAUUAUUUUUUUAAAAGAAUUUGAAUUUGAAUUUAAAUUUAAAUUAUAAAAUUUAAAUCUUAAUUUUUAAAUUUAUGUUUUAAAACAAAAACAAAAAUAAAAACAUAUUUAAAAUUAAAUUUAAAAGUAAAGAUUUUUUUUCUUCUCCCUAUUUUUCUCAACCUUCCCCUGUUUUCCUGAGUCACAACCCUCCCACUUUCUCCCAAUCUCUCACGUUCUCCCACUCUUCCAUCUUCUUCCCCAAUCUCUCACGUUCUCCCACUCUUCCACAUUUCUGUGUACUCCAUUUCACUAUCUAAACCUACUUCACUUCUAUCUAAAAAAAGGAGACAUUUCCCUAUAAAAAGAGAAUGAGAAGAUUCAAUGGGGGGAGAAUUUUUUUUGCUGGAGAAUUAUUUGGUAGAGAAGAGGGACACGUAAAAGAUUUUUUUUGGAAGAGGUGAGGAGGAUCAACCCAGAACAUUUUGCAUUUAAGGCAGACCUUGUAAGUUCUUUUUUUUAUUCACGUUUGAUAAUACUAGCUUGAUUAUUUGGCACCCAGUAAUUAUUUCGCACCCAUCUGGGUGCUGUCUUAAUUAUUCAUUUAAAUCACUCGUUAAUUAGCUGAUGCGUUAAUCAUUGGGCACUCAUUUCACAUCUUUUAAUUAUUUGCAUCAUUUGAAUUAUUUGGCACCCAUUUGACUCUUUGAUUGCUGACCUAAUACAGUGUAUCAGGUGUAUCAAACAUAUAUUAGUAAUGUUUCAGGUGUGUAUAAAAAAGUAUCGAGUAUAUCAAAGAGUAUCCGAGCAUCAAGUGUAUCAAUCAAAUGUAUCAAAAAGUAUAAGGUGUAUCAAAGAAUGUAUUAGGUGUAUCAGACGUGUAUAAGACGUGUAUAAGGUGUGUAUAAGGUGUAUCAAACGUAUAUUAGUAACGAGGACAUUUGUGACAUUUUACCUUUUGAUGUGUGGACUGGGUUUCGUUUUUGCCAUUUUCGCAAAUAAAAUGUGUGUGCUAUAGACUUAAUUGUUAUAACUUAUUUUGUCAUUUUUGCAAGUGCCCCUAAAUAUUUUGUCAAAUUUUCUAUUUUUGACAAUUUUCCAUAAAAAAUAAUAUUAAUUAACGUUUAAUAAAGUUCAAAUCUCUUCUCUUCUCGGAUUGGUCCAAAAUGGUGAAAUUAAAUAAAUAUUAAAAGAAAAUGAGAAAAAAAAGUGUCAAUAGAUAAUUGCAAAAUAUAUACUUUUGAUUGAUGAGAUUUGAAAUUAUUUUGUCUAUCCUAGUAUUUAAAAUUUGAAAAGAAACACUUGACAUCUCUAAAAAAAAAGUUUGACAAGCAAGCAAUGGAUCGAUCCAUAAUUUUUCUUAAGAGGGACUUAAGUUAAAUUAUUUUGCAAAAAUAUUAAAAUACAACUUAAGUUCAAGAAACUUUCAAUUUAAAUUUUGCCAUAAAAUUGAAAUGAUGUCUCAUGUGUUAUUAUAAACAUUCAAUUUUGUAUUUAGUAUACAAAACACAGGAUGAACUUUGAAUACCUAAAUCCACGCAAAAUUAAAAAAAUUAUUUUAAGUUCACACUUGAAUUAAAAUUUAGAGAAGACAUCUUCUUUCCUUUUGUGAUUAUUAUUAUUUUCUCAACAGAGAAAUUAGAAGUUGGGGUAUCGGACAAAGUUAGAAAGUUCAAAACGUUCAAAACGUUCUUUAUUCUCCAAAGCUUCCUAAUCAAGAUAAGAUGGAACCAAGAGGCUACGCUUUUUAAGGACCCUUCCCUUCCACUUUCUUCUCAACAGUUCUUCAAUCGAAGAAAAACGGCGAAGGUUGCGAAGUCGUCUAGGUUUCAUCUAAAAUGACUCGUCAAUUAUAUGACAAGAAGAAAUCAGGGUACAAGUUGCAAAAAGAAGAAAUGAAAGAAAUGUUUAGGGAGCAUGAUUUCAAUGGCGACGGUCGCUUGAGCAUUAAAGAAUUGUCGAGAGCAUUCGGCCAAUUUGGCGCAUUCUUCCCUCUCUACCGUGCAGCUUUUGGGUUGUUCCUUGCAGAUGAUGACGGCGAUGGAUUUAUCAGUGAGCAAGAACUAGAUAAAGUGGUAGAUUAUGCUAUUAAAUGUAAGUAUAACCUACUUUAGUUAUCUUUUCCAUCCUGCUGUGGAAGGUUCCCUAGUGAGUGUGAGUUGUUGAUGUAAAAAAAUAAUAUACAGAAAGGUAAUUUGUGUGUUCAAGAGAUACCUUCCCCUAUUAUUGUAAAAUGCCUUUCCUGAUGGCUGAUGCGAAGAUGAUGAUGAUAGCAUUUCCAAUAAAAAUAAAUUUUAUGCUUCAUUCUUGCUCUUGCAUGAUAUGAUAACAAUUUUCUAAAUAUAUGUAUAUUGUUACAAAAUAAUAGACGCACUUUAUUUUAACAAUGUACCAGGAUCUGUUAACCUAUUAAUCUCUUGUAUCCAAAAGUUUCAAAAACAAAUUACAAGCUGAUAUAAACAAUAAUGAUUACAAAGUAAUACAAAAAUGUCAGUGUUGAAGUUUGCAGCUUAAUUAAAACUUUACAAAUAUAUUGAUAGAUACACAUCGUACAGGAACGUCCACCAAUAUCAAAAGGUACGAAAAUCAAACUAAACUGACCAAUGUCCAAUUAUCUUCAAAAUCGAUCGGUUUGGUUCACUUUGGUGAUCUAAUUAAUUUUGUUCCCCGGCAUCUUGGCUUCGGUUUUAUUAACAUUUUUUUGUAUUCUCCAUUUGUUAUAUUGGCCAUCAAAUCUAGGAAGAGAAGAGGGUGAAAUAGAGUAGGAUGUUUAAUUUGGGAGAGAAAGAGGUUCAUGAAUCUUUGAACCAUAAACUUCGUCCUAUUUGGAUGUCAAGAUUCAUGUCUCAAAUAAGUAUUUGGUAAAUUAGAAUGGUGAACCGAAGAAAUAUCUUCUCGUAAAGGCUUGUUGAACAUAUAGCUUGCUCGCUGUAUAUGAUGUACUGAUUCAAUAUCUGAUCUAUGAAACAAAACAAACAUGGUGAACUUACAUUUCUUUUUUUAAACUUUAGAUACUGUUGUGUAUUUUCAUUUCUAAAACUUUGAGAAAAAAAACUAUUUACUUUCCUAAAGUAAAUAGUAAAAUAGUUUAAAUUAUGUGAAAAUAUUUACAAAACACACAAAAAUUUCAAAUUCUAUCCAGAAUAGAUAAUGAUUAACUUUUGUUGGUGUCUAUGUUGAGUGCAAUGUCUAUCAUUAAGAAAAUCUUAAAUCUAAACUUUUGGUGGCAACAAGCAACAAGCAACGUACAUCUUGAAUAUAAUUAUUACUCAAAUUAUUUUUCUUAACAAAAUAACUAAUGUUGUUAAACAUUGUUCAUGGUAAAGACGUAGAACCCUAAUUUGCCCACACAAACAACGAAUGCUCGAAUUCUAUUGUUAAUAAUUUAUCCUCAUAUGUGUGGGUUUUUCUCUAGUAUAUAAUAUUUCGGUAUACCUACUAAUCCAUUCUAGAAUAAUUUCUUGGUAAACAAAAAAAACUAUAAAUUAUAAAGGAAUGAAUAAAUUAGAAUAGACUAAAAAUAGAUUACUCAAUUUUUUAAAGUUAUUAUUCCAAUCUUAAAGCUUAAGUUCAACAGAUGAUGUCAAAACACUAUCUACGUCAAUCACUAUCUGAUUUGCCACUUUUGUUAAUAAUAUAAACUCAACUUUUCUAUUUUUGACAACUUUUCUAAAUUCUAAUUUUUAUAAUUAAACAAAACGUACAUACAAAAUAUAUAUUUACAAAUAAAAUUCUGAAGUGAAAUUCUAUUUUAAUUUAAAAGUAAUUGACAAAUUUUGUUAUAUUUUUUUAAAAAAAUAUUACUAUAUAUUUGAAAUGUGCUACUUGUUGCAUUUACCAUAUUUUUUAAUCUUUCACCAAUAAAUUUAAAAUCCUAAUUUAAUUAAUCUUCAUUCUCAUAAGAAUGAUAAUUGCAUAAGCAUAAUAAUUUAUUCUUUCACAUUAUUUCCAACUUCUAUACAAGUAUUUAUAAUUGAAAAUUAUUAAAAAUAACAAAAAUUGUUGAAAAUAUCUAUCUAAUAUAGUAAAAUUUUCCAUUCAUCGAUAAGGGUAGAUUUGAAAAAAUGAUAUCAAGUUAUAAUCUUAGUUCUAAAAAAACCAAAACUUGUAUUUCUAUUUCUUCAACCCUUUCCACAUAACCAAGGUCCAAUAUUUGAAAAGGAAAAAGAAAAGUAGGUAUUCAAAAUUAAAAGAUGUGGGAAUUAAAACAGCCGUAAUUAGCAUAUGCAAGGUUUUUGUUUUUAAUCAGUAUGUUGUUUCUUUAAACACUUAUUAUUACGAUUAUGUAAUAAAUUUAAGACUUAUUAGAGAAAUGUUGUUGUUAGGUUUUUGGCGAUUCCAACAUAUAUAUCGUAGUUUUUUUAAAAAAGAAAUAGAAAAGAAAAAGGAACUAAGGAAGGGGAUGGAAAAACCUAAAUCGGAGGUAUGGUGAUGGGGAACGGUAAGGGAAGUCGGAAUCCAUUUCCGGCAACGAAAAGUAAUUAAGGAAAGAAAAUUCCAUAAAUUAUUAGCAGAAUCAAUAAUGGGAAAAAUAUAAAGGUAUGCUUGGAUGCAGGAAUGAUUUAUGGUGGACUACUCACUCAAAAUUAUUCCUUUGUUCCUUCCUUUAUUUAUUUUGAUGCACCACCACAUUUUCAAAUUACCACCAUGCAUGAAGAUAUAUAUAUUAUAUAUAUAUAUAUAUGAGCCAUGAAUAUUUUUUAAAUAUUAAUAUUAGAAAUAUAGAAGAAAACGAAAACCUAAGUUAAUAUUUUGUGUAAAUUUGGUAGUGAGGGUGAAAGUGGGAAGAUAAGAAUAGGGAACAAAUGAAUCAGCCACACCCAUAAUGAAGAUGGUACCCAACUUGGAAAUCUGAGUAUCUUUGAACGAACAGUAUUUUGGUAUCUCUUUUUUUUUAUAAAGAUACUUUGAGAUAGCUGAUGCAAGGCCACAUGGGAACAUAUCAAUGCAUCAACUAUAGCCCCACUUCAUUAAUAAUAAAAGGUGAUUACAAGAAGCGGGGAAUAGAAAGGUUAGAGGGCAGCCCGAUUAUCCCAAAACGAAAGCAUGUAAAUUUAAAGCAAUAGAACUGGACGGGUAAUUUUUGAAAAGAGAAGAACGACUCGACCAUAGACCAGUUAUAGCUUGAAUGUCUUCCCAUACAGAAACAUCUGAUUUCUCUUCUCCCUUAAAAGUCCUUAUGUUUCUUUCAUUCCAGAUAUUCCACAGGGUAGCAGCCACCAGAUGUUGUUCAAUGGUUUGUCUUUUUUAUUUACCUUUAGUUUUGAAAGGUUGUUUGCAUAAAACAGUAGAAUCUAUAUGGGGGAGAAGUUUGUCUAGUACCUCUUCAACUUUUUUCCACAGGUUUUUUUUGUGAAGGGGAAGAGGGAGAAUAAAUGAAUACUAUGUCAUUCACCAUUUUCUAAUGUCAUACUUUUAAUGGUAAAUACUUAGACGUUUCAUGAAAUUUAUUUAUGAUUUAUCUAUGUACGUUUACUAAUUGGAUGUUUAAUUACAAUAUUUUUACCAAUGACGAGAUUCUUCAUCUUUUUAGUUUUUCUUAUUCCUUGAUGAUUGUAGGAUGCAUUCAAGAUCCAUCCAAUUUCAUUUUUAGAUUUUUGAAAUUGUUAAAAUAAUUUUUGUCAUAUUAAAAAAUAAUUUAAAUAUAUUUUAGUAAUUUUUCUAUCGUUUUGUUUCAUAGCAAAUAUAAUUUAAAUUCAAAUUCGGUAGAAAUAAGAGAAAGAUGUGAAAAAAUGGUACAUUUUUGCAAUACGACAACGCACUCUUUCAACUAAACUAUAUAUGCUCGAUUUGACUAGUAUUAUUGCAUUGAAAUCGACACAAAAUGGGUAGAAAAUAAGUGGGUAUUAUAAUACCAAAGCAUCAAAUAUGCAAAGCCACCACUGUGAAACUCUUAAAGCCUAAAAGAUAAAACGCAAAUUGCCAAAAGCAUCUUCCAUCCUUUACCUUGUUGGAAAAUUCAUUAAGUACUUAUUAAUUAAUUGCGAUAACAAAGGAAUAAUUGAAUUGUGAAUUUGUCACUCUUUAAUCACUUUCUGGAUUUGGGUGAUCAAGUUUAACUUUAUUAACUUUCAAUUUUUAGGAAUUGAAUUCUAGACUCUAGUGAGUAUUAAUACACGUUUAAAUUGGUAUUAAAUUUGUUUUUAAUGUUAUAUGUGUUUUAGUCUCCUUUAAAUAUCUCUACCUUGUUAAGAUAUAUACAUUUCCUCUGCCUCCUUGUUAAAAGAAAAUUGGUAUAAAACAAAGAUUUCCAAAAACCAACAAAUAAAUCAAAAUCUCAAAAGGGCAAAAAAAAGAGUAAAAGCCAGAGUCUUGUCAAAUUAAUUAUAAGAAUCCUCAUAGCUAGCUUUAACUGCAAGUUCUAGAAACAAAAUGAAUAAAUUUAAUCGAUAUCAUUCUUUUAAUAAAUGUUUCAAAGUACGUAAAUAAAACUACACAUAGUUAGAUAGUUAUUAAUUAUUUGACAAGGUGUAACAGAUAAUACCCUAUAAACAACGAUCCAUUUUUGACAAUUUUUUAUUGCAACCCAAACUUUAUCUAAAAGUUUUUCAUGCAACAAUAUAUCAUGACUAACUUUACAAGACCAAUAAGGUUUUACAUCCAAAGAAAAGAAAAUGUAAUAGAUAAGUAAGGAUAGUUAUUAAAUUUUUUUUUAUGCAUGAAAACUUUCUGAACUGAUAAUGAAAUCAGAAGAAUAUUGACUACUUUCAAGACACGUAUUCGAUUCUUCACGUGAGCUUCGUAAAGUUGAUGUUAAACGUUUUGGCAGUAUCCUCUUUUUUCUUCUUUUUCCAUUUUAUUAUUUUUAUAUAAAGAAAAAUGAAAUUCUCCUUUCUAAAAAUUCAGAAAAUACCUCAUAAAAAAAAAAUAGUAAAAUGUAAUAUUUUAAUUCUAAGAAAAGAUUCCAUAUAUCAUUAUGAUACCAAUAUGAUUACAAAGAAAGUGGGAGAAUUCUACUAUAAAUACCCCACGAUCCAUACAUCGAUAAACACCAAGCAAACCAUAAAAAAAAUACGAACAUUUUGCUCCAACACUAAACCGUAUCAUUUCUAAGAAAAUGUCUCGUGCAGCAACCAGGCUACAGCUCUCCAGGGAGGAUAUAAAGGAGAUUUUUAGAGAGCACGACAUCGAUGGAGAUGGUCGAUUGAGCAUGAACGAGAUGGUGAAGGCCUUCGGGUGCUUUGGCAGUAUUCUUCCUUUCUACAAAGCACACUACGGAAUGGCUCAUGCUGAUGAGAAUGGCGAUGGCUUCAUCGAAGAGGAGGAGCUCGACAAGCUUGUCGACUAUGCCCAGAAGUUUCAGCACAAGAGAAAGUGCUGAGGUUAAUUAUAUGUAAUUUUCCUCAGUCUGCUGGUCAUAAUGUCAUUAACACUUUCAGUUUACAUGCACUACUUUAAAUAUUAUACUCUCAUGUUUAGAAGUUUUAAUGUGUUGUUGUAUAAAUAAAGAAAAGAAAAAGAAGGGCUAGGCUACGUAGCUAAAAUUCCUGCUUUGCCUUAGCUAUCAAAAGGGGAGACGUUGUCUUUGUGUUUCAAAAAAUAAAAUAAAUAAAAAAUAAAAUCAUAUUGAGAUAGUUUAUCUCAUUAUUAUCAUAUUUGUAAGUUGUGCGUUUUUUACAAAGAAAUUGGAGGAAAAUGAUCAACAUAAGUGCAUCCAAAUAUCUCAAUAGAUUGUGUUUACUACUUUUAAAGAUUUUUCUAUAAAAAAAGAAAAGAAAGUAAAACAUCAAUCUAGCUAAAUCCUUUUGAAUACUUCGACAUCUAUUUAUCUCUUUACUCUAUUAGUGUUUUCUUUUUCUUUUUAAAAAACUAGUCUUAAUAUUAUUUAAUGUUACUGUAUAUAUCAUAUAUCGCAUUUUAUAUAAAAUUGAAUGGUAUAUUUAAUUUUUAAAUUAAAAAAUUCAAUAUUGUACGAUCAUGUAUUCAAUACAUGAUUACAAUACCUUUGUUUUCAAAGCACCUUGGUUCUUGAAAAAUCAGAACUCUAUGAUUCUUCUUAACCAAAUCGGUUAUGGUGAUUGCCCUAAUUUUGCAUUCUAAGGGCUCAUUUUGGGAAGCUUGUCUAAAAGUUACAAUAGCAUAUUCAGAGCGUCGUAUCACACUUUAAUUCUCUGUAGGACAUGUGUUUCGAUGAAACUCUAAAAAAAGGUUUAAACAAAAAUAAAGUGUUUUAUUGAAAAAUACAUUUUUUUUAAAAAAAAUUCAAUCUAACUAACCCUUAAAUUUUAUUUAAAUUUCUAAACUUUUGUCUCGCUAUUUUGGAAAUUUUAUGAAGUUUACGUUUGGAUAACCUUUAGAAGUAAGACUUUAUUUUAGUGUGCAAUUGUUUUAAACUGAGUUUAAAAUUUGAUUAUUAAGGAUGUGUUCUCGACGAAGAAUUUUGGAAUAUAUGGGCAUAUGGAUGGAAGAAAACUAAAGCCCCUUGGAUGACGAUAAACGUAGGAGGAAUAUAAAUUUACAACCCAUCAUACUUUUUUUUUCCUAUGAUGAACCAUAGUCAAUCCACCUUUUACAAUUAUAUUUUUAAAGGCUCAUCUUGGUCACCAUCUUACUUUUAUUGGUUUGUUCUCAAAUUAUAUUAGUUUUUACAGUAACAUUUUAUUAAAUCACUUAUGUAUCUUUUUCAAAAAAAAAAAUAAAAAAAAAUCACUGAUUAAUUAAUAAAAAACUUAGGCUAAAUGUUGAUAGAACGUAUAUUUUUAGUACUUUAUGUUAGUUCAGGUACUUAGUAGUUCAAAGUUGUUUAUUUAUACAUUUUUUUUAAGAAAGCAAUUGUUUCUUAAAUACGAUAAGAACAUAUGAAAACACAAUGCCUAUCAGAAAUUAUUAAGUAAAAAAUUAAGAUUUUUAAUUAACCAACGUAGGUUUUUUCUAGGUCUACAAACAUGACAGCUUAAAGAAGAUGGACAGCAACUUAAAAUUAAAAUUAAAAUAAUAAUAAAAGAAAUUCCUCAACUUUGUCCUUUAUUUUAAAAAUAUUUUUAUUCUUUCGAAAGGUAGAAUAUUAUCUUUGACUUUGAACAUUACAAAACUGUUCUUUAGAAAUAUAUGUGUUAAAAUAUCUUAUUGAAGUUAGAACCUGAAAUAGUAUAUGUUGAUGACUGAGAAUGAUGCGGCAGUAUUAUCUUUGAGGAUGGCCUAAUUAAACAUUGUUUUUAUCACUUUUUGCAUUAUGCUCAACAUUUUACUAACAUUUCUUAUCUCUGAAGUAUAUAUUUUUUUACAGAAAAAAAAAUAAUGUUACGUAUGUACAUGUUAAUCUUUCUUCGUUUUCUUUAUAAGAAACCAGAAGGCACAAAACACACAAAACACAAUUACAAAAACUUUCUAUAGCUGAAAGAUGAAAUGGGAAUAUGAUUCCAGUGAAGAAAUUUAGAGAUAAUACGACUUUUGAUAAUGCAUUAUAAAUACCAUUCGCUUUCACUACUUGAUGAUACAUAUCAAACAAAAUCUUAAAGCCACGUCUAACUAAAACCCUAAAGCCAACCACAAGAAUGGAAGAAAAAAGUCUUUUUGUUGCACUCCAAAAGCCUCUGUCAGAGAAGGAAGCAAACCUUCUGCUCGAGAUGCGCGAUGCCAACGGCGAUGGAGUUCUCGAUAAGCAGGAACUGAUGGCUGACUUGACACACACUAACAAAAAACCCUCCACAAGCUUACAAGACAUGAAACUCACAAGGGAAGAGAUCAAAGAAAUUUUUGUAGGUUUCGACAUCGAUGGCGAUGGUUUUCUAAGUAAGAAUGAGGUAAUACAGGCCUUCGGUAUGAUGGGUUCAUGCUCCCCGAUUAUGAAAGCUCACUACGCCAUGGCUUGUGCUGAUGAAGAUGGCGACGGUCGCAUUAGCGAGCCUGAACUUAAUAAACUCAUUGAUUAUGUUCAGAGAACCAUUAACAGGAGGAGGUUAAAUUAAUUAGCUAUGAGACAUAUUCAUAUGUAUGUAUGUACUGCUACAUAAUAAAUUUAAAGUUUCAAAAUAACUUUUGAAUUUAAUGUGGGUGGAGGAUUGAACUCAAAUUAAAACUAUUAGAUUAUUGGCAGGUUAAAAAUAGCUUCUAGAUCCUAAACCUUUCUAAAAGAAAUAAUUGAGUUAUAUAAAUGAAAAUAUAGUUUGAGACAAUUUAUUAGUUUGGUGUACUUUUGAAUUUGAAGCAAUUUGGUUCCCUAUACUUAUAUUUGUAAUAAUUUAUGAAAGAAGAGUUGUUGAUAUCCACUUUCCCUUCCUUUCAGCUCCCUCUCUUUUUCCCUUUUGGCACCAUCACCACAGUUCACAUUAGAGCAUUCACCAAUCGUUCACCCGUUGGAAGCGAUCAUGCGCCAUUCGUCCUCAUUUAUCAGCCGUUUUUCAUCACCGUCAACUUUCGUAGGCCACUUAUUGUUGGAUAGAAAAUUAUUGCGAAUAUCACGUGACUAUAAGAAUAUAUUGAUUAUAGUAGUUUAUCGCUAAUAAAUUUCGUUAUAUUUAUCAAAUUUUUGUAGAAUAUUGUCGUACACUUAAAGUCCCAAAGUUGCUGGGCUGCUGCUUUGUUAUGGCCCAAGUGGGAAUAAGGGUUUGAUCCGAUCUGAAUUUUGGUGGCAGGUAUAAAGGAGGGAGAAGAAUAGGAAACAUGGAGGAAUUGCACAUGGGUGAUGUAAAUUCAAUAAUCCUAAUUUCAAUUGUAUAUCCUUUGAUUUUUUGAAAUCAGAAUUGAAAAUCUCUCUCUAAACUCUGCUCUUUCCAUUAUGAUUUUUGGAAUAAAAUUACGAACAACUCAAACAUGGAAAUAGAGGAAAGGCCAUGAUGUACGUGGUUGGGUUAAAUGAACCCUAACCAUAAGUGGAAGAUUUAUUCUUUUGAAGGCUACAAGAAGAUAUAUGGUUUAUUUAUUUCAUUUUUUUUUUUUUAAUUUUACAGCAAUGAUCUAUUUGUGUAUGGGUAUUAUCUGUUGCAAUGAAACUCUUAGGAAAAAUAAAGCCGUUGGAAUCAAAUUAAAUAUUCUUCACCAUGUAUACAAAGUGAAGACAUUUUACCACGGGUGACACAUACAAUAUUGCAGAAAACCAAAGUACAACAACAAACAACAUACAUGGCUCCAUUGUAGAGCAUAAACCAUAUUGACCCAAAACCAUACGAGCAAACACAUAGACAUAAAUAAUACAAAAUAGAUUACUUGGUCGACCGACUUGAUUUAUCAUCCUGCCGUUGCUUUGCAUUAUUAAACCUCAUGACAUGGUCGACGAGUUUCUCCAACUCGUUUUCAUCACAGAAACCAUCACCAUCUUUGUCAGCAAAAGCCAUCCCAUAGAAAGCUUUCUGGAAUGAAUUGAUCAUAAACCCCGUAGAGCUUAGGGCUUGCAUCACCUCUUGAUAUUUUUCUUCUAGUAGUUCAACAAAUCUUGCCUCAUCUUACUCCUUAACUAAAUCAUCUCUCUAACCUUUUCCUAUUUUGGUUUUGAUUUUUGAUUUUACCUUUUUCAACUUGUUAUUUGAAAAUAAGCUAUUAGCUACUCUCAAGCAUUCUCAUUCUCAUUCUCAGUUGAAAAUACAAUGGCUAAAAACUUAACAAAUUUAGGACUACAAGAAGCAAGAUGAUAUUUUAACUUUUUUAAAAAAGAAACAUUUAUUUUUCCAAUUACUAUAUGUCGAAUCCCACUAAAAAUAAUCCAAAGUGAAAGAGAUGAGAUAUAUCUAAUUUCCCCCUCGCAUUAUUAUUCAAGAGUCUCUAUCAAUGCAUGGGAUUAUUCUAGUUGGGUGGAAUUGAAUGUGGCCUUCUACUUCUAGAAUCUAACCUAAUAAUCUUGACUUACUUCCAUUUGGUCCUUACGAAUUCGAUUCCACAUAAUCAGAAGGUGACGACAUCAUAUCCAUAUCUAUCAUCCUUGUUGAUUCUUUUAACAUUAAAUAAAGAAAAUUUGUAAAAAUAGCAAAAUAUAUAUAUAUAUAUGAUAAUAGAGUCCAUGUCAUUUUACAUUUUUAAAAUUACAAAAACAACAAAUUUAAAAAUAGUGAUUACUGUCAUAUUUGCAAAUUUUGCAAUAUGCAAAAAAGAGGUGUUAAUUAGCUGUUUUUUCCUAUUUUUUUAAUCAUUUAAUGCAAUUUUUCUUAAAUAAAUUAAAAUUUUGUUUAUUUGUCACAUAGUUGGUAGUUUGUUGGUUCAGUUUUACUCUUUGAUUUAAACUAAAAGUGAUUAGACUUUAAAUGGAUAUUUGUUUUAGGAUAAUAAUUGAGUGCAUGUCCAGUAGCACCUAUCUCUAUGGAUACUAUCUUUAUUAUUCACAAAAAAAAAAGAAAUAAAUUAUUGUAAAAAACGCAAACAAAUUGUUAUAUGUCAAACAAUAUGGUUGAACUAUUUGGUGAAAUAUAUACAUGUAAGUAUUAAUUUUGUUAUUUUGAAUUUAUUCAGUAUAGUAUAAUAAAAAGUGUAGAAAAUUCAAAUAGGUAUUUGAUAAUAUACAUACAUAUAUACAUAUAUAUUGUAGAUACCCUAUUUUGUCAUAUAUUUAUUUAUUAUAAAAGAAAAAGGAAAAGAAAAAGAAAUUAAAUUUGAAUUUGAAUUUGAAUUUAUAUUUUAAAAACAAUAAUAAUAAUAAAAUAAAUACAUUUAAAAAUAAAUAAUAAAAAUAAAAAUAAAAGGUUUGUUUCCUUCCUAUUUUUUCUCAAAUAUCCAUUUUUCUUCGUCAUCACUCUCCCACUUUCUCCCACUCUAUCACUUUCUCCCACUCUUCCACUUUCUUCCUAUUUUUCUGUAGUCUGCACUCCAUCUCGUGAUCUAAAAAAACAAUGGACCUUGCCCUAUAAAAAGGAAAGAGAAAAAAAGAAAAGGGAGAAUUUUUUUUUAUUAUUAUUGGAGGAAAAAAGAAAGAAGAUCAAGAGGAGUAACCUUUGGCAUUUAAGGGCAGAAGUUUUUUUUUUUUUCCUAUUUUUAUUCUUGUUUGAUGAUACUGCUUUUAAUUAUGAACUAUCGUGUUCAUCAUUGUUCAUCAUUUUACCGUCAUUUGACAUGUUAAUUUAAUUAUUUGUAUUUUUUUUAAUACUAAGCAUUCUAUCUUCCGUUCUAUAUUAAUUUUUUUUAUUUUUUUAAAUAUUGAGCUGUUCUGUGUUAUUUUUUUUUUUGUUGGGUAUCCAUUGUGUUAAUUUCCUUUUAUUAUUGGGCAUCCACUCUAUGUUAAUUUACUUUUAUUAUUGGGCAUCCACUCUGUGUUAAUUUUCUUUUAUUUAUUGGGCAUCCAUUCUGUGGUGAUUUCCUUUUAUUAUUGGGCAUCCAUUCUGUGUUAAUUAAUUAGCAUCAUGUAUUUGUAUUUGGAUACUCAUUUUUCAUUGGCACCCAUUUUACAGUUAAUUACUUAUAUCCAUAUGACAACAUGCCUUAAUAAUUAUGCAUAAUUAAUCAAUUAACAUCAUGUAUUUGGUAAUACUCAUUCUUCAUUGGCAUCCAUUUUACAGUCUUUGUUAAUUACUUUAUCCAUAUAUCCAUAUGGCAGUACUGCGUUAAUAAUUACUGCUAUCCAUAUAUUAUCAAUGUUAAUAAUUAUCCAUGAUAUAAUUAAUAUUUGGCAACACCCAUUUUUCAUUUGGCCUAUUAAUUAAUUAGCAACUUGUAUGUGACAUUUUCACCCACUCAUUCUAAUUAUUUGCAUGAUGUAUUAAUUAAUCAGUAUGCAUCUGGCUAUAAUUAUUUGAUAUUCAUUUUGGUGUGAUUAUUUAUUUGCAAUAUUAUUUAUUUGCAUAUCGGGUCAAACCUACUUUGGCAUUCAACUGUUAAUUAUUAUUUGAUAUCCAUUUGGCCCUCGUUUAAUUAUGCAUUAAUCAAUUAUUUUGUAUCAUGAAUUAAUCAAUUAUUUUUUGCAUCUUGCAUGUGUUGUAUUAAUUAAUUAUCUUUGCAUGUGUUGUAUUAAUUAAUUAUCUUGCAUCCUACAUUAAUAUCUUUUACAUUUUGCAUAUAUUAUCAAUGUAUUUAUUUUAUCUCAGCAUAUUACACUUAAGUAUUUUUCAAAUUUCAUAAUGUUUUGUCAUUGUUAUUAUUCAUUUUUUUUAUUUAAAUAUAAUAAUGUAAAUUGGAGAAAAAGUAUUGUUUUCUUAUGGAUUUUAUAAUUUAAAAACCAUGAAUACAUGAAAUUUUUCCGUUUGAAAUUUAAUUAAUAGAUUGUUUUUAAAUUAACACAUUUCAUAUUUUAAAUGAGACUGAGUAGUAUUUUCUAUGAAUUUAUUAAUUCUAGAUAUAUGAAUUUUUUCAUUAAACACCUAUGAUAGAGAUUAAAAUAUCAAGUUUUUGGUAUCUUAAUAUUCUUAAGGUGAAUAAAAAUAUUUUAAAACAAAAAUAAACUUAAUUUUUCUAAUGGCUCCUAUGCCACCCAUAAUUAUCAAUUCAUGCUUAGGUUUUACUUUCUUCGAUAUGAAUUGAUAAACAUGAGACAUUUAAACAAAACCUAAAUAAAAACUUUGUUAUGUGAACCCUUAUAUUUAAUUUAAAAGAUAAAAUUGGGUAACCAUUUUGUGGGUGUUGUAGGGUGCUAACACCUUCCCUACACACAACUGACUCCCGAACUUAAAUCUCUGAAUUUACGUAGACCAUUCUUUUUUUUUUUUUUUUGGUGACCAAUCACACCUUAAUAUGAUUGGUGGCGACUCCAAAAUUAUUUAUUAAAAUAAAAUAAACGGGGAGGUCGGCCGCUCCGCGUAGCGAUCACGUCGCGACAUAUAUAUAUAUAUAUAUAUCAAACAGGGCUCAUUUCCUUUCAAAAAGAGUUAUGUAAUGACAUGAAACAUCACAAAUAAAAGUUGGAAAAAGAGGAAUAGAAAAAUUAGAAAAGAAAAGAGAAGGAUUAUCACCUUUUGUAAGAAUAUGGUCCCUUUUGUCCCUUUCGAAAGAAAUGUAGGAACCUAUUUUCCUCAAUUGUUAAAUUUCAAUAUAAAUAAUCAAAAUGAUUGUAAAUUAAAAUAUUUAUAAAUAUAAUAUAAUUAAAUAAUCUCAAAAUUUUCUAUAUAUAUUUUUUAUAAUUAUUUUAGUUUAUUUUAUUAUAUUUGGAAUGUUAUUUUUUCUUCCAUUAUUAAUUUUUUAGGUAAUUAAAGUGAAAGAUUUGAUUCAAGUACUAGUAAUUGCAAGGUUUUUAUUAGCACCCAUCGCUGGAAUUGUUUAAAUAUAAAAUUUAUAUGUGAAAGGAUUAAUUAAAGAAUAAACUAGUUUAGGGUAAUUGACUCACGGAGUGAUCUUCAUCCUACGUAUAAUAGUGGUGUUUGAGCAACAAUGUUGCUAGCUAGCUAGCUUGUGAUCUCUAUCUAUGUCUUCAUAUAACAUUAAUACUUCUAUUGAUCUCAAUUUUCCUCUAUGCUUCUAUCCGUUUAAUUAAACCAAUCUUCGUGUUAGUUUAGAAUAAUCAUAAGUUUUGAAUUAAUUAAUUUUUAGUGAUGACUUUGUUUCUCCACCCCUCACAAAGUUGAACUAAAAAAAUUGAUUAAUAACCGGGGUUAUCAGUCCUUUAUUUUCUUCAAAAUAAUAUUUACUUAUAUUACCCUAAUGUUUAAAAUUAUAUCCUGAAAACCAUGUGAAUAACACUUAAAAGAACAAAAAGGCAUUGUUUGAAAAAAAUUAUUUAAAAUAUAGAAUCUUUUGAUUUUCAAAAGCAAAGAUUCAGUAAAGAACAACUUUGGAGAUCACUAUCUUUUAGAUGUGAUGUGUGGAAUAAUCGUCCCUGAAGUGGGAGUGAUACAGAUGAUAUACAAAAGAAAAUAUCAGAAAGCACUAACAAUUAAUGAUGUCUUUAAUACUCUUCUAGUGAAUCUAAUUUAUUUCCAAGGACUCUACCAUAUGUGAGGAAUAUUUGACUGCAUCCAUUUUUACGAAGUCUACUUAAUUGUAACUUGUCCUAUGAUAAAUAUUAGUAUUACACAAUCCACAAUCAAUUAGGCCUAGUACUUGGGAAGUUCUCCAAAGAGCAUAUACAGUAGCAAAGUAUUUGAUGGAUGAUAAAUAGAAAUAGGUUAGAUUUUUUUUCUAGGGUUUGCAAUUGAAGAGUUAAUUUCUUUGAGGAACAAUAUUCACAAAGCAAGAGGGAUCAAGAGAUACAUUAAGACAUCUAAACUAAAUUGACACAUCUCUAACACUUUCAACAAAUUCUAUAACUGAAAGAUGUAUUAAUUACAAUGAGAGAGAACAUAAUGAAAGCCAGAAGGAAGCUUGGGACAGUACAUAGAGUUAGAGCUAUACAAGACGAAGGCUUCCAAUUUAGGAAAAUUUUGACAAGGAUAACAGUAUAUCUAAUUUUUAAUAGGAAUGUAAAUUUGAAAACUUGCAUACCCCUAAUAAUCUGUAGAUACAAAUUUAAGUACUUUUAAAAUUUAAUUUUAUGAAUCAAUUAUACAUUAAACUGCAGAGAGCCAUACUAAACACUUUUCAAAACCGUUACCCAGUGAAAUAAUUAAUUCCAAGAACCAUAAUAAUUAAAUAUGGAGUAAUUUUGUAUAAUAAUCAAGUUGAUGAUUGAUUUGUUGUGAAAUAUUUAUGCUCUUGUCUUGUCAUUUCAAAGUACUGUAGCUUUAAGUGGAUGGUUCUUUUUCCCUCCGAUGCAAAUUCCAAAUUCCAAAUCAACUCCAAAUAUCAUAAAUUUAUUCUUCGACAAAUAAAGAAAGAGUACUAUAUAUGAUCAUAAAAUUAUUUGAAUUGGAAUCAUUCAAAUUGUUUGUACUAUAUAUGAUCAUAACACAGUUUUUUUGCAUAGGCUACACUCAUCUCUACCUUAUUAUUAGAAGGUAACCUGGUUAUCAUUGAGCAUGUGAAAGGUAAAUAAUGUAUUUAAUAUAAAAAUCAAGAUCUCUCUAAUUUUUCUUCGACGUGAUAUUCUUUAACCCUAGUUAGUGGGGUACGCUAAGAAAAUGUAGUAUAAAUACACAAAACCACGACCACCAAAGCUCACAAAACAAAACCCCCAUUCCUCCUGAACCUCCUUCUCCAAAGAAAAAAGAAUGGCGUUCCGUUCAGUGAACAAUCUUCAAUUCUGGAAGGAUGACAUGAGGAGAGCUUACAGAGAGAAAGUUGGGAGUUCAAGAAGAAGGCGUAUCAAAAUCCGCGACAUCAUCGACGUCUUAGAAAUCGUCGGACCCAUCAUCCCUCAUUUCUUCGGUAGUAACUCUCUCAGUGCCGGUCCCGACAACUACAGUAAUUAUGGUAAUAACCACAUGAAUGGUAGUUAUGGUCGUCGUGACGAUGACAUGCAUUCUUUCCACUGUGGCGGCGGCGGUGGUGGCCGGUUCGGUCUUGACAUGGGUUCUGGUGAUUAUGGGAAUGAAAGCAGGCACUACGGUGGACGUGGAAAUGGUAACAGUCAGUACGGGAUGAGGAUGGCUCUUGCUGAAGACUAUUAUGAUCGUGAAAUCACCGAGGAAGAGUUUGAGAGGCUUCUUGACUUUGCUGAGCAGAGUCAUAACAAUAAUUCCAGAAUGUACUGAUCAAAAUAUAAUAUAAAAAUUAUAUGUGUGGGACAAAAUAUAAUAAUAUCAACCCCUUCCUUCUUGUAAUCUACACCACUUCUACUCUAUUAUCCUUCUAAUAAAAUUUAAAAAAGUAAUAAUGGACUGCCUUGCUACUCCUUUUUCUUUCUUUUUCAUAAUAAAAAAAAAGUUACUUGAGGUUUUUCUUUCGAUAAAAAUGUUAGAAAUUAAAAAUUUGCAAGUGUUAAGUAAUAUAGGAUUUAUAAUGGCAGUGAAUAUUAUUAGAUAAUAUGAUUAUAUGAAAUUGGUUUUAAGUUUAUCUUAAAUUUAAUUUAGCAUUGUAUUAACUUCAACUAAUUUAGAUUUAUUGAACUUAAUUAAAUUUGAAAGACUAAUUUAAAUUUAAAAACCGUUAGCAAAUAUAAUAAUUAAAUUUAAAGCAAUAGAAUUUAUCACACUUGCCUAUAUUUACAAUUUACCAUUAUUUACCAUUUCUUUUUAAUUAUUAUUUCUAAAAUAUUUUUAUAAUAGUUAUCCUAAAAUUUAUAUAAUAGAUGUCAUUGAAAAUUCAUCUAAAAAAAUUUAUACACCCAGAAGAGUUCGGCCCAUUGAUUGAAGCAGCCUUCUUCCGAUCAUGUUUAAUUUUAUCACUCUUUUCGCCUAAUUAUAUAAGCAUUUCGUAUGAGGAUGAGGGAAAGACAUUAUUCAUUAAAAGCACCUGCAUCAUAUUAGGGAGAGAGUAAAGUUAUUUUUCGUUUUUAAAGAAAUAAAAGUCUUUUUUUUUUCUGUUGAGGUGUCAAUUAGAGAUUUCAUAUCACUUGUAGAAUACGAUGAGGAUGCUAAAAAUGUAUUAAUGUAGUUGAGAGAUGAUUUGGAUGCUUCUGGUGAUUCUAUCAUUUAGUGUCUUUGUUGAAAAAUAUAUGAGGAUUUUAACUUCUUAACGUUAAACUAGAAAAAUAUCCUUAAAUACUAUGGACUAAGAGAGAGGGUCAAUGGGCUUUUACAUGCCAAAUAUACAAACAUGAGAGAACUAAAUAACAUAAAAAGAAAAAGGAAACCGAGGAUAUAUAUAUAUAUAUAUAUAUACGUGAGGACUAUGAACACCGAUGAACAACCUUUGAUUUUCCAGCCACGGUGUAUACUGUAUAACUUGUUUUGUUGUUAUGUAUUAGACUUAUUUAUUUUUCAAAAUAUUUAUGUAUAAUUGCUUUUAAGAGAAAUGUAGUUGAGAAAUGUAUAAUUAUUUUUGAAAAUAUAUAUAUUCAAACAAGUGAUUUGAUAUAUAUAACAGACGAUGCUUUUAGGAAACUUUAGCAAAGUUUAUUGCAUAAAAGAAAAUAGAGUAUUUUUAUAGCAUCUCUAUCACUUCAGAAUAAAAUAUGACAGCAUGAUCUUCCGCGUGGUUUAAUUUACAAUUUGGAUCAACAUUGAAACUUCAAGUUUCGUAAGAUUGUAGGCAAGGGGUUACGACUUGAUCAUAUUUUAAUUUAACAGUAUUGGUGGAUCUCAUGAAGUUUUGAAAAUGUCAACACACGCUGUAUUAUUUCCUUAAUUAAAUGCAUUUAAUUAACACAUUUCAUUAAGUUUUGAAAAUGUCAAACAAUAUUCUUUCAAUUCAUAUUAGCUCAAAAACUUCACAAUCACACUUAGUGAGUUUUCUAAAAUAGCUUGAAUUCGUUAAUUAAAUAAAGGGAAAUUAUCAAACCAGAUUAAACUUUUUUAUGUCAACAGAGUGAUUUAAGAUAGAGCAUGUAGUUUAGGGCUGUUUAAAAAUAUAUAUUUAUUAACUUCUUUGGUACUUAAAAUUUAAAAACAAUUAUUUAACUCAAACGGGUUGUUUUAUUUAAUGUUUUAUUAUACUUCACAUUUUUUUUUUUUAUUUGCCAAUUCAGUUGAUUUUUUUUAUUCUAAUUAAGUGGCAGGGCCUCUUUAUAAACCUUAUUAAAAGGACUGAUACUAGAAUUUACUUUUUGAAAAAAAUACGUUGGAUCAGUAGGUGCACUCGGACAUUUCUAUAGAUAGACACCCGCUUAGCAUCCAGACACUCCACUAUGUGCAUCUAGACAAAAUACUAAGACCAAAAUUAGACAUAUAUCAAAGUGGAAUCAAGAAAUAAACCAUUAUAUUCUUGGAUUAUUAUAGUUUGAUUAAAAUAAUUUAUUUUUGUGGUGUAGAUUAUUUUAGUUUGAGAUAUAAUAGUAUGUGUUCAAUAUAGACUAUUUUAGUUUGAUAAGAAGUAAAUAGUAAACAGUAAAAAAAAAUGAUAAAUAGUAAAAUAGUAAAAAAUGUAGUAAUUAAACAAAAAAAUAUUUUAACAAAUUGAAAAUUUGAAAUAACGUUUACCAUAACUAAUUGAAAACUCUUAAAUACUAUUUAGUGGAAGAAAAAAGGUAGCAUGUUUGGUGCAUUCAAACAAACUCAAACCAAAUAUCUCUCCAAUCAAUUUUCGUACAAUUCUCUCUCCUUUUCUCUUACUCUUCUCUACCUCGUAGAAUCAAGAGAAAUUGUAUUAGAUGACAAGAAUAUUUAAAAAAAGACAAUAACUGACACUUUUUUUCUUUUGUAUAUUAUGAAUAUGACAAAUAUGAUUGGUAAUUAGUGAUACUAGAUAAUUAUCAAUUUUCAAAAUUUAUUAUUCUAAUUUAGAAAAUAUAGUGAAACGAAUUCUAUAAUUAUAAUUAUAUAUAUAUAUAUAUAUAUUUUGUUAUUUUUUUUGGAAGGAUUCCUAAAAUUAAAUAUAAUAUUCUCUCUCCAAUAUUCUCUCCCUUUAUUAAAUACUAACAUGUGUCCUGCAUGUUAAUUUUUUUAAUUACAAUUAUUUCCCAUCUAAGUAAACAUAUAUUAUUUAUAUUUUAUUGGCUUUUUUAAAAAAAAUUAAUUAUUCUUAAAAUAUAAAUAAAAAGGAGACAUCACCAACACUUAUUUUUACAUUGACAUAAAAUAAAUAAUUUUUAAUUAAACAUAAUAAAAAUAAAAUGUAAAAUUACACCUAUUUAAAAAAACAUUUUACUUUAUCCAUCAUUUCUCCGAUAUUUAAAGUCACGAUGUCAUAAAACAUAUUAUAUCAAACUAUUUCUAUCAAUUAGACAUAUCAAAGUUUAAGGAAAAUUCUCCUAAAAAUUGGCAAAGUAUUACAAUUUCUCCUAUCCGUGGUAGGAUAUCCUUUGAUAAAAUAUUGCUUUUUUUUAAAAAAAAAAGAUUAUUUUCAAAUCUAUUUAGAGAGUUUCACAUGGUAAAGAUAACAUUUUGUCUCUAAUAGAAAUUCUAGCCAUUGAAGUUGGUGAGUAAGGAGACUUUGGAGGUUUUACUUAGCUACUACAAGAAAUUAAGUUUUCACUCACGUAGAAAAAACGUUAUUAAAAUAUAAAAGAACAUUGUUAAAAAUAUUAAGAACAUCAUACCAUUCGUUGCUAAGAUUGUUGUAAUAUUCUGUAGCUAAAAAUUUCAGCUACACAACAAAUGCACACGCCGCAAAAUGUCUGCUUUUAGUGAUAUUUGUGCAUUACUAAAUACUUUUAGUAACAUAUAUGUUUUGAUACUAUUUAUCUUUUAUAGUGACCUAAAUUAAGUUAAUUUUUUAAGAAAAUUUAAUUUUCAAUCUUUCUUUACAUAGUUUUUACCUCUCUUAAAUAUAAUCUUAGAAGGUAUUUGGAAUGCAAAAAGUGAGUUAUAUAUUAUAUAAUUUUAGGUUAUUAUAAUUUGCUUAGAAUAGUUUAUUUUUUAGACGUAAAUUAUUUUAAAUUGAGUUAUAAUAUUAUGUGUUGAUGUGUAUGCUAUUUUAGUUUUAUAAAAAUGUAGCAAACAAUAAAAAGAUGAACGAAUGUAAAAUAGUAAAAAAUGUAACAAGUAAUUGUUACAUUAACGAAUUGAGAAUUUUCAAAUAAUAUUUAUCAUUCAAUUUUCAAUAGUAUUGUGUGGAGCAAUAAAUAGUUAUUAUAAAGUUUGAUAAUGUUUGCCCCAUAACCACAUUUUUAUGUAUUAAAAAAAACUGAAAUCAAAUAUCUCUCACCUCUUAUCUUCCGAUCUGUUCCAUAAAAUCAAAUAUAAUAUUUUCUCAUUCCUCACUUUCUUUCUCUCUGCAUUCUCUUUUCGUUUAUUAAAUAUUAACAUGUGUCGGGCAUGUUUAAUUUUUUAUUUUUAUUUUUAAUACACCAUAUGAUAGAUAUCGGUUUUUUAAUACACUAUAAAAUAAACUAAUAAACUUGUGGAAUUUUUUACUAAUUAAUUAAUUAUGACUAUUAAUUUUAAUUAACUAUUGAACAUUAUUAAGGGUACAAAGAAAUUAUUAUCAUCAAUUACCAACUCUAUAUAAAGACUCCUUCCACAAAGAAAAACUCAGGCACAAAUAAAUUGUUAUCAUAGAUAUCAGAGGUUGGCCAUUUGGCAAAGUACGCCCGCUCUCGAAUAUAUCAUUGAAAUGGCAACGUCGAGGUCUCAAUUGAAGUUGACUAGGGACGAGGUUAGGGAGAUCUUAGAAGAACAUGAUGUGGACGGUGAUGGUCGCCUGACUAAGCAAGAGGUGAUGCAAGCCCUGAACUCCAUGGGUGUUAUGAUGUCGUUUCAGAAAGCUCACUAUGGUGUUGCUUUUGCUGACAAAGAUGGAGAUGGUGCAGUCGAUCUAGAAGGUGGUGAGAUUGAUUCGCUUGUUGACUAUGUCAUGAGGUUUCAGGCCUCAAAGGACGUCCCUAAAGAUGCCAGCCCAGAAGCCUUGCCAUGAUGGUGAAUCGAAUUGUGUAAUAAUCUUAGCUUAUUUCUAUUUUUUAUGUGUUCAUCUUCGUCGUCGUACCUGUUUUUCAGCCCAUAUUGUUUAUGUUACAAAUUGAGCUAUGGUUAUGCUCAAAUUGACAAUUAUCCACGCAUGUUUGUUGUCUACAAUAUUAUUGUGUCAUCGGUGAUAAAAAUGUCUUUCUUCUUGAAUCUACGGAUUAUUAUAUAAUAAACAUCCCUAAACUAAUAUUAAAAUUGUCAAAUUUUUCUGUUUCAUUAUUUCAUUUCAUGCAAACGUGUGAAUUAUUGUUUUAACUUUACACCGUAUAAAUAUAACUAUUAAUUAAAUAAAAUCUAACAUAAAGUUUACAAACAUUUACAAUCAGAUAAAGUUUAGUACAUAGAAGAAUAUUUUGAAUAUGUUAUUUAGUAUUCCGAACACCCAAAACUUAAGUGGUAUUCGAAUACUUAUUUUAUUUAUGAUUUUAACCAUAAAAUUAAGAGAAUUGUAAUAUAUAAACUCAUAAUUCUAAAGAGUGCUUCUUAAUUUAUAGUUUGAUAAUUUUUCUUUUUUAAAAAAACUUGCUAUCUCCCUGAAUUCAUGGAUCCGUGUACAACUAACACAUCAUUAAUCAACUAUAUAAUUGUAUCAAUUAUCUAUUGUUUACUUUUUUUUUUUUUUUGUUAAUUUUUUGUUGCCCAUUUCUUAACAUUGCAGGUAUAAAAUUGUAUUUGAUAACUGGCAAAAUUACAUGUUCAAAAUAUAAUAGAAAUGUUCUAAAUAAAUUAACGCCAUAAUGAACCAAUUAAAACAAGAAGUAACCAAAUAAAUGUGUUAAGACUUAAGAGUAUACAAACGGUAAAACACACCAUAUUAACAUUCUCAUGUAAGAAUACAAAUGUGUAUACAAAUCAAGGUCUUCACUGUUUGCAUAGCAUAAGCAACACCUCUUUGGAUUCAGACACAUGGUCUUACACUUUUUUUGCAUGACUUCUAUUGUAUUUAUUUUCCUAUGAAAAACUGUUCAGAGAAAGAUUUUUCAUUUCUUUGGAAUUGCUGAAGUCCAAAUUAUUUCGAAGAUUUUUUGGUGCUCGUUCCUUAGAUGAUGUCGUUGGGGGUCUUGUAAUGCCUUUUCUGCCGAGUCUGUGGAGAAAUCUCUGUUUCCAUUUUUUAUUAGAUUGGUGAGUUGGUGCCUUGCAGUGAGUUGUGUAUUGGAAGAAAGGAUUUUACAUUAUCCCAUAAAAUGAUCUCUCUAUCGUUUAAAAGCCUUCUAGGCUUUAUGUUCCAAUCAUUUGAGUUAGGAAGCCAGACUUCAUUUACUGCUUCAGUUUUUGAAUUGUGCAAAGCAUAAAGCCUUGGGUAGGAAAUGGCUAGGGGACUUUUAUCAUUCCAUCUACCAUACCAAAAGGAUAUGUUUUCUCCAUUGUUAAUUUCCCAUUUGAGGUUGCUUUCAAACCAUAAUUUGUUUUUGAUUAUGGACAUCCAAGGGGCCCUUGCACUACAAAACUUUCCAUGUGGUGGUAGAUCUCCAAUGUAGUUAGUCGAGUACUUAGCGCUGACGAUCUUCCUCCAUAAGGCAUUUGGUUAUGAUAAAUAGCGCCAUAGCCAUUUACAUAGGAGAGCAUUAUUUGUGUGAUUCAGCUUGGUGAUCCCCCAGACCUCCGUUUUCUUUUGGACUGGUGACAAUAUCUCAGUUGAUAAGAUGAGAUUGUGAGGACUUAGAGUUGUCAGAAUUUGAACCCCAAAGGAAGUUUCUCCAGAUUUUUCAAUCUUUUUUUAGACCAUUGAAGGAGCUUUGAAGACUGAAAGUUGAUAGGUUGGGAGGCUACAGAGGCUGGCUUGAAGAAGAGUGUACCUUCCACCUUUAGAGAGUUGAAAAUAUUUCCAACCGUUGAGCUUUUUUUGGAUUUUUAAGAUUAUAUUGUCCCAGAAACUCAACGAGUUUGGUUUACCACCUAAAGGGAUGCCGAGAUACAUUAUAGGGAGAUUUUCAGAAUUUAUUUUAUGCUCGUUUUUCACCACAAUGCAACGAGAAAUUGAGACAUUGAUCGGACUUAUUGUUGAUUUAUUUUUAUUGAUGGAUAGACGGGAAGCCUUUUCAAAGAGAUUUAGAGCACACCUUAAAUUUGUAAUGGCCUUAUCAUUGUCUUCAACAAAGAUCAGAAUAUCGUCUACAUGAAGAAUAUGGUUUAGGUUGCUGUCAUUUUUGAAAACCACACCUUGAAUGGCUUUGGAGGAAUUUAAAUGAUUCAAAAUUGCACUGAGGUAAUCUAGAGCCUAAGACAAACAUGAAAGGAGAAAGAGGGUCUCCUUGUCUUAGACCUCUUCUAGGCAGAAUUUUGCCUUUUUGUUGGCCAUUCAAUAUGAUUGAGUAAUGAGCUCUUGUGAUUCACGCUUUAAUCCAAUUUCUCCAAUGAAGCCGAAAGUUUUUCUUGAUUAGCAUGAAAUCGAUAGAUUUCCAGUUAAUUGUAUCAAAAGCUUUUUUCAGAUCAAUAUUGAUCACAAAACCUGUUUUUUUGUGCUAGUUUUCCAGUAGUCUAACCACUUCAUUGGCCAAAAGAAUAGCAUCUGUGAUUUGUUUGUGGUUCACGAAAGCAAAUUGAUUUUCCGCAAUUAUGCUUGAAAGCGUCUUUUUUAGCCUCUUAGCUAACACUUUAGCAACAAUAGCUAAGUAGUAAGAUUUAUGGGCCUAAAGUCAGCAUGAGAGGUGUAGGCCUUUCUUUAGCAAUAAGGGAAAUAAAUGUGUUGUUGAUGUUUUUGUUUAUUACUCCUUUUGUAUGGAAAUCAUUGAAAAACUCCAUGAUAUCAUUCUUUAGUAAGUACCCGAACUUUUAAAGAAUUUCAUUGAAAACCGUCUAGUUUGGUCUCGAUGAUUGUUGUUCAUAAAAUCUUACAUUAUCAAUUUAAUCCAAAAACUUAAAUAAUAGAUAAAAGUAAAUAUAAUAUAUAUAGAAAUAGUUAUAAAAUAUACAAUUAAAGUUAAAAUAAUUAAAUAUACCACCAAAUUUUUUUAAAAUUAUAAAUAUAUAUAGAUGUUGCCGAUCUAUAAUUAUAAAGUAAUUAAAUGGAUAGAAACAAUUAGACAACACUACGUACAACGUAUUUUUCAAUUGCAUUUAUUUUCCAGCCUUCACCCAAUAGUCUUACAUUAACUAUAAAAUAAUUUUCUAACUAAAUUUUAUAUUUGUUUUGUUCAACCAUCUUAAUUAUUAUUUAUUAUUUUUUUUAUCAAGAAAACAGUCUAAAUUUAUUAUUCCUUCUAGAGACGAAGGUGUUAAAGAUAUAUAACUUCUACGUGUGAUAUACCAAUAUUCCUUGAUCUCCUAGACUCAUCAUAAAGUUUGAAAAAAUUAUUUCUUAAAUUUAAAUUAAUAUAAUCUCUUUAUAUUUACCAAUUCAACUAGUUACGACUUAGACUUUUUGACUAAUAAAUGGAAGGUUGAAAAAUUUUAACUUUAAAAAAAUUUGAAAUUGAGAAAACCCAAGAAUAAUUAACAGAAGAAAAAACCAUAGACCAAAAAUAAAUUUAAUUAGUAUUUAAGCUUAUGUUAUUAAUUGUAAUUAAUUUUUUUUAAAGGAACCCUAACCAUGUUUCUCAAUCUUUCUCUUCAUAGUCUUUGUCUCUUUCAAACGUUAGAAGGUGUUUAGGGACAAAAAUUGAUUUAUUAUAGGUUAAGGGUGUGUUUGGUUUAGAUUAUAAAGUGUUUAAUUUUGUCAAAAAAGAACUAUUAUGAAAAAAAUGGUAGUGUUUGGAAAAUUAAAAUAAAUGCAUUUUAUAAAAAUUCAUUUAUAAAAUAAUCUAUUUUGGAGAAGUCUUUAAAAACCAAAUUCACACGCAGAAAAGUCUAUAAUCAAACAUCAAGUGUUUAAAUUUUAAACUCAUUUUAAAAAAGUGUUUAAAAAAAAUGUAUCAUUGAAAAAUAUUUUUUUUAAUUCAAUCCAAAUAAAUACUAAAAUUAUUAUAGUUUGUGUGUGAGGCGUACAUUAUUUUAGCUUUAAUUAUAAGCUAGGCAAUUGAAGAGCAAUAAAUAACUCAUGUUUGCCCCCAAAACCUAUCACAUGUUAUUAUCAAGAUAACAUUAAAACCAAUAAGAUAAGACAGGUUUUCUAAUACCCUAUAAAAUAAACUAAUAAACUUGUGGGAUUUUUUACUAAUUAGUAAAUAAGUAUUAAUUAAUCAUGACUAUUAAUUUUAAUUAACUAUUGAACAUAAAUAUAUUAUUCAAACGUACAAAGAUCAAUUAUUAUCAACUCUCUAUAUAAAGACUUUCUGCAAAGAAAAACUAUCAUCAAUUACCAACUCUAUAUAGACUCUUUACGCAAAGAAAAACUCUAAGAAGACAAAGAAAUUAUUAUCAUCAAUUACCAACUCUAUAUAAAGACUUCUUCCACAAAGCAAAACUCUAAAGGCACAAAGAAAUUAUUAUCACAGACAUCAGAGGUUGGCUUUUUGACAAAGUACCCCGCUCUCGAUCGUAUCAUUCAAUGUCGGUGUCUAGAUCUCAAUUGAAUUUGUCGAGGGAUGAGAUGAUUAAGAAGAUUUUCGAAGAGUAUGACGUGGACGGAGAUGGAACCCUCACCAAGCAAGAAGUGAUGCAAGCCAUGGACGCCAUGGGUUUUAAGAUACUGUUCCAGAUGACUCAAUUUGGUAUUUCUUUUGCUGACAGAGAUGAUGAUGGUAAGGUUGAUCAAGAUGAGUUGGAGAAACUGAUCGACUGUGUCAUCAGGUUUCAAACCCGCAAGAGAGUCUGCAGGCGGCCGGUUAAUUCGACAGAAAAAACAAGAUGAUGAAUCGAGACCAUGUAAAUCUAUUUUCAAUUUAGGUGUUUGUUUGUUUUCAGUCAAUAAAUGGUUUAUGCUACCAUAAUUGAGCGCGUUAUGCUCAAAUUUAUGUGUUUGUUUGUUUGUUUUGUUAUACUUUUGUUGUCUGUAUGCAGAAUAUUGAUGUCUCUCCCUCUCUAAUUUAUGAAUAUAUAUGUUUCAACUUUACAUUAUCUAUAGAUACACACACUUCCGUAAUUUUGUUAAAUAAAUAGUUCAAAUUUGUAAACAAUGAAACAAUCGUGGCCAAAAUCACAGCAUCAAUCGCACAACCAGUCGUGUCAAAUUGUAGCUAUUAAUGUAAAUUCUGUAAAUUAGGCUAAUUACAUUACAUUAGGCUAAUUAUAUUACAUUCCUUAUUUAAUUUGGGUAAUUUAGCUAUUUAUGUAACAUUUGAUACUCUUGUAAAAUACAGAAAAUUCAUCAAUAAAAUACAAAAAGAAUAUUCCUUUCACAUGGUAUCAGAGCCAAAAACCCUAGAUCUACUUUAAUCGUCGUCGUCGCCGCCGACCGCCCGUGAACCGCCGCGUCUUCGUUAACUCCAAGAAGCGCUGCGCGCCAAAAAGUAGAUCUCUGUCCCGUGUGUUCAUCGCUCAGCACGUCGUUCCGUCACAGCCUCGGUGUCGCGCCAUUCCGUCAAGUCGUAGCCUUGGCGUCACGGCGUUCAAAUCAUCGCGUCGUCCUGUCCGUUCUGAAGCGCCAGUCGUCACCGCUGAGUUACAACCCCCUCUGCCGUUCCAAGCCGCACGCGACUCCUCUGUCUUCCCAAGCCGCACGCGACUCCUCUUCCAGUCGUGAGUGCAAGACGACGCCAUCCACCAGAUCUGACGAAUCUUCCAGGUGACUGUCUUCAUUCGUUUGUCUCUGCUCACAGCCGUGAACCUCUGUCCGUAAGCCGUGACCCUCUGUCCGUAUCCUGUCCAUUGUUGCAACCCAGCCGUGAAGACAAAUCCUGACCGCGAAUCCAGUCGUGUCCUUGCCGUCGCAACUCAGCCGCGACCCAGACAAGAAGACGCUCACCUGUCACGAAUCCCAGCCUUGCGAAUCCCAAUCGCAAAAUCCAGAAUCUGACGAAUCCAGUCACGAAUUAAUCGAAACUCAGCCGGAAAUUCUCAUUGUUAACCUCAACUGCGAAUCCAAAUGGAGAGAGACCAUGUCUUGAGACCCAUUGGUACAAUUCUUGAUGGUACAAAUUAUAUCACAUGCAUGGGCAAAUCAAAUGAAAAGUUUUCUUAUUGGAAGAAAACUAUGACGCAUUGUAACUGGUGACAUAACCAAACCAAUUGCACAAAACAAGGACAAGGAAGGAGAUAACAAAUUCAUUGAACACCUCGAAGAUUGGGACAGUAAUUAAAAAUCAUCAAAUUAUCACCUGGCUUGGUAACACCUCUAUUCCCGCUAUACAUGCACAGUUUGAUGCCUUUGAUGAUGCUAAAAAAUUAUGGGAUUUUUUGUCUACACGCUUCAAGUCUAUUGGUUUAGCCCAUUAUUAUCAACUGCACAAUACACUUGUAAAUCUAAAUUAGGAUAUUGGUCAGUCUGUCAAUGAAUAUUUGGCAGUUCUUCAACCCAUUUAGACUCAGCUUGACCAAGCAAGCAUCAGCAAAGAUCGUCUUCGCCUUAUUAAAGUCCUUAUGGGAAUACGCCCAGAAUAUGAAUCUGUUAGAGCUGCUUUACUACAUCGGAAUCCCUUACCCUCAUUAGAUGCAGCUAUUCAAGAAAUUAUGUUUGAAGAAAAGCGCCUUGGCAUCAAUUCUACUAAACAAUCUAAUGUUGUCCUUGCCAGCACAUACACUCCCAACAGAGCCUCAAAUAUGUUUUGGAAGAAUUGUAAGCUCUCUCGUCACAAAUUUAUUAACUGUCCUAAAAUAGAGUGCAGGUACUGCCAUAAACAUGGUCACAUUCUGGAUAACUGCCCUACCAGACCACCCCGACCUCCUGUCACUUCCACAAAAGAGAAAAAUUUUACUAAACCUGGUUCCUCAUCUGUUGUUGCUGCAACCUCGGAUGAUUCAUCCCUCAUUCAGAUAAGUGAUCUUCAGAGCUUAUUGAAUCAACUAAUUUCAUCAUCCUCUGCUCUUGCUGUCUCAUCAGGUAAUCGAUGGCUUCUUGAUUCUGCCUGUUGUAAUCAUAUGACCUCUGACUUUUCUCUUAUGUCUACUUCUAGCCCUACAAAAUCUUUACCUCCUAUUUAUGCUGCUGAUGGUAAUUGUAUGAACAUCUCUCAUACUGAUACCAUUGAUACUCCCAGUUUACAUCUUCCCCAUACUUACUGUGUUCCUAACCUGACCUUUAAUCUAGUGUCUGUUGGUCAAUUAUGUGAUCUUGGCUUAAAUGUUUCAUUUUCUCCCAAUGGUUGUCAGGUUCAGGAUCCGCAGACGGGACGGACGAUUGGAACGGGUCGCAAAGUGGGAAGAUUGUUUGAGCUCACAUCACUUCAGGUUUCAUCUCCUUCUUCCAUCUCUUCUUCAGUCACUUAUUCUGACACAUAUCAGUGGCAUCUUCGUCUUGGUCAUGCUUCUUCUGAAAAACUUCGUCAUUUAAUUUCUGUUAACAAUUUGAAUAAUCUUACUAAGUUUGUUCCUUUUAAUUGUUUGAAUUGCAAACUUGCUAAACAACCUGCCUUAUCUUUUUCUCAAUCCAUCUCUAAUUGUGAUAAACCUUUUGAUUUAGUGCAUUCUGAUAUUUGGGGUCCUGCCCCAAUUACUACUGUUCAUGGUUAUCGCUAUUAUGUUUUAUUCAUUGAUGACUACUCUCGAUUUACAUGGAUUUACUUUCUAAAACAUCGUUCUGAAUUAUCUCGCACAUAUAUUGAGUUUGCUAACAUGAUUCGCACUCAAUUUUCCUCUCCCAUCAAAAUUCUUCGCACUGAUAAUGCUUUGGAAUAUAAAGAUUCCAUCCUUCUUUCUUUUCUUUCCCAACAGGGCACUAUUGUUCAGCGCUCUUGCCCUCAUACCUCUCAACAAAAUGGACGUGCUGAGCGCAAACAUCGUCACAUUCUUGACUCAGUACGUGCCCUCCUUCUUUCUGCCUCUUGUCCAGAAAAAUUCUGGGGUGAAGCUGCCCUUACAUCAGUAUAUACAAUCAAUCGUCUUCCCUUCUCUGUUCUUCAAAACACCUCUCCGUUCGAAAGACUAAAUGGUAUUUCUCCCGACUAUUGUAAACUCAAAGUUUUUGGUAGUGCCUGCUUCGUUCUUUUACAUCCUCAUGAACACAAUAAGCUUGAACCACGUGCCCGUCUCUGUUGUUUCCUUGGCUAUGGCACCGAACACAAAGGAUUUCGUUGUUGGGACCCUCUUUCCAACCGACUCCGGAUAUCUCGGCAUGUUACCUUCUGGGAACACACUAUGUUCUCUCGUUUGUCCUCCUUCCACACCUCUUUCUCUAGUCCUCAAUCUUUCUUUACAAAUACAUCUGUCGACAUUUUUCCUCUCUCUGAACCCACCUUGGAUACUGAGCUUACACAAUCGCCACCUGCUACUCCUCUUCGUCGCUCUACCCGGGUAAGAGAACCUCCCACUCAUCUCAUUGAUUACCAUUGUUUUUCCACCAUUGUUUCCCUUGUUGAACCCACCUCUUAUCAAGAGGUCAGUACUAACCCAGUAUGGCAGAAAGCAAUGGAUGAAGAAUUACAGGCUCUUGAAAAGACGCACACUUGGGACUAUGUUGACUUACCUCCCGGUAAAAGACCCAUUGGUUGCAAAUGGAUUUACAAAAUCAAAACUCACUCUAAUGGAACUAUUGAACGUUAUAAAGCUCGGCUUGUUGCAAAAGGAUACUCACAAGAAUAUGGGAUUGACUAUGAAGAAACAUUUGCCCUUGUUGCCCGGAUGACAUCUGUUCGCAGCUUGUUAGUUGUUGCUGCUGCCAAACAGUGGCCUCUUCUUCAGAUGGAUGUCAAAAAUGCCUUUCUUAACAGAAACCUCUAUGAAGAAGUGUAUAUGAAGCCACCUCAGGGCACUUCUCCUCCUCCCAACAAGGUGUGUCUCAUUUGUCGCGCUCUAUACGAUCUAAAACAGGCUCCACGAGCUUGGUUUGCCACGUUUAGCUCCACCAUUACUCAACUUGGAUUUACCUCCAGCUCUCACGACAAUGCCCUUUUUACACGACAGACAACUCAUGGUAUUGUUCUUCUCCUUCUUUAUGUUGAUGAUAUGAUUAUUACUGGUAAUGAUCCACAGGCCAUAUUCGACCUACAACAAUAUCUUGGUCAACAUUUUGAGAUGAAAGACCUUGGACCUCUCAAUUACUUUCUUGGUCUUGAAGUCUCUCACCGUUCAGAUGGUUAUCUGUUAUCUCAAGCGAAAUAUGCAUUUGAUCUGAUAGCACGCUCAGGAAUUACAGACUCCACCACAUCUUCAACAUCGUUAGAUCCUCAUGUCCAUCUAACUCCGUUUGAUGGCGUUUCUCUUGACGAUGCAAGCUUGUAUCGGCAACUUGUUGGCAAUCUUAUAUACCUAACAGUGACUCGCCCAGAUAUUGCAUAUGCUGUUCAUAUUGUCAGUCAAUUUAUGGCUGCUCCUCGAACAAUUCAUUUCAUUGUUGUUCUACGCAUACUUCGCUAUGUCAAAGGCACCUUGGGACAUGGUCUCCAGUUCUCCUCUCAGUCUUCCCUUGUGUUGUCGGGAUAUUCUGAGGCUGAUUGGGCGGGGGAUCCUACUGAUCGACGAUCCACCACAGGAUACUGUUUUUACUUAGGUGAUUCUCUCAUCUCAUGGCGUAGUAAGAAACAAAGUGUUAUAUCUCGUUCAAGUACGGAAUCUGAAUAUCGUGCUCUGGCUGAUGCUACAGCUGAACUUAUAUGGCUUCGGUGGCUCCUUGCUGAUAUGUGUGUCCCUCAACAGGGUCCUACCCUCCUCCAUUGUGACAAUCGUAGUGCCAUUUAGAUUGCUCACAAUGAUUUGUUUCAUGAACGUACAAAACACAUUGAAAAUGACUGUCACUUUGUUCGUCACCACCUCUUAAGCAACACCCUCCUCUUACGUUCUGUUUCUACUCUUGAACAACCUGCGGAUAUCUUCACCAAAGCCUUGCCAUCUAAUCGAUUCUGUCAAUUACUUACCAAACUCAAGUUGAUCGCCACUCUACCACCUUGAGUUUGAGGGAGGGUAUUAAUGUAAAUUCUGUAAAUUAGGCUAAUUACAUUCCAUUAAGCUAAUUAUAUUACAUUCCUUAUUUAAUUUGGGUAAUUUAGCUAUUUAUGUAACAUUUGAUACUCUUGUAAAAUACAGAAAAUUCAUCAAUAAAAUACAGAAAGAUUAUUCCUUUCACAGUAGCAAAUCAACGUACCAUUUGACAGCAAAAAUCAAGCCUCAACAUCAUCAAUAUCAGCUAGCCCGAUACAUAAUUUGCUAUUACACCCAAUUCUCACAGCCCAUAUUCUGUCUAUAUAAUUAUUUCUCACAUAUUGAUUCUAAAAAGCAGUUGGAUUAUCAUACCUUUUGUAGCACACCUUUAUGGUCACGUUAUUCUUGGAAGUAUUUAACUUCAAGAAUAAUAGGAUCACUUUUUUCCUAAAAAAAAUACAUUUCAAGUUCAUUGUUGAUUGGUAUAAGAUUUAGAUCUCUUGUACUUUGUAGUCAUUUCUCUCUCUGAAAACAAAUGGUUUAUUAAGGUUCUUCAUUUCAAUCUUUUGUUUUUGUUUUUUAACUUCUCUUUUUAAAAUUUUAAUUUAUGUUUGACAACUGGUUUUAGUUUAUUCAUGUUUCUUGUAUUUACCUCCGUUAAUUUUGAAGCAGGAUUGAAGUGGUUGCUUUGGAUCGUCUUCCUAGUGAAAAUUUUCUCUUGCAUCUACUCUCCUAACGUAUCUUAUAGUUGCAAUUAAAUUUUAAAAAAUGUAUAGCAACAUUUAUAAAAAAAAUAUAAAAUUACAAAUAUAUAUAAAGUAAUUAAAUCCAUAUAAACAAUUGGAGAGCAGGAGAGGAUAACUUAUUUUUCAAUUGCAUUUCUUUUUUGGCGAUUCAAACUCUCUAUGAGACUCUUUCUUCCCAUGAACUUUCCUUUUCCAGCCUUCACCAAAUAAUCCUACAUUAAUUAUAAAAAUAUUUUUCUACCUAAAUUUUAUAUAUAUUUUGUUGAACAGUCCUAAUUACUAUUUUUUGGGAUGAAGAAAACAGUCUAAAUUUAUUAUUCCUUCUAGAGACAAGGGUGUUAAAGGACAUAUCAACUUAUUUGAGAGAUAAUAAUACACUCCCUCUAAUCUCCUAGAGACUCGGUAUAAAGUUUUAAAAAAAUAUUUCUUGAAUUUAAAUUAAUAUAAUCUCAAUAUAUAUACCAAUUCAACUGGUUAAGCUCACUUAUACUAAGACUAAUAAAUUGGAAGUUGAAAACCUUUAACUUUAAAAAGUUUGAAAUUGAGAACACCCAAUAAUUAAAAGAAGAAAACUUCGAAUAGACCAAAAAUAAAUUUUGUUAGGUAAAAUAUUAUUACAAUCACAAAUAAAAAAUUUCUGGUAGACCUCAAUCACCAAGAUAAAACACUCUCGAAACAUUAUAUUAAUUGCAGAAACUAAGUAUACCAGACCUCAAUCACAAAAGACAAACUUAUUUUAAUAUUUUGUACUCAAACUUUAGUUUACAUGUUCAAAGUUGUUUUGAAAAUUAUUCAGCUGAUAUAUAUUGUGAACUUUAAAUUGGAUUAUUGUUUCUUUUCUGCAGGUAUGUUCCUCACUUGCGCAACAAAAAAGAAAAAAGAAAUCAAACCAUUUUCCAUAAAAAAAAGAGAACAUAUUGUAUAAAAAUUAAGUUUUGGAUUUUUAAAUGUUAAAUGUUUAAUUGAACAUCUUUACCUCUAUCAUACUCAGAGAAAGAGGAAGAAAAAAGAAAGACCUUGAGUAGAAUAUGGGGUUCCAUAAUUUAGUUGUACACAAUUUCCUACAUAAUUUAAUCCCAGUUGUUUUGACUUUGAUAUUAUAUUAUACUACUGCUAAAAUAACAUUUUAUAUAUCAAAGUGAUGUUCUUCCACUCUUCUUCCCUCUCCUCCCCCAAAGUCAAAACGAGUUCAUAACUUUGAGCAAUUCAGCCUAAAGCUUAUUAUUAUAACAAUAAAAGAGAAUAUCUUAAUAAGUAAACCUAUUAAUUACUACUAAAAUGUGAUUCAUGGGAUUUUGAAUGAGAGCUAUAUAUAACUAUAUAUGAUGGUGAUUAUAUUAGAGCCUUAAUUAUACAUAUAUGUUAAGGAAAAUGAAGAUAUAAUUAGUAAGGGGAUAUGGGUGGAAGAAAGCAUUGGGUUUCCAGUUUUGUGGGGUUUGUAUUUCUGUUGGUUUUACUGAAUCAGCUGGUAGAAGCCAGUGCAAUAAGUUCAUCAUGUAGGCAUAUUGCUAUUGGCGUUGUUACUGAUCAAAGUUCAAGGAUGGGAAGGCAACAGAAGAUUGCCAUUGAAAUGGCUUUUCAAACCUUCCAUUUCUCAACUUCCUUUCCAAAAUUGGAGCUAUUCAAUAAUGAUUCAAAUGGCAACUCGGCUCGAGCGAUAACUUCUGGUAAUUCAAACUUUUUUUUUAGAAUGAUAUGAACAAGUAUAUUAGAUCAACAGGCCGUGUAUCGAAAAAUCUCAAUAAAAUUGACAAAUUCACCACUUUUAUCCUAUUCCAACACUGAUUCCAUUAAUGCUUGUGUUUUUAACCUAAUCAUCCAUUUCACUCAUGUAAUUUAUUUUUGAAGGUUUAUGUUAUAUAUUUUUAGACACUGGAUUUUGCUAGAUUACCAUAUUAUUAUUUUCAUUUAGCUUUUUUCUUCUUCUUCUUCUUCUUUUUUUUGUUGGUUUGUGGAUAUAUGUAAUUUGUCUUUUAGUGUAUUUUUACAAGGGUGUUGACUCGAACCAAUUUGAAACAAAAAAAAAUGUUUUCUAAACUAUAUAUUUUUUAUUUUUAAAAUUUAAUUGUAAAUUAAAUAUUUGAUAAUCGUUUUCGUUUCUCAAUUUUAAAUUUGAAGAAACAUUCCUAAAGAAAAGAAAAUAUCUCUUAUCCAUUUAUGACUCCCUAAACAUAACUGAUUGUGUUAAGUCGUUUUGAUGGUUGAGAGACCCGUCCAAUUCAAUUACGUAUCACCCAACCUCAUUUUUAUGUAUUGUUUUUCUUUUUCAAAAUUAAUUCUUCUUUUUAUAUUUUAUAUAUUAUUUAAGUUUUGAAUUUUAGAUUUUUCAAUAGAUUGAUUUAUAUAUUAUUUAAUUUAAAAUUUUAAAAUUUUCAUAUAAAUAUGUAUAUAUUAUUGUCCUUGUGAAUUUUAAAAUUAUAUAUAUAUAUUCUUUCCAUAUAUAUUUUCUGUUUUGAAUUUUAGAUUUCACAAUUAUUUUCUGCUUAGAACAUUUUAGAUGUUUGCAAUGUAUAAAUGAUAUUUUGUUCAUUUAGCUUUAUUUAUAUAUAUAUAUAACCUUAUAUCUAUUAGUAAGAUGAUAGUAGCCUGACAAUUUAUUAGACACUAACACUUCUUUUUUAUAUAUGUAUUCGAAUAUUUAUUUGAAAGAUUUUUGGAAGUGGAGUAUGAUGAAAGUGUUAAUUAAAGAAUAUGCGAGCACUAGUUGUGAUAUUUUUUAAUCCACUCUCUAUCAUAUCUUUCUCUUAAAAAUAUCACUUCUUUUUUUAUGGAUAUAGGAAUUUUAAAUUCUCUAUCGCCAUGUAACAUUUUGAAAUUAGACUUUUCAUUUAACCCAUAAUGUUAUUUGAAUAUUUAUAUUUUCCAUUACAGCUUUGGAUCUGAUUGGCAACAAAGAAGUGAGCACAAUUCUUGGGGCAUUUACUUUGCAAGAAAUGCAAUUAAUGUCCGAAAUUAACAAAAACUUCAUUGAUAUUUCCAUAAUAUCCCUACCAAUUGCUGCUUCUCUUCCUCCUCAUAAUAAUAAUAAUCCACUCCCACUUCCUUCCUUUAUUCGAAUGGCUCACAACAUCACAUUUCACAUCCAAUGCACAGCCGCCAUUGUCGCCCAUUUCCAAUGGCAUAAAGUUACUCUCAUCUAUGACAAUACAGACGACAUGUCCUUCAACAUGGAAGCUUUGACUCUCCUCUCCAACCAACUUGGAGAUUUCAAUAUAGAGAUUGACCAAAUCUCAUCCUUCUCUUCUUCAUAUUCAGAAUCUAUGAUUGAGGAAAAGCUCAAAAGCCUUGUGGGCCGUGAGAGGAACCAGGUUUUCAUUUUGGUGCAAUUUUCUAUCGAAUUGGCCAAACUCCUUUUUCACAAAGCAAAUAAAAUGAAUAUGAUGGAAAAUGGAUUUGUUUGGAUCGUUGGAGAUGAGAUAUCAAGUCAUCUUGAUUCUUUGGAUUCAUCAACUUUUAAUGACAUGCAAGGUGUCAUUGGUUUUAGAACUUAUUUUGAUCAUAACAAAAAUUCUUUCAAGAAAUUUAGAAGCAAAUUCCAUAGAAAGUAUGUUUUGGAAUAUCAUGAAAAUGAAGAGGAGGAGAUGAAAAAUACGGAGCCCACCAUCUUUGCUCUUAGAGCUUACGAUGCAGGAUGGGCUGUGGCACUUGCGAUGCAUAAAUUGCAAGCAAAUUUUAGCAACAAACAAUUGUUGAAGGAAAUUUUAAGGAGUAAAUUUGAAGGGCUUAGUGGGAAAAUAGGAUUCAAGAAUGGUGUCUUAAUGGAACCACCCACUUUUGAAAUUAUUUAUGUGGUGGGUAAGAGUUACAAAGAGAUAGGAUUUUGGAGAGAAAAGGUUGGAUUUUUCAUCAAUUUGAAUGAAAAUAAUGAUCAAGAAAUCAGUAGUAGCAUUAUUAUUGAUGAAGGAAGAAGUAGAAGUGAUAAUAAUAAUAAUAAUAAUAAUAAUAAUAAUAAUAAUAAUGUUGUUUUGAAAUUACCAAGAUUUGUUUUGUGGGAAGUAAAUUAUGCAGAAACAGGAGUAGUGAAAGGAAGGACGAUUAAUAUUGAUAAUUCAAAUUCCGGAGGAAUGGGAAGGACAUUAAGAAUUGGUAUUCCGGCCAACAAUACAUUCCGAGAAUUUGUUAAAGUUUCUUACGACCACAUAAAUGCAAUAUACAUUUCUGGAUUUUCCAUUAGUGUAUUUGAAGCUGUCGUAAAGAAUCUGCCUUAUUCAUUGCCGUAUCAGUUGAUCCCAAUCAAUGGUUCUUAUGAUGGAUUGGUAAAGCAAGUCUACACAAGGGUAAGUACGAUAUAGAUAAUAUAUAUAUAUAUAUAUUGGAUUAUUGCAUGUGAUUCUUGCAUCUAUUCAUUGUAUCCUUCUUUGUAUAUAUAACAAAAAAGGUGAUGUAUUUAUAUGAACAAAUUAUAUAUAUGGUGGUUUUUAUUAGGGUCUGGAUGCCGCGGUGGGAGAUAUCGGAAUAUUUGCGGACCGAUUUAAAUAUGUUGAUUUCACAGAGCCAUAUAUGAUGGGUGGGCUUGUGAUGAUAGUGAAAGAGAAGACAAGAAAUUGGAAAGAAAUAUGGAUAUUCAUGAAAACAUUUACAACACUAAUGUGGAUCAUUUUGCCAAUCUUCCAUCUUGUUAUAAUGUCUGUUGUUUGGAUUGUUAAGGAUCCAAAGGAUGGAGAAUUAUCAGGAGUUUCAGAAAUGAUAUGGUUUGCCGUAACUGUCAUCUUUUUUGCUCACAGUAAGAAUUUUAAAGUCAUGUUUGAUAAUCAUUUUAGUGUCUUUUCACUUCUCAUUUUAGAAAACAAAUUUUUAUGAGUGGAUGCAGGAAAAGAAGUGAAAGGUAAUUUAGCAAGGUUGGUGUUGGGGACAUGGUUGUUUGUAAUUCUUGUGGUAACUUCAAGUUUUACUGCAAGUCUUACAUCUAUGAUGACGGUUUCAAGAUUUGCACCAUCCGUUGUUGAUGUUGAAACAUUAAGGCAAAUGAAUGCAACAGUGGGGUGCAACUAUCAUUCUUUCAUUCCGAGAUAUUUGAAUGAUACAUUGAAAAUUCCACGUAUAAAUAUUAAGAACUUUGUUGGGAUUGACGAUUAUCCAAAGGCAUUUGACAAUGGAGAAAUUGAAGCAGCUUUCUUCAUCACUCCACAUGCUAAGGUCUUUCUUGCUAGGUACUGCAAAGGCUACAUCACUGCAGCUACUUUCAAUCUCGGUGGCAUUGGUUUUGUAAGUUCUCAACUAAUAAUCUACUUCCAGAUGUUUUGCAGUUUUUAGAUUUAAGUUUUGUUUCGAUUUGUUUUACAAGAUUUCAAGAUUUAUACUUUUAAUAAGUUUGAUUUUCUCACUGAAAUACUCCUGGUAUGAAUUAAACCCAAAACUUUAAAAAUCAGAAGGAUUUAAAAAAAAAUAGUUAAAGGUGCUAUCUGAGCUGCAUAUAUUUUUUGUGCGAGCAGCUUAACCAGUUAUAAUAUGUCAUGUAGCCAAAAAAAUCUUUUAAAAAAAUUUAAUUGACUUUUUUUUUCGUUUGUUGGGAUAAAAUAUGAGCUACAAGCUGCACUUAACCAUUGUUUUCUUUUCUUUUAUGAUGUGGAUAGAAAGACACGGUAGUCUAGCACUACACUUGGUAUUUGGUAAUAAUAGGAAAUUUUGUUAUAUGUUGCAGGCUUUUCGGAAAGGGUCAAGUCUAGCAGUGGAUGUAUCGACAUCCAUCGUGGAACUUAUAGAGAGAAGAGAGAUGCCACAGUUAGAAACAAUGUUGUUGUCAACCUUCAAUUGUUCUUCAGGGAGCCAAGUUGAUGGGUCUACAAGUUUGGGGCCUUGGCCUUUCGCAGGUUUAUUCAUCAUUUCAGCAAGUGUUGCUGCUGGAUCACUUCUAUAUUUUUGUAUAUGCGGACCAAAUCACGAUAACAAAGACAAUAAUGCAGCAGCUGGAGAAGUCCACAAUGGCAAUAACAAUGCAGCUGGACAGGAACCCAUGGCCAAUGGCAAUAACAAUGCAGCUGGACAAUUCCAACCCAGGGCCAAUCGCAAUGAUUAAGAAUUAUCAUUUUUGUAUUUUAUUUUGUUUUGAAUAAUUCUUUUUCUCUUAUUUCGUAUCGGUAUAUCGUUGUAAUUUUUAAACUUCAAUCAUAUAAGUUUAUAUACUAUGUAGUCUCUAACUUUGGAUAUAAAACCUCUAUACUCUGCCAUCUCGAAAUCUUCAUUGAUUUACUAAACAAACAUCGAUCUCUCCACAAUGAGAAUACAUUUUUUUGUUUUACUUGACCAACAUAUAUUUACAUGCAGGAUAGAAUAUUGGUAUAAAACUAGUUCAUAAAUCUUUUCCAGAUUUGACAUUCUUUCGAGAUUGUUAUUUAAUAUUUGGAAAGACGACUUUUCAUGUAACAUCCUUUUUACUUAUUUUUCAUGGUAGGUGUACAACAAAAACCUUAAAAAUUGAAAAGCUAAACACACCAAACCAAAUAGAUUUAUUGGAAAAACAAUUAAGAUAUAUUAGUGCACCUCCUGAUCUUGUUCUCCUGCUUGUUACUUAACCUAUCAGUGCACCAAGACUAAUCUCUCAUAUAUUCAAAAAAAAAAAAAAAAGAACAGAACAAUGAGGUUGGGAAAAAGGCUCAAAAUCAAGAACCAAACCAACAAUAAACCCAACUUAAUAACAAUUUGAUCCAUUUUUUUCACUUGCUGGACAUCGGUUUUGGUUCCUUUUCUACAUAAAACCAAUUUGUUUUGUUUUGUUUUUUGGUUGGACUCAAAAUCCAGAAAAUCGAACCUACCUGAUAUUGCUUACUGAGUAUAGUUAGUUGUAGACUCAUUUAAUACUCCAAAGAUUUUGGGUUCUCCCAACUAUCUUUCUAAUAUAAUGUAUAUAUAUCCAUCAAGAUGGAAGUGUGUCUCUUUCAAUUCAUCUCAUUCUUGAAUUAGAGUUUUUUAUUGAACAAGUGAAUAUUAUGUUUAGAUUUCUUAAACUUUGAUAUCAAAUUUAUCUAAGUACGAAUUAGUUCGAUCAAAGACAAACAUCUUUAUUAAUUCGUCAUGUAAAUAUUUAUGAAUAUGGAAAGAUUUAUAUUAGAAGACGAUAACAUGACAAAUACACACAACAAUAAACCAAAGAGAGGAGCAAUAUAUAUAUAUAUAUAGUAAGAGUUGAUCAUGCGUCCUCCAAGAACAAACUCUUUAUUCUAGUUUUUCUUAAUGAGUACGUACUAGAUAUAUAAUAUGAUGAUAACAUAGAAAAGUACAUAAAUUUUACAACUUCUUCAUUUCUUGGUCUUGUUGAUUACUCUGUCAGCAUACUCAAGAACUUUAUCAAGUUCAUCCAAACAAAUAAAGCCAUCUCCAUUAGCAUCAGCCAAAUUCAAAGCAUAGUUAGCUUUGCUAAAUGAAUUGAAGGAACCACACAUGUUAAAAGCUUUUACUAGCUCACUUCUAGUGAGAUAACCAUCACCAUCAAUAUCAUGCUCUAAGAAAAUCUCCCUCAUUUCAUCUUUACUAAGCCUCAUCUUGUACGGCCCACAGGACGCCUUCUCAUCAGGAAUAUUAACCUUAGGUUCAACUUUUUGAGGCUUAAUUUGUUGGUGAUGGUGAGAAGCAGCUUGCUCAAUGAUCAAAGCAGUUAGCUCAUCUUUGGUCAGGAUUGAAUCACCAUUCUUGUCAUACUUUUUUAUCAAAUUACUUGCUUCUUGUUCACUCAUGUAAUUACCUUGGGCUGGGACAGGCUGAUCCUUAAGAGGAUUUGUAGACAUUGUUGAAAACUAUGUGGGUUGUGUUUUGGGAUUUGAUGUGGAGUUUGGAGGUGAUAGAAUUAAAUUAAUGUCUUGAAAGGAUUAACACACUUUAUAUAUACUAACUUUAGAAGCAUAAGUAUUUUUUUUUUCAUGUACAAAUUGGAAUCUUAUUCCUAAUUUCCUCUACUCCAAAAACAAAAGAUUAAAAAAAAAAGAACUUAUUCCUUACCUAAUAAAUCUCUUUAUUCAUUAAGAUAUAUAUAAAGUUCCUUUUUUUAAAAAAAAAAUUAUGGUUAGCAAAGGAAAAUUAUGGUUUAUAUAUAUAUUUUGCAUGUGGAAUGAAAUAAGAUUCUAAAAAGGAAGAUAUUCACAGCUAAUUAGCAAAAUAAACAAAAUAAGAAUAAAAUAUAGAAUCUCUUUGUCACGGUCAAAUAAGAUUUUUUUAGUACAACAGUAGUUAUUAAAUGGUAAUUAAACCUUCAAUAUCUUUGACUUUAACAAAGAUACUACAACAAGUUUUUAGGGCAAUUUUUAGAAAAAGAUACGUUGGAUUAGUAGUGCACCUGGAACAUCUACACUAGGUGGAUACCCCUUAGCACCCUCAUCAUUCCCGCUUCAUUAAAUAAUCGUCAGAUCAGAACAAGAGGCAGAAAAGUAACAAGGGCUAGAGAAAAACCCAGUAGUUAUUAUACAAAAGCAUUCAAGUUUAAAGCAAUAGUGCUAGUGCUAUAAUUUUUAUAGAAAUAAGAUCUACUAGUCUAUAAAUGUGUGAGAUCUUUGACAUUUUUCCAAAUCUCCCGAGUAGUUCUAUCUUUGUUCUGGAAGAUCCUGUUGUUUCUCUCUCCAACUAGAUGAUACAUAACGCAGCAGCAAUCAAAUUGAAAAUGAUGAUGCCUUUUUUGCUUUUUUUCAUUUGUGUUGCAUAUGUUUUGAAAGCAAUAGUCCCGAGUAGUUUCGAUGGCAAUUUAGAACUGCUAUCAAAGUUCGUUUUGUCAUCUUACUCUAUAUUGACAUGCAAUUUCAAUUUACAGUACGUGUCAUCACAAAUAUAUGAUGUUAGUACAAAACUGAUAUAUAAAUCUAAAAUUGUUGUACUAAGACAAUGCCAUUUUUUUCAAUACCAUAAUUAUGGAAACAUGAAUCGAACCUUCCGUCUCUAAAAUAGAAAGUAGUUUUGAUUACCAUUGAAUUAAUUAAGUUCAUGUUGACUCAUGUUAAUUACUCUUAAAACAAAUUUUAAAAAUAAUUGAAAGAAGGUUAAGGAAAUAGGAAAUAAAAAACGCCAACCUUAUUUUGGUUUCUUGUUUCUCAUAACUUCUGUUUCUAUUUUUGUUUCUAUUGUUACCAUUUUGCAUUUGGCAAUUUUAUUUUCAUGUUUUUUUCUUUUUCAUAAAAAAAAAAAUUAAUGAAACAAUUGUUUUAUAUCAAAUUUGUUUCUUAGUUCUCUAAAAAAUUUGUUUAGAAAAAGUAAGAGUUAACUUUUAAAAUUAAAUAACUUUAUUAUUGUUAUAUUUGUUUAUUUGUAAUACUUGUAUUUAUUUCAUAAAAGAGCAUCCUAUUUCCUGAAGAGAGUUAACUUUACUACCAACCUAACUUUUGAUAUUUCAGAAUUUCUCCAAUUUAUUAAUCAUCAUUAUCUUUUGAGUGAAAUGAUAUGAUGUACCUCUUGGAAGAUCAAGAUGGAGAGUAAAAUUAUAAGACUAAAAAAUAUUAUUUUCUAAAAACAAUAAAUUACCAUAUGGUGAUUAGUUUUAAUUGAUACGUAUAGUAGAUGGAUAAAGCGUUGCACAUAAAUGUUUUCAAAUUAUAAUAUUACAUACUUAGGGUAAUAAAUCUCAAAACAACCAUAUAUUUAAUUUAAUUUUUCUUUUCAUUUUUGACAAUUUCCUAUUUAUUUUAAAAUAACAAAAAAUAAUAUUCGUAAAACAAAGGCUGCACUUGUACUUGGCUGAUGUAGAAUAAUUGUCUUCUAAAUCUGAAAGCAAUGAUGAAAGCAAAUAAUUCUCUCUAAAGAUUCUUGAGUUCGUUUUAAAAAUUAAAUGUAUCUAGAAAUUCCAACUUUAACUAAUAAUCCUACUCUUUAUUACUAUUAUUAUUUACAACUUUAAGGCUAAUGUUAAGGACAGAUCUUUUAACCCCCCUGAUGCCAAGCUAAUUUUUAGAAACUAAUAGGAGAAAAAAAAAAUGAUAUGCAAACAUUGGAACAUGCAGGACAUGAACUUUUACUUGAUAUAUCUGUUAAAUAAUUAAAGAAUCAACCCAAAUGUUUAAGUUAAUGAACUAUGGUACAUUUUAAUUAUCUCAUUUAUAACAAAAAAAAAAUUACUUGUAUAUGUGUCUAUAUCACUAGACUAAUAGAUGAUAUAAAGUGGGGAAAUUAUGUAAAAAUAUUUGAAUAAGAAAUAUUUCUAUAUUUCCAAAUGCAUAACGUUAUUUCCCUCUAUUUUAGCAAUUAAUUGGAGUUGUUUUGUAAUAAAUACAAGCUAUGUAAUAUGAAGGUAAGAUCUUGCUAACUAUCGAGUUUGGAAGAUUAAUUUUAGUGUAACAUGACAACAAAGAUCAAAAAGGUAAUUCAAAUAAAAAGAUAAAGAGGAAUAUAUAAAAUAUGAUAUAGACUUGGUUAGAAUAAGAUUCUCUCUGUCUUACUCAUUUUAGUAAAAUGGAUGUAGAAUACGGUUCUUUUAUUAUAUUGUUAUUAUAUUGUUGAAAAUUAGAAUUAGAUUCUUUUUAUCUUAUAAUAAUAAUAAUGAAAUAUUACAAACUUUGUUAUUUUUAACUCCGAAGCAACUUUUCUUUUUACCUCACAAAAUAAUACCCAUAUCUUUUAGGUUCCAUACAAAUAUUAUCUACACAAUACAUCAUCUGAAUUUAUUUAUUUAUGAUGUAAUGUAUGUGCGUUACUUUUUGGUCUAGAAAAAUGAUGAAGAUGUUAAAGUUACAUAAAUAGCAAAUUAAAAUGUUGAAAUUAUAUUUAGCAAAAUUCAUCUAACUUUCUCUAAUUCAUUUAAAAUUUUUGUUAUGAUUUAUAAAUAGUUUCAUUUCUUGAUGCUAUUCCUAACAAUUUUUCCUUUAUAUAAUAUAUAAAAUUAUGCAUUAUAUUGUAAUUUUGGGGUAAGGUAUUUUGUUUAUUUUAACAAAAACAUUGCUGUUGCAGGGGUCGUACUUGGGCAAGGGUUUUGAAAACGAUGAUAGGUUGAAUUUUGAGAUUUAUGCCUAAUUUUUAUAAUUUUCUGUAAAAAGCAAUGUUAAAUAUAUAUAUAUAUAUAUAUAUUAUCAUAACUCUCCCAUAAAAUAUUUAGCUUAAAAUUUAUUUAGAGGACAUACAAUUAAAAUAAUUUUAUAGGUUAAUUACUCAUUUAAAACCAUAAAUUAAAUAAACCAUCCAUGGGCGGAUAUAUGUGUACAAUAACUUUCAAAUACAAGAUUAAUUGUUUUGAUCAUGUUCAUUGAUUGGAUUUCUAUUUUGUGUGAUUUGUGAAUUUAUGCUAUUGUCAAUUCAAAGUAUUUGUAGUGUGUGAGUGGAUAGCUUUUAUCCACAUUACACAGAUUCUAGAUUUUUCGACUGAAUUUAUGCUACUCUAUAUAUAUAUAGUCACAAAAACAGAAAGAAGAAAGAAACGUCACUUUUUUAAAAAAAGAGAUUUGUCACGUACGUGACUGUUGGACACUUGGGUAAUUGCAUAAACAUAUCUCUACAAAGCUAAUAUUGCAACGCAGAGCAAUCAACAUCCUCUUUUGAAAGCUUUCUCAAAAUAAAAGAGUUUUAGAAUUACAUAAAUUAUUAUAUUGAAGACGUGAUUCGUUACCUAAUUUAAAAGACAAGUACUGAUCUACAUUUCAUGCUUUAUAUGUAAUCUGAGAAUGUUGAUAUUUUAGAAAUUUUUUGUUAAUUUUUAGAACAGACUCUCUUGUCAGUAUGAUCUAUUUUUUUAUAAAUUUAACAAGGAAUUAAGAAACCCUCUUUGAUUAACAAAACCACAACACUAAAGGAGAAGAAAUUAGAAAGAUCUUACAAUAAGUGGCAAACAAAAUCUUAUUGUAGAUAGCUCUUUCCAUCAUCUUGUUGAUUGAAGACCCUUGGUGUCAAGAAUAAAAAAUUUCAGCUCUAACAAACCAGAAUGGAUGCUCAAACGGCAUCGCUAGACAGAAGUGGGUUUUCUUUCCAAUUUCUCACUUUGGUGACGUUUGAAUUCUCUUGAUCCGCUGCUGCUGCUGCUGCAAGAUUAUUUACAAAAAUAACCUAAUUGAAACUAUCCAUACAAAACUAAUUGAAACUAAGCCAAUAUAUAUAUCUCGUGAACGAAAUUAAAACUCGAAAUAAAAAGAGAAAAGAAGAGAGAAAUGUACAAAGUUUAAUUGAUUGGAUUUUGGAUACCUUACCCAACACAGAAUAGUGCUUAAACAAAAGGGAAAGAGAGAAGUAAUGAUCAUGUGGAAAAGUUUUUCUUUUUCUUUUUUUGGAGUACUACUCAUUUUAAUAUAUAUGUAAAUUAAAGAGAACAAAAUGACGAGAUUUUCUUUACUUCUAAUAGAAAAAAUAUUGUAUAUUGUGUAGCCUUUGCUGCAUCGGAUUAAAAACUAUCACGUAGCACUUUAUAUUAUUUUUAAAAAAUUAUUAAAAUACUGAUUUUUUUUCUAUGUAGAAAAAAUAUUGAUGGAUAGACUUAAAGUUCAAUCCCUAUAUAAAAUGAUGUUUUAGUGGCGAUAUAUGCUUAAGUAUUGAAAUAUCAUCAUUAUCAAUACAUCUAAACUAAGUACUUUGAAAAAAUCCAUUAUCAUUAAAAUGAUAAAUAAUGAAAAUUGGUAACAACUUAUGCAGAUAAAAAUUGACACAAUACAUGCAUAACAUAUAAUUUACCAAGUAUUCAUGCAUACAAUUAAUGAAAGGAGAAUAUAUAUAUAUAUAUAUAUAUAUAUUAUGUUAACGAUGUUUUUUUAACAAAAUACUGGAGGAAGAAGGAUUUGUGGGUGCACUGUAUCUCUAAUUUGAGUGCUUAUAGAAAAAGUGAUUUGAGUUGAAAACUCUUUUUCCCUUACAAAGAAAUCAACAAUAUAAUAUCAUGUUAAAAGUUUCUACUAGUGUUCUAAUCAACAUGAAACAUAUUAAUUAGUUUAUACCAAUAGUUCAAACUGACCCAUAAUAUGUGCUAACAAUCAAGAAGACUAUAAUUUGAUUCUCCUACCUCUGUUUUACUAAGAAGAAAGUUAAAAGUUUAAUUCAAAAAAUAAAGGAAUGGCAAUAUCUUGGCUUAACUUUUUUUUUUUUUUUUUUUUGAGAAAGAUACUUUGGGAUACCAGUAGAACAUCUCUACUAGGUGGACAUUCCUAAACACUCACGUCAAACUCGCUUCAUUAAAAAUAAAGAGAUGAAUACAAGAAGCAGGAGAUACAAAAAGGGCUAGACGGAAGCCCUAUGAACCCAAACAACUAAAAAACGUUUAAGUUUAAAGCAAUAGAACUGGUCGAGUAAUUUUUGAAAAGAGGAGAACGACUUGUCUAGAGACCAGUUGUAGCUCGAAUGUCCUUCCACACAGAGCCAACUAGUUUUUCUUCCCCCUUGAAAAUCUUUUUGUUUCUUUCAUUCCAUAUAUUUUAAAGGGUGGCAGCCACUAAGUGCAGUUUGAUAGUUUGUUUUUUUUUGUUUUACCCUUUGUUUUGUAGAUUUCUUUGCACAGAUAAGUGGAAUUUGAUGGAGAUAGGAGUCGCCCAAGAUAACUUCAACUUUUUUCCAGAGCUUUGAAGAGAAGGGACAAAGGGAGAACAAAUGGUUUCUGUCUUCCUCGGCAGCUUUGCCAAGAAUUCACCAAGAGGGUUUUAUAUUUCAAGUUGGAGUCUUCUUUUAAGCAUACCCAUGAUAUUAAUACACUCAUAAAGGAGAGUCCAUAAACAAGAAUUUACACCUUUUGGGAUGGAUGAUUUUCAUACAAUUGCUAUAAAUUACCCAAUCAUUAUAGUUAACUUCUGCUUGGUUGUUGAGAGGUCUCUCAAGAUGGCCUAUCUCACUGUAUGAAAAGUUUUGCCCAAAUUGUAAUUUAGCUCGAUUUGAUCAAUAUCUAAUUGUUAAUGUUUAUUAGUAAUUAAUUAAGUAAUAACUUUUAGCUUGCUUUUAAUGUAACGAUUGUUUAAAUAAGAUUAGCCUAAAACCCACAUAUUAACUAAUAAUAGAUAUUAGAAGCCUUUUCCAUUUCGCAACAAGAUUACAUAAACACAAGAAGGACCAACUUGCUCAAGCCCAGCCCUUCCUUCCUUUAUUAGUGAAAGUCAAAAGCUUAGGAAACAAAAACAUAAAAUCAUAGGGUGUUGCCAAUUUUAAUUUCUAUCAACGCCUUCUUUUCUGAAACCUUUCGGCAUAAUCGAUGAGUUUGUCAAGCUCGUCUUCUGAGAUGAGGCCGUCACCAUUCUCAUCACAAUAAGCCAUGCCGUAGUGAGCUUUGUAGAAUGGUAUAGAGUGACCCAAGAACCCCAUGGCUUUGAUGAGCUCACUGAUGCUGAGGUAACCGUCUCCGUCGAUGUCGUGCUCACGGAAGAUUUCCUUCAUCUCUUCCCUUGAGAAAUUGAACUUGCUUACACCAGGAAGAGCCAUUUCUUUUGUGGGAAAAAGGAUAUAGCUUCGUGUUUGUUUAUUGCGUUUGGGGUUGUGAGUUUUGAGUGUGUGUGUUUUGGGGUAUUUAUGGAUGUACAAACAAAGGCUUUAUUCUUAUUAUAUCUUAUGAUAUGAUGGUCCCAUUAUAUUCUUACCUUAUGACAACAGUCACAUAUUCCACCUCAAAAACUUGCAUCUGGUCACCUUUCACUCAUUAUUUAAUUUUAUGGUUAACUAAUAAUCUUUUAUCUAGAUAUUAACAAGAGGGGAAUCAAGAAAUGCAUCCAAACAUCUCUAUUGGGUUAAUCAAGAAAUGCGUCUAAACAUCUCUAUUCGGUUAAUGUACCUAUUUUAGUUUUCAGGCUUAAAAUAACUUGUUACCUAAAAUGUCAAUAAAUGUACAAAAUAAUUUGUAUUUGUAUUGUUAGUAUUACUUGAUUGUAACACUUAACUUAUUGUUAUUUUUCUGAAAAACAAAAGUAGGUCAAAAUUUUGUUGACACGUUGAAUUCUGUGUAUGCUUUUUCAUGAAAACUCUAUUGAAAGCUUCUUUUUAAAAAAGAAAAAAGAAAAUCUAAGAUUUAUCCAUUUAGACAUUUAAAAGUAUAUAAUCUUAUAAUAAAUUAAAAGAAAAACUAAAAUAAUAUUUUAACAAAAUUUAUAUAUUUUUAAAAAAAACACGUACAAGUGAUACAUCGUCCAAAUAUCUUCACUAAGUAGACAUCUUCUUAGCAUCUUCAUUUGAUAUGUAUAAAAAAAAGUAAAACGACGACAAAAUAUGAGUUAGAGAUAAGUGCAUUAAAUAAAGAAAAUCAAUAACUAGUGAUGUUAAAAUUAAGUUUAUUUAGUUAAAAUAAUGUAACAUUUUUAUUUAUAGGCAUUUGAAGAACUUUCCUAUAUUUCUUUUACUCCCUGCUCUUGAAAAGAAAGAAUUCAAACUUUAAAUAAAAACCAUAUCAUUUUCCAUCAUUAACUUCCUAUUUUUUAAUUAUUAUUUUUAAAUAGAGCAAAAUAAAAAUUAUAAUAAAAUGUAUCUAUACGUGUCCUUAUCACCAACAAAUGGUAAAAUUUUAUUGUAUUUGUAAUUAUUUUCAACAAUUAUAUUAUUUAAAAUCAUUAUUCUUUUUGAAUUGAAAACUAAAGUAUUGAUUAAAUUUAUUGUAAUAUAUCAGCAACUUUUGAGGUCAUUGUUUCAUCUUUGAUCUCUCUCUAUGGAAGACCUAAAUUUGGUUCAAUUCAAAAUGAUUCUAUCAUUGAUCAUCUGUUCUUCUUUUUCUUCUAAAAAAGGCAUACAACAGUGUGUGAUGACGAAGGACCAAAAUUUAUGCAUACAAUACAGUGUAUAUAUACAUAUAUAGUAUGGGGUUAUUCUAGAAGAAAAAGAGAAUAUAAGUCUUUUUGUUGUGGCAGAAAUUUGGAAUCUGCAUGGGAUGAAAAAGGGCAUCUGCUUCUAUUUAUAUUAUAUAAUAUUCUUUGAAAUGACAAUAAUGGAGGGAAGCAUAAAUUUACAAUACCUCUCAUAAACAUCAAAUAAUUUAUAAUGGGACUCCCAUCUAAUACUUAGGGAAAGGGAAAAUAUUUCUUUACAAAUUAAAAAGCAUUCAUGCAGUUUUGAAAAAUGCAGAUCAAACGGAGGAAGUGCACUUUCUCAAUCUUUCUCUAUUUGCUAUAUUUGAAAAUAUGUUUUUAAAAAAAUUCAUUUAAAACAAUUACUCUAGAAAAAGGUUAUUGUUAGACUGAUGCUUUUGUAUCGAUAGAUUAUCUGUUAGAGUAUUUAAUAAAUAAUAUUGAUAUAAUUACAUUUUGGUAUUAGGUUAAUUAGUGUUAGUUUAAUUUAGGUAAUAUAGCCUAUCCGAGAUCUUAGUUUAUCUAAGCUUAUAUCAUUGUUGUAAUUGUUAUUUUAGAAACCCUAAUGAAGUUUUUCUAUCUCUCGCUCACUAUACUGUCUUUGUCCCUCUAAAAUUCUAGAGUUUUCAUGGCAUCAGAGUCCAAAAUUUUCUAAAACUCAAAACUCUCCCUUUUUUUCUUUGAAGUCGUCAUAGGCUGCAUGUAACAAGAAACUUAAAACUUAAAACCCUCCCUCUACCCAAACUCUCAAAUCACAUCACAGUAGUCUAUCUUCGGAUCUUUCUUCCACCCUUUUUGAAGAAUUGUUAUUUUUAACCUAACAAAGCUUUUACCUUAUCAGGCUAACUUCAUUUUUUAAAACUAAUUUUUUUCAGAAAAAGGAGUUUUUUCAAAAAUAGAAAAAUUUGUAUAUACACUCUAUAAAACAAAACUGCUAAAAGACACACACAAAAAAAAAAAAAUGUAUACUCAAAGUUCUAUAUUUUAUAAUUUCACUUUGAAAAUAUCAAUUUGUCCCUGUUAUAUUGUAAGUAAUUUCUAUUUCACAUUUUUCUAUUACCACUUUCCAAACCCAAUUUCAAAUUUGAAACUUACUAAUUUUUCUUUUGUUGGGCUUUCUUGUAAGGAUAGAAAAAUUAAUGGUAAAAAAAAGUUCUUACGUGGAAUUUCCCUUAAGAUUUGAAAAUUUUGGGAAAAUUUCAUAAAUUCCAACGCUAAACUAUGAACAGUAAAUUUAAAAAAUUGAAAACUUAAAAGAAAACUAUCCUCUUUAAAAAUAAAAAAUAAAAGCCUUAAAUUUAAGUUUAAAACAAUCACUAACUUAAUCUUACUGAGAAAAAUUGAAAUAAAAUUAAAAUAAAGCUUAUGAAAUUGGAAAUUGUUAUUUUAAAAAAAAUGGUAGAAUUAUUAUUUUUUAAGAAAACAUAAAUUUGCAAAUCAAGUGGACAGAUUUGGAAAAGAUACACUGUAGAAUCUACAGCUCGCUAUGUAACGUUAUUGUUCUUGAUCAUAAACAACACAACAAUUCUCGAUCGUCUUCGCUCAAGUUUUGCUUAUAAUAAAAUUAGUCAACCACGCUGUAGUAGCAAAUUUGUUGAUAUCAUAUAUCACUUUACAGUUGAUUUUGUUGUGAUUGGAUAAAAUUUCAUUGCAAGUACAUGUAAAAAUGGCGUAGCAGCAUAGGUUCAGUAAUACUACUCCUUUUUUAUUAUAUAUAAAAUUGAAUGACCCCAUUUUAUAUCUACGUUUGCAUAUUCUUACAUAAGAUCGAAUCCCUAAUGAUCUUCAAAUUUCAAUCCAGAAACCAUCCUUUGUAUUAUGUGAUAAUCAAGAAGCAGCUGUUCAUAUAGCCUCCAACUCAAUCUUCCAUCAAAACUUUGUAAAUUUUAAUAUAUGGGAGAUUAUUUAUAGAUUUCAGGAAAUAUGUAUAAUAUAAAUAAGUUUACGAGUGGAAUUUGUUAACAGAAAAGGGAAAAACAGUAUUGAGGAAAUUUUAAAAACAUUUUUUUCAUUUUUCUUGCAAAGUUUGAGGAGAAACUUCUAUACAUUGUUUCUUUUGUAUUAUUGAUGUUUGGUGCAUGUGAAACAUAUUUUUACCAAUAUAAAGUAUGUGAGGUUCUAAUUUUGUAAAUAUAUACUAAGAAUGUUAACAAUUUUACAAUAAGAGAGUUAUGUUCCAUUAACAUGUGAAAAAGAAAUGAGGUUAAAAAGUCAAACCAAAGUUCCUUUUUGAGCUACUAUAAAAUACUUGAACCAUGUUACGUUUUGUUUCAUCUUCAAACAAUCCAAUCAAACAAACAUAUAUAUAAUUUUAGUUUAAGAAUGUCUGUCUCUCAUCUUCAAGCUUGGGCUAAGAAUGAAGCAAAUGAGUUGAUAAAGAAGUAUGAUAGAAAUGGUGAUGGUGUUCUCACUAAAGAAGAGCUACAAUCUUUCCUUCGUGAUGCUCGUGGUUCAACUCAACUCAAUAAUAUAAGGAAUGUAUCGUCUAGCACAGUCCCAAAAACUAACGAAAAUCUUGCACAGAAGGUUAGCUCAAAUACUUGCAUAACACCAAAAAAGCAGUUGUUGGAUAAAGCUCAAGGUUCGUCGAAACAAUCUAAUGUACCUUUGAGUCGAGAGCAGAUAAAAGAGAUUUUUAAAUAUCAUGACAGCAACAAAGAUGGUUUUCUCAGCAUACGGGAGUUAACAAAAGCUUUCAGCUCUAUGGGAUCAAUUGUCCCAUUUUGCAAAGCUCGAUAUGCUAUGGCUUAUGCUGAUGUCGAUGAAGACGGUCUUGUCAGUGAGGCCGAGCUUGACAAACUCAUUGAUUAUGCCCAUAAAAUCAUCAAGAAGAAAUGAGCUUUCAAGGAUAAUUCUGUGUGUUCUACAUAGAGAAUUAUGUAACUAGAAGUAAAAUAUUAAAAAUAUUAAAAAUAAUUAAAAUAAUUAUUUAAAAUUAAAAUAUCAUAUGUUGGAAUUUUAUUUUUGUUGCAAAAAGCAUUGUAAUUAAAGCUUCUCAUUAUUAAUAAAAUAAAAGAGAUGUAUGUUGGAAUUAAAAAUCUUAAUCUGUUAUCGUUAAGUGUUAAUAUUAAUCUCUCUCUCUUUGUUAAUGAUUAACAAACACAUUAUGAUAAAUAUGGCCUUAAUCUAUGAACAUAAGCUCAAAAUAUUGAACCAAAAUUUAAAAUUUGAUAACUCUUCCCAAUUGAAUUCAUAGUUUAUUUUUUAUUAUAUGUAGAAUGCACUCACAAUAUGAUAUAUUACAUAUUUUUGGAUUUAGGCUGCCCUGUUUUUAAGUUUUAAUUUUUUAGAGUUAGAGGCUGGUUGAGUGGAUGUAAUUUACCUUGUUGUAAUUACUUCUUUUUUUUUCAAUGAAGAUUUGAUUCUCUUUCAACUUGUCUACAACACUAAAUAGGAAAUAGGAUAUAGAAAGGAUUUCAAACUUAUACAUGCAUGAAGCAGAACCUUUUAACAUUUAAAACAUGAUACUUUCCAAAUACUACGUGUAUAUUUCAUAUAAAAUCAUAACUACGUAUAACCAUUAUUCCAAUAUAAAACUGUAAAAAAUUGACCCUUUAAUCUCAAGAAAAGAAAUAGUCAAUUAAUGUUAAAUAGUAUUUAUUUUGACACAAUAUCUCUUUUCUACUUUAAUUGAAAUGACAAAUAUAUUCUAACAAACGUAAAUAAUGACUUCUAAUUUGUUCAAGUAUAUACAGACGUGUGUAUACAUGUGUAAAUAUGUGUGGGUGGGUGUAUAGAAAGAAAGAAGAAAAUCUCCAUCAAAUGUAUACAUUUAAAUAAUAAUAAUAAAAGAAAUAAACUUAAUUAUUGAGGAAUUCAGCCAUGUUCGUGGUGUAAGGAAAUUCCUUCAGAAAGGUAUUAAGGCAAAUGUACCAGCAUUUAAUUUGUACAUAACAAGGGAACAGAAGAUGGGAAUUUAUUCACAUUUCAAGGAAUUUUCCUCACUUUCUUCCUCAAGGGAAAUAAAUACAUAUCUUAUAGAACUUAGUUAUUGACCUAUGAAUUUAAACUACAUAUAUACUUACAGAACCUAAACUCUUGGUGGAUGAAAACACCAGACUGUACAAUAAUAUACUAUGUCCAGUAUGUAACAAAAAUUUCAACUUAGCAGAUAGCAGCAUGAAAUAUGAACUGAUUCUGCCGAUGAAUUUUGAUGGGAAUUAAUGUGGGCAAUCAGCAAUUGAUCCAGGAGUUUAAUAAUCUCUAUCAAUGAAUUUAGCAAGAAAAUCCACCUGGAUCGGAGCAAGUUACACCAACAAGAUUGUUGGAGAAUAUCAGAGAAAUGCUAAAAUUUCAGCAGAUGACAUAACAUAGGAAUUUGUAAAUCAGAAUCUACUAACCGAGCACAUUUAAUCCCCAGAUUCAAGGAUCACCAAUAAUGUAACGAGAAUCUUUUAGGCAGACAACUUUAAAAAUCUACCAAGGGAGGUGGCAGUUUCCAGUAAUUCCAUGAAUUGAAAUCCUCCUGUGAAAACAACCGAAGAAUUGGUUCAAUAAAAGUAAUUCAAGAAUUAGUCCAAGUUCAGUUUGGAGAUUAAGAACCUGCUCGGAUGAGGUCAUGGGAGGAAACAUCCCAUUGACAAGAGUGUGAAGAGAAGUAUAAGAUUUCGUGUCGACACGGCGGUUUACAACAACCUCCCCCUACAAGCAUGAAUUUUUUUAUGAAUUCUGAUGCUACCAAGUAAUAUAAGAUUAUUCUGUUUUUCAACUCAUAUUCAUGAAUCCCCCCCCCUAAAUACCUUGGGAUUAAUAAUGAAAAUUUUUCCUUUUGGAAUUCCAACUUUAAGGUAGCUAAAUUCAUCCGUGUCCCUGUUUCCAAACCCAGCAUAAAAUGGAUUGCAAUCUGGAGGAAAUAGUUCUCGAAUUCUCUAAAAGUUACAAAAAGCAGACUAUGAGCCAUCUUAUUCAGAAGUCAGAUCACAUGUAAACAUAUGAUAUUCAAAAUUUCUAAUUUGAGGGAUUGUAUCCAGAAAAUUGCUUAAUUCCAAGUAAAAAUACAUUUUUAACAGUCAUGCAUCGAAACUGCAGCUCAUCAAAGUAUACUUAUGAAAAUGAAGAAUGUAAAAUUUGUAUAAGUUUCAAUAUCAAAGAAAAAUAUCAACAAAGAUAGAAGAAACUAACCUCCAAGCAAGCAAUCUUGAACUCAUGAGGAGCCCGCCUAAUAACUGUGAAGGAGGAAAUGAGCUCAAAGGUAUUUAUUCACAAAUCCAAGCAUGCCUAGCCUAUUUAUAUGUUUUUCAAUUAUUGCAUUGUUAAGAACUUUUCUCUUCAAAUUAUGCUUACAACCCAUUCUCCACAAUUAGCCAGGAAAACUUCACGCACCCCAAAGCUAGAAUUAGGAGAUAGGUUUUUUUACCAGAAAGCUUAAUUUUAAGUUUUUUUCCAAGGAAAGCAUCCCCUGCUCUAUACCCUCCCUCUACCCCGGGCAUAUGCUUUCAAUAAACCAGGCAUUUAGAAUCACAAGAUGGAUGCAAAUGCCGGAGACUCUUAAAAGGCCAAAGGAUUUGAAGGACUCUGCUAAAGUAUGUGUAUUUCAAGGGAAAAACAUACUGCAUCAAACUACUAAAUAGUUGCAAUUUCCUAGUUUAAAUAUAAACAAUAAAUCUAAGAAUACAUUCAAUAACCAAAACUUUCUCCAGAACAUCUAGCAAUUUACUAAAAUCUAGACUUAGAAGAGAGAAGUGUUGAAUAGUAAUUCUCAAAAGCAUAAAUAGGAGGGAAAAGCUAUAAUAUGUUUCACGUAAUUUCUAACUAAGAGAAGGGAUAAAAGGCAGUAACCUUCACGAUAUAGUGAAGGGAAAAGCCCAUCAGGGGAGAUAACAACAGGCCCCUCUGGUAAAGCCUUCCCAUCCUGCAUUGAUACAAACCAGGUAAAGAUCAAUCGUGGAGUAGUCAAGAAUUUAAGCUCUAAAUAGUGAAUACAUUACUUGUUUAAGGUUGAAAAGAAAUUGACGGGUGUGAUACGCCUGAGAAAUUGAUCGUGCACUGAGAAAAAGCAAUUGGUACCCAUUUUCCUGAAAAGAUAUAAAAAUAAAUUAAAUUGGGAGAGUUCAUUGCAUCAUAAUUCAUCACAUACGAUCGUCCAACUAAUGAGGAUGGGAUAAAAGCUUACCUUAAUAGCAGAAAAUAAAUUUGUGACACCUGUUUGUGACCAAUCCAUUCCAACAAAGGGCAUGAAUUGACCCAGAACAUCCGACCUAAGAAAGUGACAGAAGAGGAAAAAGUAAAGAGAGUGAGCACAAGAGAGGAAAAAAAAGAAGAAAAAAGGGUAAAUAUUUGUUUAAGUCCCGUUUGAUAACUUCUUUUUUAGAAAUUGACUAAGAAUUCAAGUGUUUCUGUAAGGAAGUUGAAAGUCGUAGCUUGGAACUUGAGAGGAAACAAGCAUGAAUUUCAAAUUCAGAAAACUAAAAAUUAAAUCAUCGUCAAAUGAGGUUUGAGCUGUUUAUUGUGCAAGAACAUUUGGCAAAACAAGAAAGAACUCCAUUGACUGAAAAGCUAACGGUACAAAUAAGCCAGACUUGAACAAAUGAUAGAAAAGCAAGGAAAAUUUACUGUGGAAAAUUUCUGUUUUCAUUUUCUUUCUUUAAUGGCAAAAAAAAACAGUGAUUAAUUAAUAAUAGAAUGGAAAGUGAAACAAAUCACCAAUGUAAUAACAAAUAUGGGAAUCCUCCUACACUGCGUACAAACAAAAGAAAUACUAAAAUCAAAAGAUUUGACUUUCUUCAGCUAUAACCAAAAAUGGACUCUAGUUCAAUAGGUUCGACAUCUUCCUAAAAGUCUUCCUUUUCUUUACCACCGGAUGAUCAAAUAACAUGAACAAACUGCUGAACCGUACAUUUCUGAAGAGUACCACUCUUCUUUGACGUCAUUCCACCAAAAAUAAAGUUCAACAGCCACCAAACCAGCCAAGUAGUAAUUCAGGCUUCUCAUCUCUCAGUUACAUACUAUUUUGCAGCCCUAUUUAUACAAUGAACAGAAAGUUCAUCAUCAAAACUCUAUUCUGAAAAGUUUACCCAACCACCAUUGUAUUCUCUGAACAGCCAACAGGCGAAAAGCAUUUAUCUGAUUUCUUAUGAUCUGAAUUUCAAGGAGUCAGUGAUGGUUAAAUUCCUGCAUUGGCAAUACAGUUGGCUUGUGUUUCCCAAGCUUGCAUGAAAACUUCCUACUAACAUAGAAAUUAGGAAGUGUUCAAGAACUACCUAUUCAUGUUUAGUUCACAAAGGUUUCGUUUCUGCAGCUGGAGAAUUUAACCCUAAUAUAAUUUUCCCACAACUGAAUCGCUAAGUGAAUAAUGAAGAAAACUCGUGUACAAGAAACUUGAUUCCAGGGCUUUUUUUCUUCCGAUAAGAAACAAACGUCCAAUAUCAAAGAGAAUGUUAAUUUGAUGGCAGAAGAUUCUAAUGACUCAACCAAGUGCCCUGUUUUCAUUCUGGAAAGGUAUAUAAAGGAGCCAACAACUGGAGCAAAUAAUACCAAACAAGAGUUACUCUGCAUAAAUAAAACUAUGCUCAAAAUCAGUAUAUCACAUCCAAAAUCAUCAGGAUAAAAGAACAUACUUUGUUAUUGUCCCAUCCACAUCUGAUAUCACUACACGAGUAUUCCAUUUCCAUAAAUAAAUCCGGGCAUCAACCUAUUCAGAAACAUAAUCAUAAACAAAUGCAAAUAUGAAGGGAAAUAAAUAAAGAAAUAGGACAGGGGUGGCUGAAUUCUUCUUAUUAUUAUUAUUUAAAAAAAAAAAAACCUUGACCUGCUGCUUUCCAAGCACUGCAGUGUAAAAUGUGAAAGUUAUCGUGUUCCCCCCUUCCUUGAGAUUUAAGGAUGCCAGCUGCUCUGAUGUCGGUGAGAGGGAUUUAACCAUCUGUUUCUCUACCUUGUGCUUAACAAUGCUUGCUUCUCCAUCCAGUCCAUUAUUUCUAUCUGAAUCCUUCUUAAUAUCAAAAUCUAUGCAUCCAUCAACAGCUGAUUGAGUUCCUUUACUAGAAUUAGAUCUUUUAAAAGAGAAAGGCCAAAGUUUCCAAUUUCCAACUGGGUCAACAGUUGCUUCUGCUGGACUACCUGCACAAGUUUUCUCAAUGGGAUCAAGAGCUAUAAUGCGUUUCAUUACGAACAUACAUUCAUGUUUUCACUAAUAAUGAUCCUCAACUAAAUAGAGCACCUCACUCCAUAAAGAAUAACUGCCAAAUUUUAAUCAUAAAGAAAGGAAGCAAUAUAAUUCUUAAAAAACACAAAGGAUCAUUUACAUAAUCUAGAGCCUAAACAGUUACAAAAUUGAUGAAACAGUAAAGGUACUCAAAGAUAAAUUUUUACAAUAAGAUAUCUAAAUUAUCUUACCUGCUCCAGAGUUACGAAUAAUAUUUUUUCGUUCUUCUGAAACCCAUGGUUCUUCAGAUUUUGACCGAUCCUCUGCCACUUUCUCUUCUCCAUCACCACCAGUCUUGGAGCUUGCAUUAUCCUUACAAAAUUCCAUCCAGUUCAAUGGUUUUGAAUUUGAGUCCACAGAAUGGCUUAGAGGAUGAUUGAGCUUACAGACAAUUGAAUUAUCAAUCCUAGCCUGCAUAUUGGGUAGUGAAGCUGCCAGACGCUCAACUUCUUUACUAGAAAUUGGAUGACUUGGAGGAAUUGUGAUGGGACUUGUAAUCCUCUGAUUGAAGAUCUCUUGACUGUCUACAGAACUGCUUGUCACAUAACUUCUAUUUGCAAACCUAUCCUCUUCAUCAAUGCUACUUGGAUAUACUAAUGGAUAAUCUUCUUUAUCAUCGAAAUGUUGACUUUCUGACUCUAUACUCCCAUUAACCUCAGUUUUUGGAACAUCAAUAUCACUGAAAAGGAAUUGUUCAUCAUCUGAAUUUGUUGCCGGCAGUAUAUGACUUUCUUUUGUUGCAACUCUGUUAUCAAUAGAACUCAAAGAAUUUUGGAACUUGCUGGUCACACUUCCAUCUACACUUUUGUCAUCUUGAAAAUCUGAGCAGAAACUUGAACCUGUGCUAUCAAACUUCAAUUCUUUAACGGAACCAGGCAUUUCUUCUGUGGACACAAUUUGAGAAUAGGAAGCUUCAAGUGUUGGUGUUUUUUCUUGAUCCAUUGUGUUGCCUUCAUGAACAGAACUAAUACAAUGAUCCACUUGUUGAGAAGAGUUCACAAGGACUUCAACUUUUUCAGUCUCUAUUUCAAAAUCUCCUGCUACCACACUAGAUUCUGUAUCCUGAUCAAAAAAUUUGGAUAUAUCAGUGCUAAUAAAAAAGAGUCGCAUUAAUGGGAAAAAAAAUUCAGUAGACCUUCUAACCUUAAAGGUCAUAGCAACUUCUUUUUAUCAACUCUUUAUAUCGGUAAGAAUGCUAGAACUAGACUUUGAAUUUAACAAUCCUAUGAGUGUGUGACUGUUUUGUUCACGUCAGAAUAAAGCUUACCUCAAGAUGAACUUUAGUUGUCAAGUGCAAUCCCUCAGUUUGAAUAUCAAUGAUCCCAGAUCCUCCAUUGGUCAGAUGGGAGACUUCAUGAGUCAGUACCCUUGAAUCAUCCAUUGUCAACAUUGAUUGCUUGGAAGUUUCAUAGAACAUUAAAGAUUGCACUGCAUCGGAUUCACUCUUGUCUUCAGACAUGUUGAAUACAUGAGAAGCAAUAUUUGUUUCAUCAGAUAAGUGCUCCAUUAGCAACGAAAUUUGGGACUUGGAAUCUACAUUUUCAGCGAAGGUUCCCAUCGCCUGCACAGUCUCUUUUUCACUCUGUUGGAUAUCUAUUGGUGCAUAUUUCACUUCAUAUGUCCUGUCAAAAACCUUUUCCCCUAUAAUAGAAGUUUCAACCAUUUGAUCCUUGAUGUUUAAACUUGACAUUUCUCUAGUCACCUCAAUAGAAAGCUCUAGCUUUUCUGAUUCUAAUUGAGAGCCAUUUGUCACGGGCUUGUUGCAGGUGUUGUUAUCGAAGAUUUUAUCAAUACUAUUUCCCAUGUUAGCUUUUACAGUUGAUGUCACGUGGCUUUUCUCAUCAUCUCUCCUCAAAUUUUCCUCAUCCUUGCCAUCUGAAGUGUCAAUGGAAGAAAACUUAGAAGAAUCCGUUUUCUCAAGCUUUUGGGCGCGAAGAUUGGUAGACCACCUAACCUCUAAAAGAUCAGCUGCAAUUUCAGCACGCUCCAGAGAAUCUACCCUUGCAACAGAUGUACCCGCAUGAAGAUCUUCUUUCAUUGAUUUACGACCCCAUACAAAUCCAAGUAUCUGUCGCCGGGAGGUAGUUUUUGUCACUAUCUUCCCAUUAUUAUUACUCUGCUCGAUCCCAUCUAUUGAACUCUUAGUGUUAUAGUAGCAACUUUGUGAACUAAGGAUCCUCCUACCAUCCAGUUCCUGCAGUAUCUCAUCACCUGAAGAAGAAGGAUAUAAUCCAGGUUCUCCUUCAACAUCAACUUCCCUCAAAAAAUAAGCUUCUCCUUUAUGAUCUAAAUACAUCUGAAAAUUAGCUUCAACCCCAUUUACAACUAUGCUGACCACCUUCUCCUUCGUCUUCAAAACACCUUGAAAUUUUCCAAACUUUACAUACCAAGGUGAUGAUUUAAAACUACCAUCCUGCUGUUGGACUACAACAAUAUCCACAGCUCCACCAAACGGAUGAAAUGGCCCAGAAACGGUAUAAACACCCUUUGAAAUGUAGCUCCCUAGUAACCCCACAGCGUUCAUUGUCCAAAGUUGUGAUUUCUCAAAUCACCCGAUUUACAAAUCUCAAAUUCUGGCCAUCAUAUAAUAACCUGUACAAGUUCCCCAAUAAAACCGUGCGCCCAAUGUUUCAGCUCAAUAUCCCCAAUCAUAUACCUCCAAAACUCUUAAAACUAAAAGAGAAAACUAAACUACAAGUACAACUAGCCCAGAUCACAAAUUUCCAAUACAACGAUCUCAAUAACAAGCAGAAUCAAUCAAUUUAACCAAUCAAUCAAUUUUAUCUCCAGUUCCCCACUUACAACAAUUAUUAGAAGGAACCCAGAUGAUAAAACCACGGAGUUAACCAAUUUUGAAACAGUCAAACAAUUCAAAUCAAAGAAAGAACCGAACGACAGUAUUGAUGGGGCAAUAACCAAUAACCUGAAGACGCCAUUAAUCAGAGAGAGAGGGAGUCACCAUAAUUGUAAGGCUGAUUGAUAGGCAACUGCAACAGGUAUAAGAAAGAACCGCGAAGAAAAUACGCCGUUGGUAUGAUCAGAGCAUAUUCGCUUUUAAUUAUUCGAAUGUUCCUCCGCCAUUAUCCAAUUUUGCAGAACAAGAACAGCACGUGAUGUGCGAAACGUCGAAACCUUUGCACAAUUAAGGAUCCAAAUUUGGUGAAAUUAAAAAUAUAUAUAUAAAAUGAUAAAUACUGUCUUUUUGCUUUUAUUUUUUUUAGAACAAUAACGUCUUUUGGUUCAUCUUUACUUUUAUUAUUUAUUUUUUUACGAUCAAAAAUUACAAAACGGAAAAACUACCUAAAUUAUUGAUUUGUAUUCUUUUAUUAUUCCGGAAGAAACCAUUUUUUAAGUUAUGGUUAUAUGAAAUGUAAUAAAAUAUGUUUAACAUAUUUACAAUUAUAACAAAAUCUACUUUCUAUAGCGACAUGGUGAUAAAGUCAAAUAAAUAUCUAUUAUAAGAUGAUAUAUUGAUACAUUUUUAUUUGAAUUAAUAUUUCUAUCAUCCAUAGAAAGAGUUUAUGGAUGAAUCAAUAUCUUGUCCCAUUAAGAAGAUUCUAAGAAGUAAUAGGAAGGUUAAAAGGAACUAAAACCUACUACUUGUAUUAACAAGGUGUAUCUUUUUUCGAUGUCUCAUCAUAAGACUUUCAAAGUUAAAGCGUGUUUCGGGUAGAGAAUUUUCGAAUCUAUGUUAGUUUGUGGGGACAAGCAUUCGAAAACUUGUAAUGUCUGUCAUUUAAAUAAAUUUUCUAUUUUGGACAUAAGGGAGUUAAAUUAUUUUUAAAAAAAACGUCAAUAGAAAUGUAGCUAGAUAAAGAACUCCAUUUGGAUUGAGUUAUUAUGAUCCAAAUUGUAAUAUGGUUUGGUUGAAUUUUCAAACAUGAUUGAAUGAAUAUUAAACAUUUUUUUUUGUGAGACAAGCUUACGUUUGUAGCUGGAUCAGCUGAUGUAUCGAUCUGUUCAGUAUCAAUCAUCUCAAGAUAUUGGGCUAACAGAAAGUAGGAUUUGGAAAUUCUACAAUAGGCCAGUUAUAAGGUGUACGGCCCCAAAUUGACUCUUUGUACUAGGAAUUCGUUGGGGGCAGACCAGCGAAGGGUCAUGGCUUCGUGUUGCUUAUCUGGGCGACAAAUGACAAAAAGUCAUGAUCCCAUAAAGAAAUUUGAAAAAUAAAAAGAUAUGGGUAGAGUGAAUCUGAAGUCAAAUACCAUAAUUUUAGUGGCCAGUUUGCUCUCGUAGUCAGUGGAUCAAGAAACUAAUGUUAUACAUUCAUCAACUCAUCCUUGUUUUGGUCUAAUUAUGAUUGUUUCUGGUAUUGUUCAGAAUUUGGUAUCUGUUUUAAUCUCUUCUUUAAAUUUUUCAUGUUGUCUUUUGCCCAUUGGGGUUCGGUUAAACCAUUUUAGAUCAUUGAGUCUUCUUACGUGUUUAGGAAAACAGUUAGACGGAAACAAAAUAAGGGUGAGUAAAUUGAGCUUCGAUUCAUGUGGAAGAAGUUUAUUGAAAGCAAGUUUAAGAAUCUGUGCGCUGUUUUUGAUGGGUUAUGCAUGUUAAGUGUUUGAUUAAAGUUCUCUUAUAGAGCCUUGUGUUAUUUUUGCUUUAUAUCAAUUGAUUAACCAUUUGAUAAGCUAAAUGUGGUCGCCAGAAGCUCAAAUUCUGAGAAUAUAUAAUAUUAUCUCUUUUUGAGCCCCAACAGCCAUCACCUUUUUCUGUGGGGGCUUCCUUGAUGGAUGGCAGAGCAAGGAUCAGCCAGUUGUCUCUUUCAUUGAUCCUAGAAAAAUGGCAUUUCAUUCAUCUUUUAGCUAUGAAAUUCAAUGACCAUAUUGGAUUUUCUUAUUAAGAUGUGCACAGGCACCUUAUUCACACAGCACAUAUUCACACGACUGACUAAUAAAAGCAUUGCGGUUGUUCACUUGUUCACUGCUUUCUUUGUUUGUAGGCUUAGGGUGAUUUUGAAAAGACUGAAAGCACUUCUUUUAGAGCGAGGGGGAUUCAUCAGGUGGGUUUGAUAUAUGACAAUGCAAUAAUAAUCAUUAUCAUAAAAAAGGAUGGUCCUCCUCCUACUCACAUGAAAAAGGUAGCUUUUCUGUCAGUUGCCCACAUCUUUACAUUUUAUAUCAUUCGUUCUUAUAUUUUUUUAAUUUUAAGGAGGAAUAUUUUUUAAAUAGUAAAAUAUUAAAACUAUUUACAAAUAAAAUCUAACCAAUUUUCUUUAGUUUAUUUAAUCUUUUUAAUAUAGUUUUUUUUUUCUAUCCGUGACCAUUCCUCUUUUAAAAAAUCAUUUCAACUGCUGUGGAAGGCAUUGAUACUUUUUUUAAAUAUAUAUUUUAAAAUUUAUUAAGUGUUGGGUAAUUGGGUUAGGAUUAUCAAUAUUUAUACGAAGUCUUAGGUAUUAUUUCACUUGACCCCACACCCUUUUGAGCCCCAUAAUCUCUCUUUUCAGAGCUUUCACUUGUUUCGAUAUAUUUAGAAAUGGUUCAUCACUUUUCAACUUGUCUAUUUAUUUUAGGGACUUUGCCCCCUGAUAUCUUAAGCAAUGUUCUUGGGCAAUUACUCCCACACCUUUAUACUUUCUCAAUAUCAUUUUGAUCCUUUUAGGAAGUUUUAUAUAUAAUGAGGUAAUGUCGAUUGGAAAAUUAUUUACUGUCUCAUAACCAUAAGGGAGAUAUAAAAAACUUCAAAACAAUAAAUGGGCGUGGUAGAGAAAAAAAAAAUCUUCAGUAGAUUAAGACAAUUAUUGAAUUUGCUCACUUUUUCAAACUUACGUGAGAGCUAUGGUCCCAACGUUUUAUGUGGUUUUUGUCUGGCUUAUAAAUGAUUCAAAAAGACGAAAAAGAGAGUAGAGCUGGCAGAAGAGGAGUAUUUGUCUAUCCAAUCUUGGAUGGUUGUUUGAUUUAACCUAUGCUCAUGACCACUCGAUUCGUAAAGAGAUCACCAGGUCGAUGAUAGAUUCGUCACAUUUUCCUUUCUUUUGAAGGUUAGUAGAUCAAUCAACUUUUCUUGUGUCAUUUUCUAUAUUCUUAUCUGCUGAAUUCCUUGCCCCAGUUGUAAAAUCCAAAAUGUUAAUAAACUCUCUUCAAAUCAGAGCUUGUUUUUCCACAUUAUUAGCUUUUGUUCAAGGGUAAAUGAGAUUCAAUAACCAUUGUUUUGUACAAACGUACAUCUAAAUCUAAUAUUGCACAGUUGUGACUAUCCACCUGUUCAAAUGAAAUAAAUCUAAGUCAUCCGAAAAAUUGAAGAACCUGUCAAUUAAAACAUCUAAAAAUACUAAAGUGCAUUUUAAGCUACAAUCAUCUUUAUAUGUCAUGUAUUAAACUCUUCUUCCUUUUCCCUUUUCGGAUAAGAGUGAAAUGCACAAAAGCGGUGCAUCUAAGUAUUAUUCUUAAAACAACUCUUUUAAGUUACAUGAUCAAAAAAUCAUUGAAAGGGCCGGUGCACACUCAUUAUAUAUAUCAAACCGGACCUUCUGGACUGAUUUGCUAUCUCUUUUUGUCUAUAUACACGUACAUACCACGCACAUAAAUGCAGAAAAAGCAAAGAGGCUGAAUAAUUUUCAAUAAAGAAAUAGAAUAUGAUUUAUGAACAAAAUGUAUCCGCUGUAUAUGCUCUUUAACACUUGAGCCUUUCCUCUUUCAAUAUUGAAUUCUUGCAAUGAGCGAUUGCUGCUUGAAUUGCUGCCUGCAGCUCCUCCAUUGUGCUAUCACUAUUAGUGGAAGGAGGAAGCGUUGUAGUUGUAAGGAGAACACCACUAUUGGUUGGAGAUGUUCUCAUGGAAACUGGCGCUGAGAAGAACUCGCCUCUUCUUCCUCUCGAUUCUCGCUUCUUUCUCAACCUUAAAUUACCUGAAAAUGAAUAAGACUGUCUGUGUAGUUGCAUAUCAUCUCUUCUCCCUCUCAGGGGUAGAAAUGGCCUCACCAUUCUUGCAUAUCUCUUCAGUACAUUGCUCAAAUUGAAUCCCAACUUCCUUUUCUCCUGUUCCACUUUAUUUUCUUGCUCUUCAACGUCAGACCUCUUUCUCCACCUUAAACCGAGCAAGGAGAAAGAUUUGGACUUAGGUUUUUCUCUUGUAUCAUUUGUGUUGUUUUGGCAGUGUUCAUUGCUCUUGCAAUUGAUGAAGCUGCUACUUUCUUUCUUGGGCUCCUUUUCACUUAUUAGGUCUCUAAUGGGAAGGGUAUAGCUUUCCAUGGAGUUGGUUGAGCAGCGAGGAGGAACUGGAAGAUGAGAGAGGAGGUGAAGAGGAAGCAAAUGGCCAUGGAAGAAGAUGUCAUCUGCUGGUGAUAAAUCAAUAGUGAAGGAAGGUGAGGUUUUGGCUUUGUCUGUGGAGGAAGUUUGAAGAGAAACUGAGAAGGAAAAUUCAUGAGAAGGAGAUGAAGAUGCUGAAUGAGGAGAAGAGGAAUUAGCGGGCAAUUGUUGCUUCUCCAAUUGCCUUUCUUUGUCUUCUAGAUGCUGAUGAAUGUCCAUAACCCAAACCAGAAAGGUUUUGCUGACAGACAAUUGAUUCUGAAUCUCAAAAUGCCACUUCAAGACUUCAGUUUUAAGGACAUUACCAUAGCUUUAUGAAGGGAUAAGAAGAUUAGAGGGUAGAAAAGGAGAUGAUGGGGGGGGUCUGGCCUUUUUGCCUCUCAGCACUUGCUUAAAUUAAAUUCUUAUUCUUCUUUUUUUUCCUUUUCUUUUUUGGGAGCAGCACGUGUCAAGGAUUGGUGGGUCCUUGUCAAAUCUUACAGCUAUUGAGAGUACAGAUUUGGGAAAGAAAAAUCCAACAAACACCCAAGAAAAUUUCCCACAAAAGCCCAAUAACCUUUACAAGGGGGUACUGUUUUUUGGUAUUUGUUGCAUCAUGGAUCUUACCUAGGAAAGUAUAUGACAUUAGUCAUUAAUUAAACCCCCUUUCUCAAGAGGAAACUUCGAAGAACUCAUCAUAUUCCAUUGCUUCUCUGUAGAUCCUUUUUCUUUUGUAUUCUAUAAGAUGCAUUGAAUGAGACUACCCAUAUAUCUAUAAUUGAUCAGUAUUUUGAAGCAAUUAGGGUCCCAACUUUGCAUGGAAACAAAAUACUUACAAUCUCUUAUCGAAUCAUGAUGACUGUAUGAUUUACAAAAAUUAGGUAAGGUUUUGACUUUUUAUUAACGCAAGUUAUUAAAUAAUUGAUUUGUGUGUUGAUGAUAUUAUGAUGUACUAAUUUAUAAUAUGUCUUUUUAAAUAGGAGAAAUUCAUAUGCCUUUGAUAAGUACCUCACUGAAAUCUCAAAAUGGUGUACUGUCAGACGCCAGUGACUUAAAAUUUAAAAAUAAUUGGACCGAAAGACUUAUUACACUUGUUUCACGCCUCACUUUUCAUCCAAAGUUUUAACGUAUUCUAUUUUAAUAGUAGUUCUGUUGCUUGGUAGGAGAAGAUUGGCAUGGAGGAAUGAGCUGGCUGGUUAGAGAUUUCAGAGGUAGUACAUUGCGAGAGGUUGCAGUUUUAUUUACUACAGAUACCCAGUAAAAGUACCGCUUGAAGCCAAAGUCGUCCUGGAAGGUUCAAGAGAGUUGGAGGCUCUUUUGGAAGGGUAGAAAUCUCCGAUCCUGGUGAUUUUGGUUGGAAUCAUUUACUCUUGAAGUUAAUCUUUUCAACAGUUUAGAUUCGGAACUUUCAAUAGUCUCUUUUUUCGUUGAAGAGUCACACACUCUCUUGCUUACUUGUGAAUUAUAUUAUUAUGGCUUUUGUCAAAAUUUCAAGAGAGGGAAACAAAGGUGUUAAUGAUCACAGCUUUGACUUUUUUUUCUUCAAUUGUUUCUUUGGUGUGGCUUCACUCUUGACUCUCGUUCAAUGAAAGGUCCUUUUAGCUGUCAUAGUUAAUGAGAAAUAAAAUCACUUUAGGUGUCAUCUAUACCCCAAACGAAAAAACAAGUUUGAUAUUUUUUAAAAAAAGAAAUUGAUCAUAUCCUUUUAUUUAUAGUUUAAAAGAACAGAAUGUAUAAUUAAUCUAAAAGUAUUUAGCAAAAUUAUUUUAACUUAAUUACUCAUUUAAGAACAGAACUGCGGGUGCUUCUAUAAUUACUUCAGCAAAGCAAUACCAGUGAAGAAGUUUUAUUAAAUAAAGCACUCCAGUCUUAUUUUCUUAAUGAAAAUAUUAGUUUAAAGAUAGGUUUUUUUUAAAAAAAAUUAACCAUCAUCUUUUAAAGACAUUUCAUAAAUGUUUCAUGAGAGACUAACUAGCAUAAUUUGACAGUAACUUGGAAUAUGAAUUAAGAUCAUCACAUCGUUGUAUUACAAGUUUUGAAAGAAUAAUGAUACUCUUAAACAAGCGAUGAAGAUGUUAUUUAAGUUACCUUUACAAAGAUAGAUUUCAUACAAAGUAGUUUGGGUUCCUUUUUCAAAUUCGUGUUAAAAAAAAUGGAGAGAUCGUAUUGAUAGAGGAAUUUAAUUAGAUGGUAGACCCAAACACACGUGUAGACCAUGAAUGUAUAGCAUGGAAUAGAGAGGAAGAAUUGUCUAUAUCUCAAUCAUAGAGGCAUUAUUUUUGGGUGGACUCACUUAUCCCAUCUUUCAAACACCAUAUUCUUUAUUUUCAAUGAGAGAUAGAUAAAGAAAGAUGCAACAAAUUUGGCAAAAAAAACAAAGAUUUCGUACUCAAAAACCCACAGUGAGAGUGAUGGGUCAUGUGGAGAAACCUUUUCCCCUUUUUCUGCUUUUCGCAUUAACCCCUCACCUCAAUUUCUAACCUUUUUCUUUUAAUCUAUUUCUUCAAUCGUAAGCCAAUUCCAUUCUCCAUGGCUAUACAAUAGCCAAUUCCAUUCUCCAUGGCUAUAAAAACAACAAAUUUUAAAAGUUUUUUUUUUUUUUAAUUAAAGGCAAUGAUAUAUAAAUGAUCCAGAAAGUUUGAUACAUGUAAUCACAACUUUUUCAGCAUACUCAUAUCUCCAAUCACAACUUUUAUUAAGAAAAUAGUAAUUAAAAAAGCGAUUUACAUCUAAGUAUUUUCAUUCGUUUUUCUUAGUUGUUUAUUCUUGUAAAUUUUUAUAUGUUUUGGGUUUUUCUUAUAUUUUCAUAAAAUUCAAUUGGGAAUAAAUGUGGGAGCCUAAUUGAAUAGUAGUAUUACAUCUUAAAACCUUUCUUUCAAGAUUAUUGUGCUGGAGCCUAAUUCAAUCGUAUUUGACAUAUAUUUAUAAUUUUUUUUUCAAAGAAAGAGGCUGUUUGUGAGAUAAUUAUGCUAAUAAGCAAUUAAAAUCCAUCACAUAAGAGGGAAAGUGGUGACUCUGAUUGAUAAUUUUAGUUCAUAAGCUUACCUCAUUCACUACAACAGACAAUCACUAUUACAAUGUGCUUUCAUUUUCUUCUUAGACACAGAUUGUACAAGACAGAGAUUGCAUUUUACUCAAAAACCAAGAUGAUAAAAGUAGUUGCAUUAUGUGCACUUCCCAUCAGGCUACCUCUUACCUGAAAUGAAUGACAGCAUUUGAUCAUUUUAGAGUGGCAGGAGAACAUGGUGUUAAACGUGUAUUAAAAGAACAGGAGGACCCCAGCCAAUAAGAGGGAGGCUGGGUCUUAAUAUUAUGUUUAAAAGUUCAUUAAAAUUGAAGCAAUUACAGAGGGGCAUUCAUCAAAAUAGAAGGAAGUGAUUUUGCUUUAACAUUACCUGAGUUGGGGAACAGAAAUGUCAAUCAUUUAGCUACUGUUAGAAUCGCUAUCUUCUCUGGAACUGUUGGUCCUGAGAAUGUGUACCUGAAAAGAAAGAAUGGGAAAAAUAUAUUAUAUCUGUGAAUUAGUCGACCCACGCGCUAAAUAUAUACAGAUCAAACUCGUGAUUAUAAUUUUUUGAAAAAAGACUGAUUUAGCCCAAUGAACAUUUUGAAAAUAUAGACUCAACAUUAACUAAAGUUAAUGAUAUAGGGACUAAAAGGAACCUAUUGAAAAUAUAGGAAUCAAAACGAAUCAAAGCAAAAAGCAAAAUAAACCUUUGAAAAAAAAUGGAAUAAUCAAAGAAACGACUUUUAAAACCAAAACGUGCAUGGAUUUGAUGAGCUUUCUUUGGGACUUAGUAACCAAUCUCCUUUUGUGAUGUAAUCUACCAAAAAAGCUUUUCAAAAUCAAAAAUUUUAAUUUAGGUAAAACAGGAAAAUGAGCUUUAGAAAAUGAGAUAGAUGAAUGGAGAACAACCACAACCUAAUUUUUAAAGAAGUGACAGUGAACAAAAGAACGUGCGUUUAUGCAUAGAAGGUAUGCACAGAUACGGCAGACGAUGAUUCAAAGGAUCAUGAAACCUACCUUGCAUGUUGUAGGUUUAAUGAAUUGAAAAAUUACAGCAUCCCCAUCUGCCAACUUAUGAGCGACUGCAAAACCCUUCCAUCCGCCACUAAGUCCUGUUUUUCGUGCUAAAUAUAUUGUCGGAUACUCAUCACCAUCUUCAUCUAUUAAAGUCAUUACUCCAUCACGAUUUGGAAGGCGAUUCUUGCAGAAAUGAGAAGGAAGACCCUGUGUUUACAAGUAUUUUUUUUUAUUAGAUGUUAUCUAACAGAAGAAGAAUCUUUACAGCCUUUUCAUAUUCAAAUACUCAAGCAAAACUUUAGAAAAUCUACCUUCUUCAUUGAUUUCAUAUCUUAGUAUCACACACUCAGUUCAACAAGAUUAACAGAGAGAGGGAGAGGGAGAAGAAGGUCAUACGCUUAACAAAUAGUCCUCACUAGCUUACCAGCCAGAAUCCACCACUAACAUGAGACUGAAGCAUUGACUUUAUAAAACUGGGAUAAUUCGGCUCCAACCCAGAUUGCAAUUGUUCAGCUCUUUCAAAAGCUUCUUUUCUUGCUUCGUCCGAAGCAUAAACUCGAUUUGAUAAAUCUCUAGCUUUAGAGAUCCUACAAUCCCCAAAAAAUGCACAUCAGUAACAACAAUACUAUUCAUUCAACGAUAUGAAAGUCAUUGAUUUUCAUUUAAAAUUCUUUAGAUACCUUCUAGGAAUCACCACGCGAUUAAUAAUAACCUGCCAGAUUAAUUAAACAGAAAUGAAAACCGAACUAAUGAAAAAUGGAUUUUGAGAACAUAAAUCUCUCUCCAGAGAAAGCAGCAGUAAACUGUAAUCCAUUAUCCAAGUGCGCAAUAUGAGACAAGAAUGACUCACUUCGGCGUAAACAGGAGCUGUCUGUUUAGCUACUCGACUGGAUCUCCUCACCACCACGAGUUCUUUCUGAGUCACGCGAGGCUUGGUGAGCUUACUCUGCGGAUUGGUCAAGUAGCAAAAUAAGCACAAUACAAGAAUCCAUUGAGAAUAAGAUCGUAAUAGGAGACAACGAAACAGAAAAAAACCAAAAAAACAAAGAAACAAUGAAUUACAGGUGAGGACUUGGAAGGGGAAGAAUCGAUGAGAGCUUGAGAAAGCAUGGGUAAAUUUAGGGCUUCCAUUCGCUUCUUGUUUUCUUCGAGUCUCUUGCGACGACAUUCCUCAUACGAGAGGUUUGCGAUCCCCAUAGUCUCUUCUUCCUCCUCCUCGGUUCGUAGGGUUUGGACUAUAUGCGAAAUGGAAACAGUGAGAUGAUGAAUAACAGAAACGACUGAAUUUUGUAUAUUUGGCGAAAUUUAUAUAAAUUAGUUUGAAGGAGUCGACCGUUAACUUCCCACUUUUUUGAAAAAAAAAACGAGCACUGAUUUUAAUUUAGGUUAAAAUUGGGGUCUCUUCGUAAAUAAUAAAAACAUCAGAAGCAUUUACAAAACAUAACGAAAAAACAAAAAAUUUCCCUUAAAAUUGUUAAAUUUUGAAUUUUUUUUUCCAUAUUUUAAGUUAAAGGAUUGCUUUGGUUCAAAUAAUUAAUUUUAGUGUAUGUAACUUUAAUUAUCUAAUUUUAAUUUACUUUUUUUUACUUGUAUCGAAACCGGUUAAAUAAUAAUAAUCAUAAUAAUAUUCAUGAAAUAAAAUAAUAUGUGGUUUUCAAACUUUAUAAUAAAGAUGUUCAUUGAUAAAAAAAUAUAUAUAAAAAACUAAUAAUCAAGUAGGAUGAAGACCUAAAUUUGAGCUUUAUCGAGAAUAUAUAAGGAACUUUUGCAAGAAUAAAAAAGAAAAAUUAUGAUAAUCUAUUUUCUAAAUUUGUAAAAAUAGUAAAUUUGAAAGUGAUCACGGUAUGAUUACCAUAUUAUAGUUUUUCGAUAGUCUUAUGAUUACUAUAUGAUAUAACUAAUUUUAUCAUUUUCGUAAUAUAAAAAAAAUGUUAUCAUGAGCUGCUUUUCUAUAAAUAUUUUUGUCAUUUUAUGCAAUUUCUCACUCUAUAAACUAAACUAAAGAAUUGAACCAACUUAAAAAAUGCCCAUGCAGACAUAAAUAGUAUGGUAGAAAAUCUUUAGAAUUUAGUUUGUUGUUUGUUAAUAUUAUUCCAAAUAAAUGUAGUUUUUAUUAGCAUUUCCUUUAUAAAAUGUGUAUGAAAAUAUACACCUAGUACUUCUUUUCCACUACGAAAAAUGUUA
Molecule: long non-coding RNA, 140526 nt
Filed under: Cucumis sativus (cucumber)
Lineage: Eukaryota; Viridiplantae; Streptophyta; Magnoliopsida; Cucurbitales; Cucurbitaceae
Description: long non-coding RNA (CSAT_LNC000723)
Source: RNAcentral